GCCGCAACCAGAGGAGGCAAAUCAUCAAGGACGGAUGGGUAGACUAUGAAGGAGAAGUUGUAAGGUCUGAAGACAUAAAGCUUGAACAGAACUGUCCUGAGGAGACCGUAGCACCGAGUCAGGUGUGGAGAGAGAAGAUAGUUAUACACGAAGACCAGGCACCGCCGGAACCACCGACUACGCCAUCCAGCGAAUCCCAGGACGACUGAGAAAAUGGAGAGUCCCGUUCGGAGGACUUAAAAACACCGAACGCCUUGCCAAGAGGUAAACUUGGUAGUUAUCUUUUUCCUUUCAAUUAUUUAAAAUAGUUUGCUUAGUUAAUCAGGUUCAUAUCAUCUUGAAAAGAAAAUAAAAAUAUUGAAGAUAGUAAGCCCCAUGUGAGUAUGCUCAUGGCAUAAAACCCAUAAGUACAUUCACUGUGGUGGCAUAAAAAUAAAAUAAAUAUAUUCAUGUUCUAUAAAAAUGAAAAUAUAAAAAUAAAUUUAUGAUCCUACUAAAGAGAGUAACAUUUAUUGAGGAGGCUCAACAUGAUAAAGGCUAGAUAUUUAUGCUAACACUUAACCAGUUCCACAAAGCUUUGUUGUCUAUUUGAGUUCCACAAAAUUCAAGGAUCAAAGAAAACUAGCCGAUGGAGGACAUCCUAAUCACUGUCAGGAUGCUGCUGACAUUCAAAUACAUCUCCACCACCUGCUAGCUACAUCAGAAGAAAUUGCGUCAAAAUCCAGCUUGGGGGAGAGCACCCCCAUUUAUCGAGCUAAGUAUUCUACUCACGUUUAUACUUUACUCUAAUAAUAAAAAGAUGCAUAAUCAUAGAAACCAAAAUAAAGAUUUUGUGCUUAUAUAUAUCUUUACUUAUCUUGCUAAAUAAAUAAAUAAAUAAAGUUUGCUAUCAACCCUCAUGAUAAGCUCUCACAUGGAAAUAAUGAAUAGUUGCUUUGCCAUGACUAGUUCUUAAAACUGAAAUCUCUCUCAAGUUUAGGCUUGACUGUUAUGAAUUAAGAUUUGCUCUAAACCUGAACUUGUGGGGAGAAUAUUUGAUCUAAAGUCUAAGUCGUUAACGGAUACGAUAUGGGAAGGUUGAGCUGCUGUUUAUCUGUUCCUAGAGAUGCUAGAAUUCUGGAGAAUUUUAUCUUUGAAAAUCUUUAAAAUGUUGCUUGAUGAGUUCCUGUAUGAUGAGAGUUUAAAUUCCUACCACAGCCAUAUAUACAUGCUUGCUAGACUAUGAGCCACACAUUUACUUUUUACUGCUUAUGAGCAUUGAGUGUGGUCAAGCUGUGUAGACCCUUAGGAGCUUGUCAUGUGGUUAAGUCAAGAUUCACUUGCACGUUCACUCAUACAUGCUACUUCUACUCUGGAAGUACCAUCCACAUAUACCCAUUUCCAUCUCCAGAACCACCCAAAAAUAUUCUACUCCUAAUCCGGGAGAGAAUAGCCAAAAAUAUUUCUAUUUUUUCUCUGUGAAAUAAAUGCUCAAGUUAUCUUGUUACUACCACUUGCUAUAUUAUCUCAUGAGAUGAGUGCUCUAAAGAAAAAAAAGAGAAAAAAAAAGAAUACGAGGAAAUAAAAAGGGGCAAGUGCCCGGAACCUCGAAAGAAAGAAAAAGUGAAACGAGAGGUAAAAAUGGACAAGUGUCCGACAGUAGAAUUAGGGGUACAAGAUACCCACCUGAGAGAAAAGAAAAAAGAAAAUAUAGAGCAUCUCAUUCUCCUCAAAAAGUUUCAAAAGAGCAAGAAAGGUAUGUAUCCCCUCAAAAGAGCAAAAGUAGAAUUAGACUUUCACCAUUAUCACCAUCAUCACCAUACACCAUUCAUUCACCACACAUGCACAUCUUGAUUUGACUUAUUGACUUGUUCUUCUGGAUCCAUGGUUUGACUAUGCAAUAAAUGUCUUGUAAUUAUGUAUUAGCUGUCUCCCACCUAUGAGCUCCAGAUAUCAAAACCUUAUUAGAGUAGGGUGAGAGAGAAGGCAAUGUCACUAUGCCUCAUACCAAAAAUACCACAUACUUUGAGAGAAGGCAUACACCAUUACUGCCUUGGUAAGAAUCCAAAAAUACCACAAAAGAGAGACUAGAGAGAGUCAUACAAGGAAUCUCUGAGUUUUAUUUGAAAAUCUGCAAAAAACUCCAGAGCUAUAGUUAAUCAAAGAACAAGAGACAUGGCGCUUGACUAGACUGUUCUAUCUUUUAACUACUCAAGACACAAGUGACGGUUACAAGUCCCAUGGUGAAAGGUAAAUGAGUAAGUUUUAAGUCUUAACAGUUUACUCUAACCAGAGAUGAGAUCUUGUUUAAACGCAUGUGUAUCUUUAAGGCAUGAAACCACUGUAGAAACUCUUGAGUCCAUCUUUGCUCAGGGACGAGCAAAGGUUAAGCUUGGGGGAGCUUGUUGACGGUCCUUAAUGCUCAUAUUUAACCAUCAAUUAAUCAUAGAAAAGGAUCCAAAUGCAACCAACACCUAGACUUAGGGUUUUAUCUGACAGAAUUCCACAAGUUUUGGUGUUUGUCUAUUUCUGCAGGGGGUUAUCAGGAAAUAUGGAAGAAAGGCCCACACGUCGGGUUUACAUAGAGAUAUUAACGUGCCACGUAAUUUUCUAUCAUCUAGAAGACUCCAGAAGCCACGGGACUGAAGCGGAAGCCGAGAGGCCUCAGGGACAGGGCGCCCGCCCUAGUCCUGAGGGCGCCCGCCCACCUCUUUCCACCAAUCAAGGUGAAGUUCGAGGAUCAUGCUCCACCGACCUAAUACUUCAAGGAAAACCACACGAUCAAUGUCGGUUUGAUCCGACGGCCCAGAUUCACUUGAAGGGACUAUAAAACCAGACCCCCCUGGCCCCUGGAGAUCAUACCUCUUCUACAGAAUCAAAGCUAGGGUUUCAAUUCUUCAUCCAAGUAGAGAGGAUCCCUCUAGUUCUUCUAGUUCUACUUCUAGUUCAUCUAGAUCUAGUUCUAGUUCAUCUAGUUCUAGUUCUAGUUCUUCUAGUUCUAGUUCUAGUUAGUUCUAGUUGUAAUCUAGAAAAUAGGGAGAGAGAAGAGGAGAGCGGAGGAGGAGCCGGAUCUGUCGGAUCUUCCUCAACAUUGUACUUUUGCAGUAUCUGGUUCGUUCUUCAUCCUUCUCCAGGUUCUUCAAUUCAUAAUUCCUGAGUUCUUUAAUUACUUUUAUUUACAUUCAAGUUAUUUAUUGGAUUCCUGCUUGCAUCAAGUGCUCUACUCUUUAUAACGCUAGAGUAGUAAUUAAUAGAUUAGACGUGGUGUUUAGUCUUGCGAUUACCUGGAAUUGUACCCAAUCCUACGGAUUGUUGUGGUAGCCCUAGGGUAGUGACAGCCCUAACGGUCGACGUAUUCCACCACGUUCGGAUUGGUGUUUGUAGGACCGUAGUCAGACCUUCCUAGCCCCCUUCUCAUCUCUUUCUGUGGUCAGUGCUCUGAUGUCUCGAUAUAGAUAAUCUUGAAGUAAUUCUUGAUUCUUAGAUCAACUAGAGAACUCUCAGGAAACUUCCUCUCUUCCCACCAAAAACAAUUAUAUAGUUAUCCUUGGGCGAUCUUGGAUCUUAAUUAGUACACUCACGUUCUCUGUGGAAAAUCGAUACUCUGGAAUACUCCCGGGUGAAAGCUACAUCGGUAUCCGUGCGCUUGCGGAUUUUUCUGUUUGUGUUUAAAAUACCCAACAUAGGGAGAGCGAAGCAGUGGUUCUACGCUACAAAGGAGAAGAAUACUACGUGGGCACUCUGCUCAACAAACUUCCUGGCUAAGUUCUUUCCCAUGGGCAAGACCAAUGCUCUCCAUGGGAAGAUUACAAGUUUUCAGCAACAAAAUGAUGAAUCCGUUCUAGAAGCAUGGGAGCGCUUCCAAGACUACAUCCUAGAAUGUCCCCAUCAUGGAAUGGAGAGUUGGCUGUUGAUGCAGACGUUUUAUCAUGGGCUCGGCAACAGUGCCCGAGAGACCAUGGAUGCUGCAGCUGGAGGAGCAUUCUUAUCACUUACCAUAUCACAAGCCACAGCUCUUGUGGAGAAAAUGGCGUCCAACCAAAGCUGGAAUGAAGAAAGGACCCAGACACGCAAGAGAGGUGGAGGUAUGCAUCAGCUCAAGGAGGUAGACAUGCUGUCUACAAAACUAGACCUACUCAUGAAGAAGCUCGAUGAUAGAUCUGGAGAUAAGAAACAAGUUAUGUACAUCUACGACUCUCACAUGACUUGUGAGGAGUGUGGAGACACUGGACACUCAGACAAUCACUGCCCUGAGAUGCUUCAGGAUGUGAACUACAUCAACAACAACAACUACUACUACUACUACUACAACCGUCCUCAACAAAAUCAAGGUUGGAAUCAACAGAGGCCUAACUACUCAGGUAAUUAUCAAUGUAACAAUUCUUACAACAAUACUAAUAAUUUUCCACCUCUGAGAGAGUUAGUGUCUAAUCAAGGAAAGCUAAUGGAUAACCUAUCUAAGAAAUUGGCAUCAAAUGAUAAAAUGCUAGAAAAUAUAAAUAAUAGAAUGGAUAAUUUCUCUACUGCCAUCAAGAAUCAAAUUAGCUUUAAUAAAUUGAUUGAAUCUCAGUUAAAUCAUAUAGCUGCUAUUGUUCCUACUACUAACCCUGGUAUACCAUCACAACCGGAAGGAUUAGAAUCUGCAAAUCUUGUAGACAUGUUUGAUGCAGGUGAUAAUUGGAGUAACCCCGUCACUGAAUUCAAUACUGACCUUCUGUCGGUCAAGAGAGGUGAUCCAGGACGCCCUGUCAUCCCGAUCUCCAUCGGCAUGGUGGACUUCCCAGAAGCACUCUAUGACUUUGGCUCCAGCGUCAACAUUAUGCCCAGGGUACUCUAUGAAAAAUUCUUUACAUAUCCUUUAUUAGAAACAACCAUGUGUUUGCAGUUUGCAGAUCAGGCGUUAACUUUCCCAAAGGGAAUAUUGAAGAACCUUUGUGUCCGAGUUGGUACCUUGUACGCCCCAGCAGACUUCGUAGUGGUAGAGACCGGUAAUGAUGAGAGAGCACACAUCAUCUUAGGGAGGCCAUUCUUAAACACCUCGGGAGCUGUCAUCUACGCUAGUGCUGCCAAGAUCAGUUUCUACAUCAAAGGGGAGAAGGAGAAGUUUUUCUUCAAGAACAAGACUACAUAAAUCCCAGAUCAAUCUAGAUGUGAAUCAAGGAAGAGGACCAACAGGAGGAACAGGAACAAGCAAGUGUGGACCGAGUCAGCUAAGAUGGUCACUGCAGUUCAUGGAGGUCAAGAUCAUCAACUUAAGUCACCAUUUUUGACCAAGAAGGACGACCCAGGAAUGCCAAGCAUCUACUGCUCCAUAAAUGGGUACAGCUUCUACAAGACGUUUUGCGACACCGGAUCGGGUGUCAACAUAAUGGCCGCAGUCACCUAUCGGCUCUUGUUCGGAACCAUGCCCUUAACACCAACAUACGUUCAGCUCCAGAUGGUAGAUCAGACAUUUCGAGAAGUUAAAGGAACAGUAACUGAUGUCCCAGUCAAGAUAGACGAUCAUUUUGUCUACACAGACUUUCAGGUUAUUGACAUGGGAGAAGACGAAUACGAUCCACCCAUCAUCCUUGGAAGACCGUUCCUCAGCACCGUUAAAGCAAUCAUCUACAUUGGAACCGGAGAAGUCCAUAUGCACUUCUCCUCAGAGAAGGUAUGCCGUUAUUUUAUUGACCCUAACUAUAUCGUUGAAGAAUCUAAGCAGGUAAGAAAACGACGCAACCACAACCAGAGGAGGCAAAUCAUUAAGGACAGAUGGGCAGACUACGAAGGAGAAGUGAUAAGAUCAGAAGACGUAGAAUUUAAACAGAAUUAUCCAGAGGAGACCGAAGCACCGAGUCAGGUGUGGAAAGAGAAGAUAACCAUACAUGAAGAGGAGGCGCCGCCCGAAGUAUCGACUACGCCACCCAACGAAUCCCAGGACAACUAGAAAACGGAGAGUCCCGUUCGGAGGACUUAAAAACACCGAACGCCUUGCCAAGAGGUAAACUUGGUAGUUAUCCUUUCCCUUUCAAUUAUUUCGAAUAGUUUACUUAGUUAAUUAUGUUCAUGCUAUCCUAAAAAGAAAAUAAAAUGUUAAAAAAUAGUAAGCCCCAUGUGAGUAUACGAGUGGCAUAAAACCCAUAAGUACAUUCACUGUGGUGGCGUAAAAAUAAAAUAAAUAUUUAUUUUCUGCUUUAUAAAAUGAAAAUAUAAAAAACAGGGAGUAACAUUUAUUGAUGAGUCUCAACAUGAUAAAGGCUAGAUAUUUAUGCUAACACUUAAUCAGUUCCACAAAGCUUUGUUGUCUAUUUGAGCUCCACAGAAUUUAAGAAUCAAGAAGACUAGCAGACGGAGGACAUUCUAAUCGCUGUCAGAAUGCUGCUGACUUUCAAAUACACCUCUGCCACCUGCUAGCUACAUUAAGAGAAAUUACGUCAAAAUUCAGCUUGGGGGAGAGCACCCCCAAUUAUACCGAUAAGUAUUUCUAUCUAUCUAUCUUUAUAUUUAUACUAUAUUAAAAUAUAAAUAACUAUGAAAAAACCAAAUAAAGAUUUUAUGCUUAUAUAUAUAUAUGUGUCUUUUGCUUAGUGUGUUUAAUAAAUAAAUAAAGUGGCUAUGCUAAUCUGUAUCUAAAUAAAACUCUAGCAUGGAUAUGAUGAAUAGUUGCUCUGCCUAAUUUGCACAUUUUAAGUUCUCUCUCAAGUUUAGACAUAACUGUUAUAAUUUAAAGCUUGCUCUAGACCUAAACUUGUGGGGUGAAAACUUGAUCUGAAGUCUAAGUUGUUAACGGAUAUGAUAUGGGAAGGUUGAGCUGCUGUUUAUCUGUUCCAAGAGAUGCUAGAAUUCUGGAGAACUUUAUCUUUAAAAAACUUUAAAAUAUUGCAUGAUGAGUUCCUGUAUGAUGAGAGUUUAAAUUCCUACCACAGCCAUAUAUACAUGCUUGCUAGACUUUGAACCCCAUAUUUACUAUUUACUGCUUAUGAGCAUUGAGUGUGGUCAAGCUGUGUGGACCCUUAGGAGCUUGUCAUGUGGUUAAAUCAAGAUUUCACUUGCACGUUCACCCACACAUGCUACUUCUACUUCGGAAGUACCAUCCACAUAUAUCCACUCAUUUCCAUCUCCAGAACCACCCAAAAAUAUUCUACUCUUAAUCUAGGAGAGAAUAACCAAAAAUAUUUCUGUUUUUCCCUGUGAAAUAAAUGCUCAAGUUAUCUUGUUACUACCACUUGCUGUAUUAUCUCAAGAGAUGAGUGCUCUAAAAAAAAGAGAAAAAAGAUACGAGGAAAUAAAAAAGGGCAAGUGCCCGGAACCUCGAAAGAAAAGAAAAUGUGAGAUGAGAGGUAAAAAUGGACAAGUGUCCGACAGUAGAAUUAGGGGUAAAAGAUACCCACCUGAGAGAAAAGAAAAAGAAGAGCAUCUCAAUCUCCUCAUAAAGUUUCAGAAAGCAAGGAAGGUAUGUAUCCCCUCAAAAGAGCAAAAGUAGAAUUAGACUUUCACCGUUGUUAUCACCAUCAUCACCAUACACCAUUCAUUCGCCACACAUGCACAUCUUGAUUCGACUUAUUGACUUGUUACUUUGGAUCCAUGGUUUGACUAUACAAUAAAUGUCUUGUAAGUACGUAUAUUUUAUCUCCCACCUAUGAGCUCCAGAUAUUAAAAGCCUUAUUAGAAGUAGGGUGAGAGAGAAGGCAAUGUCACUAUGCCUUAUACCACAAAUACCACAUAUUUUGAGAGAAGGCAUAUACCAUCACUGCCUUGGUAAGGAUCUAGAAAUACCACAAAAGAGAGAUCUGAGAGAAUCAUACAAGGAAUCUCUGAGUUUUAUUUGAAAAUCUACAAAAAACUUCAGAGCUAUAGCCGAUCAAGAAUAAGAAACAUGGCACUUGACUAGACUGUUCUAUCUUUUAACUACUCAAGAUAGAAGUGACGGUUACAAGUCCCAUGGUGAAAGGUAAAGUAAGUAAGUUUUAAGUCUUGACAGUUUACUCUAACUCAGAGAUGAGACCUCAUUUAAAAGCAUGUGUACCGACAAUUUUUAAAAGCAUUGCAACAACUUCUGAUCCAUUGCUGAGUCUAUCCUUGCUCAGGGACGAGCAAGAGGUAAGCUUGGGGGAGUUUGUUGACGGUCCUUAAAUAUCAAAUUUAAUUAUCAAAUAAACAAAGAAAAGGAUCCAAAUGAAAUCAACAUCUAGACUUAGGGUUUUAUCUGAUAGAAUUCCACGAGUUUUGGUGUUUGUCUAUUUCUGCAGGGGGUUAUCAGGGAAUACGGAAGAAAGGCCCACACGUCGGGAUUACAUAGAGAUAUUAACGUGCCGUGCAAUUAUCUUACAUCUAGAAGACUCCAGAAUCCACGGGAAGGAAGCGGAGGCCGAACGGGGCCAGGACCUAGGCGCCCGCCCAGUUGCCCUGGGCGCCCGCCCUCCUGCUGAGUCCAAUCAGGACUCUGUUUCAGGGAAGAUCUCCACCGACCUAAAGGAUCAAGGAUAACCGUUCAAUCAAUGUCGGUUUGAUCCAAUGGCCAAUAUUCACUUGAAGAGACUAUAAAACCAGACCCCCUGGCACCUGGAGGAGAGAGCCUGUCAACCCUAAUUCAUUAUUCUUCAAGGGAGAAGAAGCCUCUGAUCAAGAUUAGAGCCACCACAUCAAUUAGAUAUCUAGAUUAGCAUAGCUACAUAGGAUUAGAACUAGAAGGAGUCAAUCUUCGAUUGGUUUCCGGAUCUGUCAAGAGGAUUCUUGGUAAUUCUCUAAUUGUGCUUCUAAUUGCUUUCUAAUUAUCUUUGUUCUUCAAUAUUAUGAAUAUGACUUUGUUCUACUUCAAUAUAAUGCUUAGGACUUUGCUCUACUUGUUUAUAUUCAAGAUUAUAUUGUUCUUAGUUUAUCAUAGUUAUGUACUUGGCUUAGUUAGAUUGGAUCUAUAUACAUGCUUAGGAUCGUAUAGCGUUUAUCCAUUGGAUCCAUGGGUAAAUGAUAGAUAUUGUGUAGGCGUGGUGCUUAUAUCGUAUUUAUCUGCGAUUGUACCCAAUAUGCCAGAUCGUGGGGUAGUUCGUGAUAGUGACAGCUUCAUUGAUUCUUAUAUAGUCCCCCUCUCAUGUAUUGGGCUGGCAGAGCAACAUUAUUACAGGGGAGUGAUUGCUAUGUUUCUCAUUUACCUUGCUAAUAUCACUAUGCAUGGGCGUAGUCUUGUCUCGCAAUGAUUGCUAAGUAUGCUUGCACUAACUAUGAUAAUUCUAGACUAUAUAUUUGAGAAUAACUUAGGAAAUAUUCUUGUAGUUCGUUCUAAUUCCAUGCUAAUGACUUUCUAGAGUAUCUAAUUGAGGUGCUUAUCAUAUUUAUUAUGUGGCUAAGUUAUGCUGAUCAGAUUAAUUAUCUUUGUCACUAUUCAUUACUUCAUAUAUCUUUUAUGUGACACUUACCCCUGUAUGAAAGAGUUAGAUAAAUGUUCUCAAUUAUAUAUGCAAUGAUAGAUACUCAAUCUCAUAUCAAUGAUUGUUAAUCCCUUCCCAUUGGUAAAAAUAUAAAUAACGAUACCUGGAAUACUUCCCGGUUAAAAUGCUACAUCGGUAUUAAUCUGUGCGCUUGCAGAUCCCAUUCAUUAUUUAUUUAGAAGAGCAAUUGCAUAUUUCAGUACCGCGUCUCUCAUGUCGUGCUGGGGAUGACAACUUGGCUUAAGUGGUAUGAGGGAUAGGUUUGGCAUUUUUGGCACCGUUACUAGAAUUAGAAACUGUCUACUUUUGGUAAUGAUGUUAAGAAUACCCAACAAACCUAACCUGGUCGAUGCUGACGCGCACGUACUACCAAGGGUGGGCGGCGCAUGUCCAGUGCAAUCUCGAGGGGAUCUAUCUCUAGGAUGCGGUGGAAGGAGGCGACAAGGUUGAGCGGCGGCGCGAUAGAUUGGCACUGGCGGCUAUUCUCCAUGGAGUACCGGAGGAGAUGCACACCAUGAUGCUCAGCAAGAAGUCGGUCAAGGAGGCCUGGGAAGCAAUCAAGACCAUGCGACUUGUCGCAGACCGAGUUAAAGAGGUGAACGCUCAAAAGCUCUUGGCUGAGUUUGAGUCAAUCACAUUCAAGCCAGGAGAGGCCAUUGAUGAUUUUGUGGUGCGGAUCGGCAAAAUUGCCUCGGACCUAAGAGGACUCGGGGAAACUAGCGUGAAUGACGCACGAGUGGUGAAGAAGUUCCUACGAGCCGUGCCAUCAAGGUACAAUCAAGUUGCUGUCGCAAUCGAGAUGUUCAGCGAUCUGAAAACGCUAUCCAUCGAGGAGCUUGUCGGUCGUCUUCGAGCGGGCGAGGAUCGGUUUGAGCCCUCCGUAGAUCACAUGUUGGAGAAGACAGGGAGACUCCUUCUGACGGCAAGAAAUAAGAGCCGUAUGGUCUUUGACUCUUCAUCAUCAUCAGGUGCAGCGAGAGGAGGCGCUGGACACUAUGUCAAAAAGGACAAGCAAAAGGGCCGUGGAGCGCACGGUGGCGGCGAUGCGCGUGAGCCCAAACUCACGUCGAUGGGCACACCACGGCGUAGAGGGAAGUGUAAGAAGUGUGGCAUAUAUGGUCACUGGGCAAAAGAGUGCAAGACUCAGAUGAAAGAUGAACGCCAGGACACAGCACAUCAUGUUGGUGCUGAUGGUGAACCUGCACUCAUGGUGGCCCGCGUCUGCAACCUUGUGAGAACCCAAGGCAGUGAAGACAAACAUGUGUUCCUAAAUCAGGAUCAUGUCUUCCCCACGGAGUAUGACGAUGGGGCAUGGGUGCUCGACACAGGUGCAAUGAACCAUAUGACCGGAAACCGGGAGUCUGUCCAUGGAGCCGUGCGAUUCGGCGAUGGUGUAGAGUCAAGAUCUGUGGGAUCGGAGCAGUAACAAUUACCGGUAGGAACAAAGAGCAUCGCGUUCUGACGGAGGUAUACUACAUACCUUCACUCAAGUGCAACAUAGUCAGUCUCGGGCAGCUAGAAGAAUGGGGAUGCCGUGUUGAAAUUGAGAAUGGUGUCCUACAAGUGUUCGAGCGUCGGGAGACUGCGCAGAAGGAACGGGGCAUCCUGAUACGUGCGGAAAGGAGGAAUCGACUGUACCUAUUGAAGGUGAACCUCACUACUCCUGUCUGUCUAAUCACGAAGAUGGAUGAGGAUGCCUGGUUGUGGCACGCAUGGUAUGGACAUUUAAAUUUCAGGUCGUUGCGUGACUUGGGGACAAAGAAGAUGGUGGAUGGCAUUCCACUGAUCCAGCGCGUGGAGCAGGUGUGUGAUGGAUGCGCACUUGGCAAGCAUCAUUGUGCGCCAUUCCCUCGUGCUACGUCCUACAGAGCAACCACCGGCCUUGAGUUGGUACAUGGAGAUCUCAGCGGGCACAUCACACCACCCACCCCGGGUGGAAAAAGGUACUUCUUGUUGAUGGUAGACGAUUUUAGUCGUUAUAUGUGGUUGGAGUUGCUAGCCACGAAAGAUGAAGCCUUUGUAGCUUUCAAGAAGGUGAAGUGUGCAGCAGAGAUGGAGUCAGGUCGUCAGCUGAAAGUUUUUAGGACAGACCGAGGAGGGGAAUUCAAAUCAGGCGUGUUCACUGUUUACUGUACUGAACAAGGCAUAAAGCGUAAUACAACAGCACCUUACACUCCUCAACAAAACGGUGUUGUUGAAAGGAGGAACCAAUCUGUUGUAGAGAUGGCUCGAUGCUUGAUGAAGAGCAUGCAGGUGCCUGCACAAUAUUGGGGAGAAGCAGUGAAGGUGGCGGUGUAUCUGCUCAAUAGGUCGCCCACCAAGAGCCUGAAUGGGAAAACACCCUUUGAAGCGUGGUUCGGCAAGAAGCCUGGAGUCCAGCAUUAGCGCACGUUUAGGUGUCUCGCUUAUGCAAAGAGAGUUCGACCUGGGAUAUCGAAGCUGUCGGACAGAUCAGUGCCUGGAGUGUUUCUUGGUUACGAACCAGGAACAAAAGCUUAUUGAGUGUUUGAUCCUAUACAGAAUAAGCUUAUCAUAUCCAGGGAUGUGAUAUUUGAUGAAAAGAAACGCUGGAAUUGGGAGGAGAAAGGAAGCAAGGAGACCUCAAGUGGUGGGUACACAUUCAGUGUGUAUUAUCCUGAAGACGCUGUCGCUGUUGGGGUGCAGCUACUGUAGACGGUCCGACAACAGGUGGUGGAGGUCUGUCUGGACUGGAUUCAGGAGGAGAAGAUGAACCACUCUCGCCUGCUCCCUCAAUUCAAUCAUCGUGGGGUGUGGCUGGUACAUCACCACACACUCCUACGUUUUCUGCGGCUGGAUCAAAUGAUGGAUCAAUAGGAGGAACCGGGAUACAGUGGGCAACACCACCUACCGGAGGUUCAGUUGAUUCAGAAGGGGCUCCACUCAGGUACAGAACCAUACCGAACCUGCUUGACACUACUGAUGAGGUUCAGAUGUAGUGCAGUGGGAUAUGUCUAACAGCUGCAGAAGAACCCAAGUCAGUCGAACAGGCUCUGUCAGAACUCAGUUGGAGGAAUGCGAUGCAGGCAGAGAUGAAAUCGAUUGAGGACAAUAGAACUUGGGAAGUCAGUGACUUACCGAGGGAUCAGAAGGCUAUUGGUCUAAAAUGGAUUUUUAAAGUGAAGAAAGAUCCAGGUGGCAAUGUGGUGAAGCAUAAGGCCAGACUGGUAGCAAAGGGGUAUGCCCAGCGCCAAGGAGUGGACUUUGAUGAAGUAUUUGCUCCUGUUGCCGGAAUAGAAACAGUGAGGGUAUUAUUGGCACUUGCAGCUCAAGGUGGAUGGGAAGUACACCAUAUGGAUGUAAAGUCUGCAUUCCUGAAUGGUGACUUAACUGAAACUGUAUAUGUGCAGCAACCUCCUGGUUUCAUAGUUGGCAAGGGAGAUAAAGUACUUAAGUUGAAAAAGGCACUCUAUGGGUUCGGGCAAGCACCCAGGGCUUGGAACUCCAAGCUUGAUAAAGAGUUAGUGGCUCUUGGUUUUGAAAAGAGCAAGCUGGAACAUGCUGUAUAUAAGAAAAACAGCAAAGAUUCUUCUCUGAUUGUGGGAGUGUUUGUUGAUGAUCUAAUCAUCUCUGGUCCUAGUUUCAGUGACAUCAAAAGAUUUAAGGAGGAGAUGAAGAAGAAGUUCAGCAUGAGUGAUCUUGGCCUUCUUAGCUAUUAUCUUGGGAUUGAAGUAAAGCAAGAAGAGGGGGGUGUCAUUUUGAGUCAGUGCUCAUAUGCAAUAAAGAUACUACAGAGUGCACGGAUGCUGAACUGCAACUCAUGUGAUACACCAAUGGAACCAAGACAGAAGCUCCGCAAGGGAAAGGAAGAAGAGGCUGUAGAUCCAACAGCAUACAGAAGCAUUAUAGGGAGUCUCAGAUACUUGGUUAACACCAGACCUGAUCUAGCCUACUCGGUGGGUGUUGUCAGUAGACACAUGGAGGCUCCUGGGAAGGAACAUUGGGCUGCUGUAAAGCAUAUACUGAGAUAUGUAAAAGGUACCAUUGGCUAUGGCUGUAAGUAUGAGCGAGGCACUAGGCUGAAACCCAUUCUACUCGGGUAUAGUGACAGUGACUUUGCAGGAGAUUUAGAGGAUAGAAAGAGCACCACGGGUGUAGUCUAUUUCCUGGGUAAAAGCUUGGUAACCUGGGCAUCGCAGAAGCAGAAGAUAGUUGCAUUGUCUUCAUGUGAAGCCGAUUAUGUGGCAGCAGCAGCAGCCGCCUGUCAAGGUGUUUGGCUGAGCCGAUUGAUAGCUGAUUUGCUGGCAACGAAGGAGAUGCCGGUAAAAUUGUUGAUGGACAACAUGUCUGCUAUAGCACUAAGCAAGAACCCAGUUCAUCAUGACCGCAGCAAGCAUAUAGAUACGAAGUAUCAUUUUAUCAGAGAUUGCAUUGAAGAGGGCAAGGUUAAAGUUGAUCAUGUUGGGACUGCAGCGCAGCUUGCCGACAUAUUCACCAAGUCGCUCGGGCGUGUCAGGUUCGUAGAGUUGAGGGGUGCUCUCGGCGUCGUCCAGGUGCAACAAAUUUAGGGUGUGAUUUGUUAGCCAAAUAGUUGCAAAUACAUAUGUAAUUUUUCGUUUCAGAUAGUAUCAAUCAGGUUAGGGGGCAGAGCAUGGUCAUAGGCGUGCAUGACCGUGACACAACCUGAGUCCGUCGAGUCGGUCCUCGCCAUGUCGUGCGCGGCGCAUGUGGCGCACACCAUCAAACGGUGCGGCGCACCGGCAAGGCGUGGCGGGGAGGGAGUCUGUAUCAAACAGAGUAUAAAUACAAUAGAGGCCGAGGGGGGCUGCGGGUUGGCAGCAACGAAAACAAUCUAUCUUGCGUGAAUCUGUUGUGCGUGUUUCCAUCUUAACGUGCUCUCGCCGUGGUCACCGAGCCAGACCCGCCGGCGCGACGAUCUUGCUCAACAGCCAAGCUCGGUUCCAACAGUGUAAUCCGGUUGUGAACCUGUGGCUUUUAUUGGAAGAGAGGCCUUAACCUCUCGGUGUCCUCCGGGAUUAAAUUUGUGGUGCUGGCGUUUUGUUCAUGGCUGAGUUACUGUUCAUCCGUUUCCCCUUUCUUGAUUCGUGUUAGUAUUGAGUUUUCUUUUGGGUUGUGUUUAGUCAGAUUGAUGCUUUAUCGAAUGAUGGACAAGAUCACCAAGUGAUUUGGACUAAUUCCACUUGUGCAUCAAGAUCCCAGCAGAUUUGGGAGGAAAACUCGUUCUUGUCUACGGUUUGAAUUUUUCCCAGAGUUUAGGUUAAUUCCAGGCGAUGACUUCUUAGGGAUAGAUUCGUAGCAAGUCGAAUUUCUCUUUUGCAAUUUUUGGGAUUUUUCUAUUGAAGUUGGGAUAAGUUUCUGCUGAAUUUUCUUGGAGCCUCUUUUUCUUGUCUGAGCAACAGCUCUGCUGGUUCGUUCCAGGAUGGGGUACAGGAGCAGUACUACAAACGCCAAGUGCUGAGUGCCAUGCUUGCUCUCUUGAGCGGUGAUUGUUCCUGGGCCUGAGAUCAAUUUGUUGUUAUUGUGUCUUUCGUAUCUUGCUGAUCUUGCGUGAAGGCAAGGUGCUGCAGCGGCUCCUACCGGCGCUUGGACCGAUGGCCUUUGGUCAAGUGCAGAGCAGUGUUUUUGCAUCCUUAAUCUCUGAGUCAAGUUCGUCCAGGCUCGUAAGUUGUUUCCAAUCUUCGGUGUGUUUGUGCUUAGGAGCUCGGCGGCGUGCAGCACCACCGCCUGAGCCCAGUUUUCUCCGCUCGCUCUGCAGCAGGCUGGCUUGCCCAAUUCGUAGGAGCCGAGUCCUUUUUGUGCUGCGUUCUUCUUUGUUGUUAUUCAUUGGCAGUUCUUCAAUGGAGGUCGCAGACAGGUAAUGCUACCAGCACAGGUAUUCUGGUGCCUUGCGUGCUCCCUGUGCAGCACUUGAUCUUGCUCCUGCACAUCUCCUUUCUGUGUUGCUGUGCCUGUGCAAUUAGUACUUAAUUUCGAUUGGUCAGUGGCUUAGUUCUUCCCCCCAUGAACUACUGAAGCAGCAAUUGUUUCUGUUUGAUUUUUGUGUUCGUUUUUCCUUCGUUCGUAAGACCUGUCGUGCACUACAAACCAAUCUGCAAGCUGAUGCUCGCCGUGGAUUCCAGUGGAGCGUUUGUGUACCCUGCAGGUGCUGUGCAGAGCGGAGGGCAGCUCCUUUAUUUUUGUUCUCUGUUUCUCAGUGAUGGAAAAAAAAUUUCAGGGGAUUUUCUGUCCAUUUUUUUCUCAGCUUUGAUUUCUAAUUUCGCUCGUAGUUUGGUCGUUUGAGCUUCAAAUCUUGUUCCGUCUGAUGCAUUAAUUUACUACCGCUACGAGUAAUCAACCUAGAUACUCUCGUCACCAGUUGGCUUGAAUAUUUUAGGUUUGACUUGUCAUUUGUGCUUAGGAGUGAUAUUGGGAUAGCAGCCAAAUACUUCGAAAGAAAUUUGAGGCUCCCAUUCACUCCCCCUCUGGUCGCCGCUUUCGAUCCUUCAAGUUCAUCAUCUUUUAGAGAGUCAGAAGUACCAGGAAAAAGAUUGGUAGUAAUUCAGAAAUAAAUUAAGCACAAGGUUGGAUUGUGAAUUUUAGAGGUUAAGAGAGUGGAGCAAUCAUCAAAAUCAACUCUUGUUAAACCCAGACAUGGUAGAGUCUAAGUCAAUUGUACAAUCAAAGUCACAACCUAGAGCAGUGAUUACAAGACCCCAAGUACAGCUACACUCUUUCCCACACAUGUGAAAUGUUAUGAGUCAAUUUUAGUGUGCAUAAGAAUUCUUUAGUGAGCACUUCUAUACCAAGUUUAAGGGACUCACCAAAAACCUCCAAAAACCAAUGGUAUUAAAAUAUCAUUGAAUUCUUUAGUAAUACCUGUGCGGUCCACAAGAGCCGGGUCGAGGAUGCUUGUAUGGCGGAAACCGCUCUCCUUUAGGUUGUUGAACUUGAUCAGCUCUUCUGGUGAUAAUAUGAGUUCAUUCUUCAGGCUCCAUUGCUUUUGGAGGAGGUUCGUAGAGCACCACUUGAUGGUGACUCUCCCCUUCCUCCAUCCUCUCAUGGAUUCCCUCAUUAGAGUGGUGAGAGCUUUGAGAACAACUCUCACCUCCUUUGGACUUCUAGAAUCAGGAGAGGAAUGCUUUCUCCAUUUUCCUGCACAACACAGACAACCAAAUUUUUUCCUACUUCUACUCCUAUGCAAGACUAAAUAUUUUUUUUGGUUUUUUAAGGACAACUAUUCUAAUCUUGAGAAAUAACUUGCAACUAAGAAGAGAGGAGAGGGAUUGUGAGCUCGAGAUAAUUUUGGUGGUUUUGGUGUGGAAUUGAGCUCACAAUGCAUGGGUAUUUAUAGGGGUAGAAGGGCAUGUGGUGAACACCCCAAUGUGGGGAUCGGCCGACCUCCCCAUAAGCACUAUGUUUCAAAAUUUUGAAUCAUGGCAGGGAAUCUUGCAACAUAUAUGAACUCUUUUCCAAAGAUUGGCCAAUGUAGGGGUCGGCCGGCCCCUACCGUAAGAACUUUAGCAAUCUAAAUGAUGUGGCAUUAAGUGUCUACUAAAGUAAAGCCUAGGCGUGGACAACAAGUAAAGUUCCUUUAUAAGAUUCAAUUGCCUAGUGCUAUGUGAAAGAGAAAAGAUGAUUUUCAAAAGUGGAGAUAUGCUUAAAGUAGUUGUCAGUGAUCAUGACAGCACUAGAGCUUGUCUAGGAGAGCACUUUGCAGGUUUAAGCUGGUGCACAUGUCCCAAACAAACCAUUUCUUUUCAGACUUUGGCUUGUGCGUCAUGCAUGACAUUCUAAAGCAAAGCAAAUGGGAGAUAGCAGACUGCCAAAAUGGCAAGUCUUGGGGUUGACUGACCCCAACUUGAAAGCUCCAGGAGCAUCCAAGUGCUGACCUCGACACAUUGCAUCAAGCAAAAGUGAAAGACUGCAAGUGGGCCAAAUGGUGGGGUCGGCCGACCCCACCUCUAGGUGAUCCACAGGUCAAAACUGUAUUGCAAGUUGUUCUCAAGAUUUUUAUUUAUUAUUCCUAAACAUUUUGUCGAAGCGAGAUAUGCAAAACUAAACUAAGCAUGCAAUUGGAAUGGAAAUGCAAGAAUUUAAAUGCAAUGAGUAAAGAUGGGAUAAAUACUGAUCUACCUUAUCACCAAGGGCUCCAUGUUUUAGGUCCGUAGAGUAGGACCUCUCCAUCUUGUUUAUUGCUUGGGUGCUUCAGAUGGCCCUAGAGAUAUGGACCAAGAUUGCACCUCCUCUUGCCACACUUGCCUACCUUUGCCUUGAGGUUCUUGGAGGCAUGGUAUGGUUCUCCUUUAAGCACAAUGGCCUCUAUGGUGACCUCGGGUUCUGCAGCUAGUCUCCCUCAUGAUUGAAGGGGUCCGCACUGAUAGAAUUGAUGACAUUUGUGCUAGUGAGGACCACGACAGGCUACUCAAGGUAACUCGAGAGGCAUAUAGAGGGCUAGAAGGUGUUGAUUUUAAGACAAGGAGGAUUGGGAUGGAGAAGAAGAGGGAAGGCCAAGGAAAGCUAUUGCCAAAGAUUACAAACUUCUUUUCACAAGAGUGCUAGCACAACACUCUGGGUCAGAUUGGGUUUCCCAACUAUGGAUCGCCCGACCCCACCUCGGUGGAACCAAAAGUUCACACUUCUCCCUCAACUCUCCUUUUUGUAGGACCACUUUCAAGAUACUUGCAUCCUAUCAAGUAGGGUUCGCCCGACCCCUAUUUGUUGGGUACAGAGCAAGCAAGUUCGGGUUCUACACUUUUAGGUGAUUAGAAGUGGUCUGGCCAAGUUUGAGCCAUAGUGGGUACUAAGUCCAUGUCGCCCGACCCUAGUUUGGAAGUUCUAGAGCGAAUAGGUUCUGGGUUAGUACUUCCCCACAUGUCAUAGAUGGUUUGGCCAAACAUAGGCUUGGUUAGCUACUAAGAUGGGGUCGCCCGACCCCAUAAUGGAGGCUCCCCAAAACCAGUUUUGUCUUAAGGACUAACAUAAGUGUAUUCAUUCUAUCCUAAAGGCCAAUCAACACAAAAUAUAUAAAAGAAGUUAAGACAUGUAAAUUUUAGUCUUGUUGAAUCAUUAGCAAGGAUGAGUUGUAGCAUGUCAACCUCUUCUAACAGGGAUCGAACUCCUAGAAAACUCUUAAGAAGGUGGCCACUUACCUCGAAGAUGAUGAGUCGUAGCAUUGGCCCUUCUUAGUUGCAUUGAAGUUCUAUUUGGCCAAGAAACUUGUCUUCGACAAUGAGGAUCUCAAGUUGUCUCCAUGAAUGAUCUCAUGACUUACCCAUAGAGAUAUCGAUGUUCUUGCUGCAGGGGUUAGUCCAAAAGUGCAACCAAGUUCCAUGCAAGUAUGUUUGGUUCAAUAAUCAAACAUAACACCAUGUCUUGUUUGAUUAAGGUAGUAUAUUUAACCUAAGCACCAUGCUUAAUUUAAAAAGACUAUGGAGGUACUCACUCGAGCGAUUAGUAUAACCAAACCAAAGCAUACUAACAUAGAAAGAGGGAGCAUGAUAGGAUGAACAAGAUUCAUUAUACUAGAGUCAAGAUAAUGAGUGAUGAAGACAAGAGGCAAAUAUUUUUUUCUUUUAUUAUUAUUAUUUUUAAAUUUUUAUAUGCAAGACAAUGCAAAGUGGAGGAUGAAUGCAUUUAAACAAAUAUGCUAUGGUUAAAAUAAAGAUUAAAAAAAAUAAAUGAGUGAUAUGCAUGAACAUCUAGGCUUUAGCUUUUUCCUGUGGCGUGGCCCAUCCAAAGGACAUCAUCAUACCAACUAUUAAAGCCGAUAUAUGAGCCAGGAUGUUCCAACAUUUGACUACCACAAAGCCAGACUAGGAGCCCAAAUAGGUAGACAACAAUAAAAUUGUUGUCUAUCUAGACUAGGCAUGAUGCCUGAAUACAACUCAAUGACUAGGAGCUACCCAAGAAAGCACUAGAUUUAUGCAAUAUUAAGCAAACUUGCAGUGGAAAGGAUAAAAAGAAAAGAAAGGUAAAAGAAGGAUAACCCGGACGACUUCGUUCUAAGUUAGAUCAGCUAACGUUCCCCAGCAACAGUGCCAGAAAGCUUGUUGGCAUUUCAUAGCGUCAUCACAACAGAUAGACUAAAAGUCCAUCCCUGCAACAGCACCGGAAAGCCUGUUGACUCUAGAAGUGGCAAACGGAAAUACCGCAAGCGUACGGUAGUCAAUGUAGCUUUCACCGGGAGUAUUCCAGGUAUCGUAUUUUCCACGGGGAACGUGAAGUGAACUAACUAGGCUCAAGGUCAUCCAAAGGGUCAAGGAUAGGUAACGAUAGGUAAGUGAUCUCACACAGAUCCUAAUCUAAAGAUAAAUGGUAGAGAGCUACCUAGGUGGGAGGACAACGAGUGAGAAAAGACUCCUAUGACUCUAACUUUACUCCUGUGAACCAAUCUAAUCUAGCAGCGUACACACACUAACGUUGCUAAACUUAACUACUUGUUUGUUGGAAGUCAACUGCAAUAGGAGGAUGAAACUCCUAUCCAAGGGGACUCGUUUCUUAUGGGCGCCUAAAGACCGUACCCGACAUGAAUAGCACCUAUUGUCAAGCUUCGCCGCCGCCCGCUAUCACGUUUGCUAUGGUGGUAUUCAAGGGCAGGCUUUAGCCUAAGCACCACGCUUAUGCUAACUCCUACUACUCAGACUAAGUACACAACCUAGUCCAAGCACCGUGUUACCAGUAGAGAAAACAACCCAAGCACUUAAGACUAACUUAGCUAGUAUAUAACUACUAUAAGACAGACUAGGACACUAUAAUAGAAUAUUGUACUAAGUAAAUGCAGAAAGUAAAUACUUAGAAAAGUAAACGAAAAGUAAAUAUAUUAAAUACUCAAAGUCUAACAAGAGAGAAGGUAAAGAGGAAUACUAGACUCUCCAGAAGACAACUCCGGAGACUCCGAGCUUCGCUCGACUCAACUCUAACUCCCACACUAGACUAACUACUACUACCCUACAUUGUAACAAGUGGAUCUUGAAGUGUGAGAUGUCAUAUGAGAUGAAGGCCUAUAGGGGGUAUUUAUAGCAGGAGGUGGAGUAGGGGCUACUCCACUUCCAUGUCAGCAUUCCACGUGACCUCCAGCAUGCACCAUUGGAUAAAACGACCUUGGAACCACCAUAUGAUCAACGGUUGGGCAUUUCCAUCACAUGUUCAUCAUGGGGAUGUCGGUGGGGUGCAACCGACCUUGGGGAGGCCACAUGUUAGGGUUGGCCAACCGACCUAUUGCUUCCAUGUGGACCCCACCAAGCUUCUAGAAGAUGUUGAGGUUGGUGGGAGUGUGGGCCAGGUGGGACUCCUCCAAAGGUGGGUCGGCCGACCUACACUUGGGGGGGUUGGCCCACCACCUUGCUCCACAUGUUGUCCCCACUUGUCAUCUUCAAUGUUUUGUUGAUCUGCGGUGCUUUUGGUUCUUGAUCAUCUUUGCUUCAUUUGAGCUUGAUCACGCUUGAUUAGUGGUUGUUUGCACCUGCAUCCAAAUAAUGACAUGUACAUGUGGAACCAAGUGAAUUGUACAUAUGUCACUACUUAGUUGCUUGGUGUUAACCCCAAAACUGAACCAUUGUUGACGGUUUUAGCGGUCAAAAAUCAUAGUGAAAAUACCGUGAACAUUAUGUUAAUCUGAAACAAAUAAAAAGAUGCAUAACCAUAGAAAACCCAAAUAAAGAUUUGCCUAUUUAUUUAUAUCUAUAUUUAUCUUUUUGGUUGAUAUUAAAUUUGUUAAAUAAAACUUAAGAGUGUUUAUUUGAAGAAUUUGCAUGCUAAAAUGAACCCCUCAAAGUAAGCUUUUAUAUGAAAAUGAUGAAUAGUUGCUCUAUUGUAAUUCCUUUCGAGUUCCUAGUUUUCAACCUCGAACUCUCCCGAGUUUUGGACACAACUAUUAUAUUUGAGGUCUGUUCUGAACUUGAAACUUGUGGGUAGUGAAUGCUUGAUCUAAGUCUAGGUUGUUGAUGAAUAUGAUAUGGGAAUGUUUUGAGUUGCUGUCCAUAUUGUUUCUAGAGAUACUAGAGUUCUGGAGAAUUUAUCUUUGAAAAUCUUAAAUUGUUGAAUGAUGAGUUCCUGUAUGAUGAGAGUUCAAAAUUCCUACCACAGCCAAAUAUACAUGGUUACUAGAUUAGGAAAGCCAUCCACUUCCAUACUUUGCUUGUAGGCAAUGCACAAUCAAAGACACCACCUUCACGCACACCGUCUGUGACACUAGAUCAGGCUGCAAUGUCACACCCAUAUUUUGAGAACAAAAUAGGAUGCAUAAAAGACUCAUAUGUGCCCCAGAAACAGUCGCACACAUAAGUAGACAAAUCUCAAAUGUACCAUUGCAGUGUUUAUUACAUAGCGGAACGAUAAUAAUUCACAUAGCCUUAUACAAUAAUGAUAUCAAGAAGUAAACAACGCUCUUGACGGAAGCACCACACAGGGACACUGUUGAUUGAUUGACUCCAAACCUAGUACUCAUAACGGUAGAACUCAUUCCAAGCAUCAUCAUUUGCAUAACCUGGGGUGUUGGGAAAUUGCAAGAGUGAGCACAUAUUGUACUCAACAAGUAUACCAGUGUUUAACACUCUGCAGAGGUUGUACAUCUUUACCCAUGAGUCAUGAUUUACCCUUUCACCCGAGGUAGCUAAUCUCUUAACCCCCUUCCUAGGGAGGUCGGCAGGGAUCACUAUGAAGCCUUUCAAAAGUUCGUCUAACAUGUUAGGGCCGCAAGGUUUCCUCAGCGAGUAGAUAUAGAUACCCCCUUCCAAAUGGCACAAUGACGCGCAACCUAUACACAUAGGGACAGGGGCUCACACUAUACCCUUGUCGGUCAAUCCCCUCUAGCGCCCUUUCGGGUAACCUCUAAAAAGCUAGAAAAGGUCUUCAUACAGAGCUAAAGGCAGAGCCAUUAUAGCCCUCAUGGUUGCACUGUUGUCCCGGUGAUCACUUACAGACAAGAUCUCAUAUAGUUAUUUAUCAUCUUUUAACGUUCAUUGCAUAGCUAUUAAUCAUCUUACAAGAUCAUGGAUUAUAUCAAGCACUAGCACAUCUACACCAAAUGCUUAUCAAAUAGGUAACAAGGAAUUCAAGAUAACAAUCAUCUAUGAUUUUUUCUAAGGUCAACAAGGUGGAAGCAUGCAUAUGAUAUAUAUGUACAUUUAUACGUGUAUAGGUAACAAGAUGAUCCCAAGUUAUACUUGCCUUGAUCAAAGCUCUCCUGAGCCUGCUCUGAUUUUCAAAAGCUAGAUCUUGCUCACCAACGUACGGCUCACCGUCUAUUACCAAACAUCAAUCAACAACACGCAAUCCAAUGUAGACAAACAUACACAAAGCAAACAAACUAUAAUUAGAACAUUACACCAACAGUGAGAAAUCAAAGAUAAAAGUUUAUAAAAAUAUUCUACGUAGCUCUACGAUCACACAAACGUAAAGUUCACGAAAAUCGGAUUAAAACGUAGAAGUUAUGAAUUUUCUUAGAUUUCCUAUAGAUAAAUAAUUAAUUAAAUGCUACUGCAAAAGUAAAAAGUUUCAACACAGAGAAUUAAUACUUCUAACAUGUAGAGCUCGUAAAUACGGAUCUAACGAAAUUUGAAUGAACAAAAACGGAGGUAAAACGAAUAUUUUAUGAGCAAUUUAAAUCUGGUGGCGAACUUGUAAUUAUCUGAAAGCGUAUUUUUCUUAACCCGACAGAGAAUACGUUUUCUUAAUUUGGAAAGCGUAAAAAUGGAGAAGGCACUUUGGACGGCGGGUUAAUUUGGCGAAAACUCAGGGGCUCUUUAGAAAAAUCUCCAGGCGAAGGGGUAUCUUCAUUUGUGGGCCGUUGAUUCGCGAUCCAACGACCGAAACUUGAUCUGGGACAGGGUCAGCUGGCCUCGUCGCCGGAACAGAGCUCGACGCAGUGGCGCCAUGGCCAGAGGGCCCGAGCUCAGCGGCGUUCACGGUUUCGACGAUUCAGUGCCUCCCAGGAAGAAAGAAACACCGGGCGGAAGAGGAGCUCACUGCGAAUCCGACUGGGAGUUUUUCUUGGGCGGAGAGGGAGCAGGAGGAGCGCGUGGCGGUGCAAAAGAAAGACACGUUUCGGUGAGAUCCGAAACUCGGUAUAUGUGACGGCUAGGGUUCCCGUGAUGCGGAAUACGGCAAAGGAAGGUCGUGGGGAGUUCCUAGGGCCUUUAUAGGGGCUUGGCACACAAGAUAGGAAGGAGAGCACGAGUCGGGAUCGGCUCGGAGCUGGGGGAAAGAAUCCGCCUCGGAUACGACAAGCAAGAAAAAGAUGGACCAAAUCGCCAAUGAAGAAAAAGAGAUCUUAGCAUGAUUAAAAGCAUGGGAGAAAGAUAACAAAGAUGAAGAGUUGGAGCUAGAGAAGAAAGAAGCAAAAGAGAUAGAAGCAAGAAGGAAGGAAGACGCAUGUAACGCAUCACCACGAAACGAGGAGUUGACUGAGGUUACCUCAGACGAUGAACCCACUGAGUAAGUCUUCUCCACUAUAUAAGUCCUCUUGGUAGACUUUAAGUUCCGUACCCUAGCCAUAAGGUCAGAAUGGUAGUUAUCUAGUUAAGUUAGCAUGCAUUAGUAAUUUUGCUUUAAUACACCUAGUAGCAUAUUUAUUUCUCUUGGCAUAUUAAUACAAAAUACAAAAAAAUAUUUACUGCUUUCAUUACUCCAUCAUAAAUACCAAAGUCAUAUGUGAAUAAACUUAUGGUAACCCCUUAGGAAUAUUUAUUGUAGUGGCAUAAAAAAAUUAAACAGCAUUCAUAUUUAUUUCAUUUGUUAUAAAAUCAGAAAAUACAAAAAGAUAGAAACAUGAAAUUUUACAAAAUUAGCUCAUAAGAAUAAUCAAUUCCUCAUUGGCUGACCACUAACCCAUUAUUAAAUUCAAGCAUCGAGUUUUAGUUUUCUUGUUGGAGUAUGACUAUGCAAGAACAGCACCAAGUAUUGCAAACAUCUAGCUUGGGGGAGGAGCAUCCCCUAGUUAUCAGGUAAUUAUACCUAAGUGAUUUUGGAGUCUAUAUAGUCAUAAAAAUACCAAAAAUAUGUGGGCACAUGAAGGUCCACAAGUCAUAGUCUUUUUGUGAGUUUAUAACUAGUUAAGUGUUAGAGUCUAUUCAGAGUCAGUUUAAACUUGAGCUAAAUAAAAAAUUAUGAACAUUAAAAUUUUAUCUUAGAGAUGAUGAAUAGUUGCUUUGUUGUAGUUCUUUACAAGUACCUAGAUUUCAAUGUUAGAUUCUCUCGAGUUUUGGACAUUAUUGUUUUAAUUUGAAGGUUUACUCUGAACCUAUAACUUGUGGAGGCAUAAGUUUGAGCUAAGUCUAGGUAGUUGGUCGAUGUGAUCAUUGAAAGUCUGAGCUGCUAUUUAUCUUAUUCCUAGCAGUACUAAGCUCUAGAGAUUUAUUUCAAAUAUUUAAAAUUCACAUGAUGAGCUCUUGUAUGACAAGUUUGAAUUCCUACCAAAGCCUAAAAUUAUAUCAUAGAGAUAGGAAACUUUGGCACAUUUAUGCUGCUUGCUAUACAUUGAUUUUAGUCAACCUUUGUAGUAUACCUUGUGAGAGUCUUGUCAUACUUUCAAAACCAAGAUCAUGUACACACUUCAGUUCACAUAUGCAUUAUUCCUACACUGGGAGUAAUCGUAAUCAUUUCCAUUCCAUGUUUAUUGAUUAUGCUUUUCUCCUACACUGGGAGUAAAUACCAACAUAAACCAUACCCAUAGGAUAAAGCCCGUCAUAAAUGCUCUAAGUUAUUAUUAUUACCUCUUUGAUCAUUUAUUGUAUUCAAAGGAUACAUGUGGCCAUGCAAAAAUAUAAAAGAAGAAAAGGGAGUAAAAGAUGGACAAGUGUCCCAGUAAUUAAAACAAUGGGUACUAGAUGCCCGCCUCCUUGAAUAAAAAUAAAUAAUAAAGAUAGCCCAUGUCAACCCCUAAAAAGUUUCAAUACAGAGCUAUUCCCAAAGAAAUAGAAAAGCCACUAAUACCACAAAUUUCUACUUUUUAGUAAUGACAGUAAUAAAUGUCAACACCUUUGAUGGAUGAGCGCGAACCCCCUCAAAGUAGGUACGUUCACCAGUGGUGUAUUUGGCACAGAUGACCUCUCCCUUCUUGUUGGUAUUUACUCCCAACAGCUUCUCAUUGCGCAUCGGUGGCAGGAUGUUGGUGUCUGCCAGCAGAGCAACGAUGGGGCCCUUUGAUGGAGCUCCUUCCAAGAGGAGAGGCUUGGUGGAAAUGGGCAGAACAAAAUAAGAUUGUCCACAGCAGUGUGGUUGCGGUGGUAUAAUGGCUAUUGGGAUAGGUUCUUCUAUUGGAAUGAUAGCUUUGCACUCAGGCUCCUCUCUAGGGAUGUUGUUGAGAUCAAUCCCAAAGGGGAUCAUUCUCCUCUCUAAAUUCUUCUUAGACAUUGAUGAGUAAAGAGGCGUUCCUAGCUUCUAAGCAAGAGGAGAGGAGAGCUAUGAUGGGAUGAGAUGAGACCAUAGGCAUGGGUGGCUUAUAUAGGGGUAUGGAAAAGUAUUUUUGGAAGUGAACUGACGAAGGAUGGGAAGAAAAUCGAAAGAUUCAAUUUUUAUCAAUAAGGAAGGUCUCAGGAUGUAAAUGGAGAAAGGCGGCGGUGAAUGGCUUUGGGGGAGGGGCGGGCGCUCAUAGGGUUUUGGGCGGCUGCCUAACCUUUGAGCUCGCUCUGCCUCAACUUUUUUGUAUACUUUAUUAAUUAUAUUCUUAUUUGGAAAAAGUUGAUUUUCUCUGAUAAUUAAAAAUAAAAGGGUCGGGCCUAACUAUUUCAAUUGAGAAAGAAAGUAAUUAUGUCUACUUCCUCUAAUUCAUUGUUGGGCUCAAAAAUAAUUUAAGGCAUUGACCAUUUACCUUGAAUAACGUACCUUCGUUGUUGCCAAGCGUGACUGCUCCAUGCGAUGACGAGCUCACCACAUCGAACGAUCCUUCCCAUUUGCUUCAAAGUUUUCCAUGCCCGAAGAGCUUCACCCUAAAAUUAAAAAGUAAUACCUUAUCUCCUAGGGUGAACUCCUUCUUCAUGAUCCUUUUGUCUAGCCAUCUUUUUACUCUCUAUUUAUAAAUCUUGGCAUUGUGAUAUGCUUUUUCUCACCACUCUACUAGCUUAGAGAGAUGCAUCUUCCUCUUGUUCUCCAGCUGCUUCCAAGUCUAUGUUCCAUCUUUUGAUAGCCCAGUGAGCUUUGAAUUCUAGCUCUACUGGUAAGUGACAAGUUUUUCCAUAGACAAGUUGAUAGGGUGACAUCCUGAUGGGUGUCUUAUAUGCUGUCCGAUAUGCCCAGGACGCAUCAUGAAGCUUGUCCUUCCAAGCUGUCCCCAUCUCAUUUACUAUCUUCUAUAGAAUAUUCUUAAUUUGCUUGUUUGAUGUCUCUACCUGACCACAUGUAUGAGGAUGGUAAGGAGUAGCAAUGUUGUGACAUAUCCCAUGCUUCGACAAGUAUUGCUUGAAGCGCUUGUCGAUGAAGUGAGAACCUCCAUCACUUAUCACCAUCCUUGGAAAUCCAAAUCUUGGAAAUAUUAUUUUUUCAAACAUAUUCUUUGAAUGCAUACUAUCAGCAUUCCUGCAUGUCAUGGCUUCAACCCACUUGGAGACAUAAUCCACAGCCACCAGGAUAUAAUCAUACUUCUUUGAUGGUGGAAAUGGCCCCAUGUAGUCAAUCCCCAGAAAUCAAAGAGCUCUAUCUUGAGAUUGUUGAUGAGUGGCAUGGCAUCCCUUGAAUUGAUAUUACCAUGCCUUUGACAUGGGCCACAUCUCUGAAUUAAUUCCCUUGUGUCUUCAUACAUUGUUGGCCAGAAGAAUCCACACUGCCAUAUCUUGGCAUAUGUUCGGAACACUCCAAAUGACAUCCAUAUGGUGAUGAAUGACAUUUUUCAAUGACUUUAAUUUCUUCUUCAGCUGGCACACACCUUUUGAGUAAGCCAUCAGAGCAUACUCGAAAGAGGUAUGGUUCAUCCCAUAUGUGAGAACGGCUCUAUUGGAUUAGCUUCCUUUUGUUGCCUCCUGGUGGUACAUAACCUGUAACCAUAAAAUUAACAAUAUCUGCAUACCAGAGGUCAGAUCUGUUGAUUCCGUAGAGCAUGUCAUCCUAGAGUGAGUCGUUGAUGGGUAGUUCCUAUGAAUUUUCAAAUUGCAUUCUAGAUAAAUGGUCGGCAACAUAAUUUUCUACUCUCUUUUUAUCUUCUAUUUCUAAGUCAAAUACUUGGAGUAAUAAAAUCCAUCUUAUCAAAUGGGGUUUAGCAUCUUUCUUAGUGAGCAAAUAUUCUAAAGCAGCAUGAUCAUAAUAAAUAAGUAAUUUAGCUCCCACUAAGUAAGAUCUAAACUUAUCAAUAGCAAAAACAAUAGCUAGGAGCUCUUUUUUAGUAGUAGCAUAAUUAAGUUGAGGUCCUAUCAGAGUUUCGCUAGCAUAAGCUAUUACAUGAUGAUUUUUAUCUUUAGUUUGCCCUAAUACUGCCCCCACAACAUAACCACUAGCAUCACACAUAAUUUAAAAAGGUAAAGACCAAUCAGGGGGUUGAAUAAUUGGCGCUGAGAUGAGUGCUUUCUUAAGAAUUUCAAAAGCUUGUAAACAUGCAUCAUCAAUUUCAAAAGGAACAUCCUUAGCCAAUAAGUGAGUAAGAGGUCUAGCAAUAUAUGAAAAAUCUUUAAUAAACCUACGAUAAAAACAGCAUGGCCAAGGAAACUCCUAAUUCCUUUUACAUUAACAGGCGGAGGUAAAAGUUCAAUUACUUCUAUUUUAGCAUUAUCUACCUUAAUGCCUCUUUCAGACACUAAGUGUCCUAGCACUAUUCGUUCUCUAACCACAAAAUGACAUUUUUUCCAAUUAAGGACUAAGUACUUUUCUUCAUACCUUUGCAAAACCUUAUCUGAGUUUUCUAGACAAUCAUCAAAGGUUUUUCCAUAAACAGAAAAAUCAUCCAUGAAAACUUCCAUAAUCUUUUCAAUAAUAUCAGAAAAUAUAGACAUCAUACAUCUUUGAAAAGAAGCAGGUGCAUUAAAUAACCCAAAAGACAUUCUAUGAUAGGCAUAGGUUCCAUAGGGACAUGUAAAGGUGGUUUUGCUUUGGUCAUCAGGAUGGAUAGGGAUUUGGUGAUACCCUGAAUAUGCAUCUAAGAAACAAAAUAAGGAAUGAUACCCUGAAUAUCUCUCUAAGAAACAAAAGAAGGAAUGGUUGGCUAACCGCUCUAGCAUCUAAUCGAUGAAAGGCAAUGGAAAGUGAUCUUUCGUAGUUGCCUUAUUAAGUUUUCUAUAGUCUAUGCACAUCUGCCAUCCUAUGAUGGUGCGUUGAGGGAUUAACUCAUUCCUGUCAUUUUGGACAACAGUCAUACCUCCCUUUUUAAGUACAACUUGAACAGGGCUUACCCACUCACUAUGCGGCACAACAUAAAUGAUGUCUGCAUGCAAUAGUUUUAAAACUUCCUUCUUUACAACCUCUCUCAUCGCAUUGUUUAGUCUAUGUUGGGGUUCUCUAGAUGGUGGAAUAUUAGGAUCUGUAGGAAUGCAAUUGGUGCAAAGAGCAGCACUAAUUCCCUUGAGGUCCUAGAGUGAGUAGCCAAAGGCUAAGUGAUAUUUUUCUAGGACUGCCAUCAGGCGAAGAGUCUGCUCCUGAGUGAGUUUAUCACUUAUAAUGAUGGGAGACUCUAGAUUGUCACCUAGAAAAGCGUAUCUAAGGCCAGUUGGUAAAGGUUUAAGCUCAAUAGGAGGCUUAGGUGGUACUGCACACUAGAAGAAGGGUGGGGCUUUUUGACGUUCUAAUAGGUCACAAUUUAUAGAAUUUACAUCACUACUUCAAUUUUUUGACGUCCAGAUGACGAAAAUCCAAACGUCAAAAAGCCACAGUCACAAAAUUACUAUAUGACAUUUGUUUUGCUUAAUGUCAUAAGUAUAUGACGUCUGAUUUCAAUGUCAUAUAAUCAUAUGACAUUGGUUUAGUGUCAUUAAAUACUAGGCCAUGCCACAUGGGCAAGUGCCACAUAGGAUCAAUUGCUGACAUGGCAGGAAGGAAAGAACGUCAAAAAAUGAAAUUUGGCCUGCUAGAGCCCAUAUACCAUGCAGUCGUCUUUCAGCCCAUUUAGCCUUUUUAGUCCACUAAUUUCAGCCUAUAUUUUUUUCUAGCCCACUGAUUUCAGCCCAUAUUUUUUUCCGGUCCAUGAAUUUCAAUCCAUUUUUUUCCUAACCUCAACAAUUUGGCCCAUAACUUUUUCCCAACCAAUACAAUUCGGCCCAGCCUAUUUCUAGCUCAUAGAAUCUAGCCCAUCAAUACAAUUCAGCCCAACUUUUUUCCCCAAUCGACAACAUACAAUUCAGCCCACAAUUCAGCCCAUACAAUAUCCAGCCCACAUACAAUUCAGCCAUACAACAUACAACCAAAUUCAAAUAAGUAAUCUCCACAAAUCAUUGUAAUAUCGCAAGCACAAGUUUUAAAGUGCAAUACAAUUACAUGAAGAAUACCAAAUAUCUCUAGAACAGCUCAAAUGACUCAUGAGCAUCACCUACAUCAACAACAUCACAUAACUAGUAGGAGCAAAGCACUGCACAGGCAACAACAGGGCACCAGCGGUGGUGGCACACCAGCAGCAGCAUCACAAUGGCUAGCAUGAUGGCUACCAACAUAGAAAUGUCCUAGUGCACCUUGUUGAUAUUUGGUAACGCAAUCAGAAUUAAUCCGCAAGCGCACGGAUAUCGGUGAGCACUUCACCCGGUAUGUUAUCGAGAGUAUCGUAUUUAUAUUUUUACCACUAGAAGAAAGCGUGCAUCUGACUAACCUGGUCUAUUACUACUAACCUUUAAGCUACAAACUAUGUGAUUCGAUGUGAGCGAUGUAUAGAGAAGACUACAACUGCACUCUCGUUCUAACCUUGGUAAGGAUGAUCUACUGUUUUGUUGGGGAGGCUCGCGGAAUCUAGACACCACAAAGGAUGUUCGACCCGCACCUAUAAACCCUAUCGAGCCUGCUAACGGGAUAUGGGCUACAAAGGUAACUCGAAAAUGUCACGUUCCUCGAUACUACCAUGGUCCAGCUAGUCAGGGGAUAUCUAUGAGUAUCCUAGCCCAAACACCACGUUUACGCUAGAGAUGAUUACUCUAAACUCUACAUGAAGAGAUCAAAGUAAACUCAUAAACCAAAGAACAAUAAAACAAAGAACUUACUAGAAUUUAGAAGUUGAAAUACUGAAGAAUCCUAGGAGCAAGCCUCAGGUUUGGAGACUUGAUUCCACAGGUACAACCUCGGAGUAGACACCGACAGGCCGGGCUUCCUCUGCUCUACACCUCCACUCUAUCUCUCUCAAUCUAGUAGAACUAAUUCUACUCUCACAUUGGAUGCUACGCCCUAUGAGGUGGGAACCCUAAGGAUCCUCUCUAGAAAAUAUGCUAAUGAAUAAUUAGAUUCUAUCUCUCCAGGAGCCAGGGGCCUUGCUUAUAUAGCCUUUUCAAAUGAAUCUGGGCCGUCGGAUCAAACCGACAUUGAUUGAACGGUUCUCCUUGAUCCUUUAGGUUGGUGGAGCAUAAUCUGCGAGGUUGAACGUGAUUGGCCACCAGAGGUGGGUGGGCGCCCAAGGUGGCAGGGCGGGCGCCCUGCCCCCGGGCCCGAUCGGCCUCCCGUUCGUUCCCGUGGCUUCUGGAGUCUUCUAGAUGUUGAAUAAUUGCGCGGCACGUUAAUAUCUCUAUGUAAACCUGACAUGUGGGCCUUUCUUCCAUAUUUCCUGAUAACCCUCUGCAGAAAUAUAUAAACAACAAAACUCGUGGAAUUCUGUCAAAUCAAACCCUAAUUCUAGGUGUUGGUUGUAUACUGCUUCCUCGAGCAUGCUUCUAGAUGCAGACUUUAUUCGAAAAAUAUAUAUGUGGCCCAAAAACGUCUGAUUAAAAAGGUCGGGCUCUAAUUCUCCAUGGGAAGGUAGAAAUGGAUCAUGUCUAUUUCUUCUAAUCCUUAUUAGGCUCAAAAAAUAAUUUAAGACGUUGACCAUUUACCUUGAAUAACGUACCUUCGUCGUUUUGAAGUGUGAUAGCUCCGUGGGAUGAUGAAUUGAUUACCUUGAAUGGUCCUUCCCAUUUACUCCGAAGUUUUCCAUGCCCGAAAAGCUUCACCCUGGAAUUAAAAAGUAAUACCUUAUCUAUGGGUGCGAACUCCUUCUUCUUGGUCCUCUUGUCAUGCCACCUUUUGACUCUUUCUUUGUAGAUCUUCGAGUUGUGAUAUGCUUGCUCUCGCCAUUCUUCCAAUUCUGAUAGUUGAAUUCUUCUAUGAUCUCCAGCGAUAUCUAGGUCCAUAUUCGAUCUCCUUAUGGCCCAGUGUGCUUUGAACUCUAAUUCAACAGGUAGGUGGCAAGUCUUCCUGUACACCAAUUGGUAUGGGGACAUUCCAAUUGGGGUCUUGUAUGCUGUCCGGUAUGCCUAGAGUGCAUCGGGUAACUUGUCUUUCCAUGCCGUUCCCAUCUCAUUGACUGUUUUCUGAAGAAUAUUCUUGAUUUGCUUGUUGGAAGUCUCUGCUUGGCCACUUGUCUGAGGAUGGUAAGGGGUAGCGACAUUGUGACGGAUUCCAUGUUUUGAUAGAUAGUGCUUGAAGCGUUUGUCGAUGAAGUGUGCUCCUCCAUCACUUAUCACUACUCUGGGAACUCUAAAUCUUGGAAAUAUAACUUCUUCAAACAUCCUCUUUGAACUCAUGUUGUCGGCGUGCUUGCAAGUUAGUGCCUCUACCCACUUGGAGACAUAGUCAACUGCCACUAAGAUGAACUCACACUUCUUUGAUGGGGGAAAUGGACCCAUGUAAUAUAUUCCCCAGACAUCAAAGAGCUCAAUUUGAAGGUUGUUGGUGAGUGGCAAGGCAUCUCUUGUAUUUAUGUUUUCGUGCCUUUGACAUGGCCCACAUCUUAUGAUAUAUUGCUUCGUGUCUUCAUACAUUGUAGGCUAGUAGAUUCCACACUGCCAGAUCUUUGAAUGUGUACGGAAUGCUCCAUAAUUACCUCCAUAAGGUGAUGAAUGACGCCUAUCGAUGAUCUUCCAUCCUUCCUCGCUGGUCACACAUCUCCUGAGUAAGCCAUCAGAGCAUACUCAGAAGAGGUAUGGCUCAUCCCAUAUAUGUGAACGACUUUCUUGAAUCAGCUUCUUCUUGUUCGCUCCUGGUGGUACAUACCCUGAAACCAUAAAAUUAAUAAUAUCUACAUACCAGGGGUCACACCUGUUAAUCCCGUAGAGCAUGUCGUCUCGGAGUGAAUCAUUGAUGGGGGUUUCCUAUGCAUUCUUAAAAUACAUUCUAGACAAGUGAUCAGCAACAAAAUUUUCUACUCCCUUUUUAUCUUUUAUUUCUAGGUCAAAUUCUUGAAGUAAUGAGAUCCAUCUAAUCAGGUGAGGUUUAGCAUCUUUUUUAGUGAGCAGAUAUUUUAGUGCAGCAAUAUCAGUGUAAACAAUUAUUUUAGCUCCAACUAAAUAAGAUCUAAAUUUAUCAAUGGCAAAGACAACGGUCAGAAGCUCUUUUUCAGUGGUUGCAUAAUUAAGUUGAGCUCCUGUCAAAGUUUUACUGGCAUAAGCAAUUGCAUGAUGCUUCUUAUUUUUAGUUUGUCCCAAGAAUGCCCCCACAGCAUAAUCACUAGCAUCACACAUAAUUUCAAAAGGCAACGACCAAUCAGGGGGUUGAAUGAUUGGUGCAGAGAUGAGUGCAUUGUUUAAUAAAUUGAAAGAUGUUAGGCAUGCAUCAUCAAAUUCCAAAGGAGCAUCCUUGGCUAGCAAAAGAGUAAGUGGUCUAGCAAUAAAUGAAAAAUCUUUUAUGAAUCUGCGAUAAAAACCAGCAUGGCCAAGAAAGCUUUGAAUUCCUUUUAUAUUCACAGGUGGAGGUAGUUGUUCAAUUACUUCAAUUUUAGCUUUGUCUACCUCAAUACCUCUUUCAGACACUAGGUGUCCCAGCACUAUUCCUUCCCUAACCAUAAAAUGACAUUUUUCCCAAUUAAGGACUAAGUGCUUUUCUUCACAUCUUUGCAAAACCUUGUCUAAGUUUUCAAGACAACUAUAAAAUUUUUUCCAUAUAUGGAGAAUUCAUCCAUGAAAACAUCCAUAAUCUCUUCAAUCAUAUCAGAAAAUAUAGACAUCUGUUGACACCGUUUUUGGACACGUAUCCGAGAUCGGUAGGAUGUGAAUCGGCAAGAUAGGGUAAUAGUCAUUGAUCUGCAGGAAGGUUGCUGAUGGAGAUGGUUACCGAUGAAGAGAUAGCCGAAUAUGACUAAGUUCAUAGGUGGUGAUGUGUUUGUGCCGAUGGUCGGUAUUAACUCGCGCCGAUGGCUACGAUAAGGAGGUCUGCCGAUGAUGCGGAAGAAAGACCUGAAGGUUGCCGAUUGGCCAGUGGAGGUGUCCUAGUUUGUCGUGGCAGAAUAGUUUUAUGUUUUCCUUAGUUAUUUAAAUCUUUUUGUACACGGAUUCUGUUUAAAUUUGAAAUUCGAGUUCUAGUCGUGUCUGGUUGUAGCUCUUUGAGUAGGGUAUAAAUGUAGACCAUAGGGCAUUGUAAUACAGACAUCUAUCAAUCAAUCAAACACCAGUUUUCACUCAUAUUCCAGCAUCUACUUUUCGACGACUUCGUCAUACUUUUUCCUUUUUAUUACGAGUUCUUAGGAAUUCGUCGACUUAAGCUGGGCGUGUUCUCAAGUUCCGUGUGAAUACCUCUUGGUCGUGGCAUCGGGGCGUAUCGCUGUUGUCGGGACCAAAGUAUUCGAGUUACCACCUUUGCCGAUAGUAAGGUCAAAUCGGCUGCCACGCCUUAACGUUUAAAUCAGGUAUUAGCCCUUUGUGUUUGCAGAUCUAGCUUUUGCACCAACACAUCUUUUGGCACGCCCAAUGGGACCCUGAUUUAAGAUCAAGAUCAACAUGUCGACUACUGAAUUUGAUCAGGAGAACGUCAUCCCCGUAACGGAAGCCAAUCUCAAGGAUGCGCAGAAGCAAGCUAUUGCCAAAGCCAUGGAGGAUUACAAGCAGCAAUGUUUGAGAUCCUUCAGUAUCAACAGGAGCGGCGAGGUGAUCUAGAAGGAAGCACUGUCGAUGCCUCGGCAGGUCACUUUUGAUGCCAAUCCUGGUAAACUUCAAGAUAUGGUUGAUAAUGCUAUUAACCGUGCCUUGAUCAAUCAAGCCGGUGUGCUGUCCAAUACGGUUUUUAAUGCCGUUACUAGAACUUUCAAGGAAGGACAGUUGCCACCAAAUUAUGUGGGCCCUUCUAUCAUCAGCUAGACUCACCGGUGGUCACAGCUCCAUCAGCUACUACAGCCGUUGCGGCUACCCAGACUACUGUUCCUCCGAGCACUUUGGGAGUCACUAAUGCGCAAUCUACGCCGAUGACAACUAAUCGAUCGACCUACAGAUCUAUCGGCAUCGGCAAUGUUAGGACCAGUCCCUCCUCCUAACUGGUGGGGUUUUGGUAUGCCCCCAGAGUUCACAUUGAAGACACCUGGCACAUCUCAGGCGGCUGAUAUGAGAGGCAAGGAUCCUAUGACAUCGGCACCUCCAAAUAUGCCGAUGAAUCAGAGUCCCCAGUAUACUACAACUACUACUGCAUCAGAGGUUUAUGAUGCCUAAUGCACUGGGAACUCUCAAGCUCCAACGUUCCAGAUGCCUAAUGCAUCGGCAGAUUCAAUGCUGAUGCAACAAAGGUUUAUGACUCAGCCAGGGUAUGUCCAUUCAAUGAUCAUGCCCAAUUAUCAGUCAUCGGCAGGCCCUAUGCCGAUGAACGCGAACAGUGGAUGGCCUGAGCAGUCAGUUUUUCCACAAAUGUCCCAACAGAAUCAUCAGGCUAUAGGGUUUCAGCAAGGCCAGAUCUAUCCCGGGUUCCAGAACUAAGGGACAGCCAAUCAGCCAAUGAAUCACGGCCAACAAAUCGCAGGUCAGCAAUUUGGUGGUCAACAUAUGGGGGGCUAGGAGUUCGGUGGUCAGCUGGUUGGUGGCCAAAUGAUUAACCCGAUGUUCUAUGCAGAUCGUGCACCGCACAGACACGUGGAAGCCUACCAGCACGUGCCAGAUCCGCAACUGCUUCAUCGGCAAGAUGCCGAUGCUUAUUGGGCCGAUAAGAUUGCUGAAGUAAUGAGAGACCAGUUUGGGAUAAAACCCAAGGUCAACACUUACUCUUAUCGGACACCGUAUCCUCCUACAUAUGAUUUAAUCCCGCUUCCAAAUCGGUACAAAGUGCCGGAUUUUACUAAGUUUUCUGGGUAGGAUGAUACGUCGACUAUGGAGCAUGUCAACAGGUACAUCAUCCAAUGUGGAGAAGCUGCUAACUGGGACGAAUUAAGGGUUCGGUUGUUCUCGUCAUCAUUGUCUGGAUCGGCGUUCACCUGGUUUAUAUCAUUACCUCCUAAUUCAGUGAUUACUUGGGCCGAUCUAGAAAAGCAGUUUCACAAGUACUUCUUUUCUGGGGUUCACGAGAAGAAGAUCACCAUUUUGGUCAGGUUGAAGCAACGCAAUGAUGAAUCGGUUGAGAGCUUUGUGCAGAGACUGUGGGAAGUCAAGAACAAGUGCUAUAGUCUGGUUUUGGAUGAUCAGCAGCUAGCCGAUUUGGCUUUCCAGGGUUUAUUGCCACAUAUCAGGGACAAGUAUGCAUCUCAGGAGUUCGAGAGCUUAAGUCAUUUGGUGCAGAGGAUUUCUGAUCAAGAUAUCAAGCCUUUUGAACCCAAGAGAGCAUGGAACAAAAAAGUGUCAUUUGUAGAUGAAGCAGCAAGCUCGGAUUCUGAUGAGGAACCAGUCAUCGGCUUGGCAGAAUGGGUAAAAAACAAGAAGCCGAUGUCUUGUCCUUUCGGGCACAAGGAACAAGAGAAGUUCACAUUUGACAUCACUAAGGCCGAUAGGAUAUUUGACUUUCUUCUUCAGGAAGGUCAGAUCAAAUUAUCACCAAAUCAUGUAAUCCCAUCGGUUGAGGAGUUGAAGAAGAUGAAGUACUGUAAAUGGCACAAUGCAACUUCUCACAGCACCAAUGAGUGCAAAGUUUUUAGGCAACAGCUGCAAACGGCUAUAGAAUCUGGGAGGAUCAAAUUUGACACCUCCAAAGCUCAGAAGCCGAUGAAGAUUGAUCAACAUCCUUUCCCAACAAACAUGCUGGAUGCUAAGGGAAAGGCCAAGGUCUUAACAUUGGAAGCAGCUAAAAGAAGUGCAUCGGUAGAUCCUCAGCAUCAGAUCACUACCGCCGAUGCGAAAGGAAAAGGCCUGAUCUAGGAGAGAACUAAUUCAGGAAGGCCUCCCCGAUCUGGUAUUGUGAUAACUCACAGAAGGCCUCGGGAGACUUGGCGGCAACGUGAGGAUCGGUAUCAGUGCCAGCAAGAGGAUUAUCGUCGGGAGGAGGAAAGACGCCGACAGGAGUGGAAUCAGCAUAGGGAUCACUAGAAUUGUCCGUUCUUCAUUCACUGUUGGGAGGAAAAUAUCAAACUUCCUACUGUCAGAGAUUGUCCUGAGUGCAAUGGCUAUGAUCGGUAUGACAAAUCUGAUCGACGUUAUCACGAUGAUGAUCGGCGAUUUAAUGGGCCGAUUAGAGGGAGAGCGUCUGUCCACGAUCGGCUUGGGGGUAGACUCAGCGUGCAUGACAGGCUCGGCGAUCGUGUUGGAUAUUUCCCCAGGAACCAGGAAGAACUUGAGGAGAUGGCUAAUGCUCGGGUUCCCGAUGAGUUCAUAUUUUGUAGGGAUGCCAAUACUUAUCGGAUGGAGUCAAGGGAAGGUCAUCGCCCACCGGUAAGGCGGCAGCAACUCCCUCCAUGGUGUCCAGAGGGGUUGACCAGGACACAAAAGAGAAGACUGCAGCACGAAAGGCGAGAAGAGCUAAGCAAGGGCGAGAAUUCUGGAUAGUCUGGGGAUCAGCAACAAUCAGAUCCUAAGGGGAAAGGUCCAUCGACAGAUGUCAACAUGGUCUUUAUAUUGCCGAUGGAGUUCCUUGCCCCAUCCAGUGAUGAUGAGUUGGAGUUCUCCGACCAAAUAGCUCAGUUGGCUCUGGAUCCGAUGUCAGCCAUCUUCGAAAAGCCUGCCGAUGAUGAAAGGCAACAUCUUAAGGCUCUGUUUGUCAAGGGAAGAGUUGACGGUCAGCCGAUGACCAAGAUUCUAGUUGAUGGUAGAGCGGCUAUCAAUAUCAUGCCGUAUGCAGUAUAUCAGAAGCUUGGAAAAGGUGAUCAGGAUUUGACCAAGACCGAUAUGAUGCUAAAGGAUUUCAAGGGCAAUGUGUCUCUGGUCAAGGGAGCCAUAUGCGUUGAGUUGACCAUCGGCAGCAAAACCUUGCCGACGACCUUCUUCGUGAUCAGUGGAAAGGGUGCUUAUAACUUAUUGUUAGGAAGAGAUUGGAUUCAUGCCAACUGUUGCAUCCCGUCUACAAUGCACUAGUGCUUGGUCCAGUGGGUAGGUGACAAGAUUGAAAUUGUCCUAGGAGACUCUUCAUAUGUCAUUGCAUCGGCAGAAGUAGACACCUAUGAAAGGACUAGGUGUAUUUCAGGAGAAGCUUGGGAAAAGGAUUUUCUCAAGGUUGCCGAUUAUGAAAUUCCGCCGAUCCAAGCAGUCGGUUCUGAAGAUGGUUUUAAUGGAUAGGUUCGUCGAUGAUGGAAAAUUAGGCCAGGGAUUCACAUCGGUCGAUGAUCUGGUAGAAGUAGAUAUAGGUAGUGAUGAUAAACCUAGACCUACUUUUAUUAGUGCUAAGUUAAAUUCUGAGUGUAAGCAGCAGUUAACUGAUUUGUUAAAGGAAUAUAAACAUUGCUUUGCUUGGGAUUAUACUGAGAUGCCUGGUUUGGACUGGUCAAUUGUUGAAGAUCGGUUGCCUAUCAAGUCUGGGUUUCAGCCACAUCAACAGCCAGCUCGCCGAUGUAAUCCUAAUAUCCUUCCUGAUAUUAAGGCCAAAAUAACCAAACUUAUUGAAGCUAAAUUUAUUCGGCAAUGUCGGUAUGCCGAAUGGAUUUCCAAUGUGGUCCCAGUCUACAAGAAAAAUGGGAAGCUUCGGGUCUGUAUUAAUUUUAGGAAUCUUAACAAAGCUACACCGAUGGUUGGCUACCCAAUGCCAGUUGCCGAUCUGCUAGUUGAUACUGCGGCUGGGCAUCGGAUUAUCAGCUUUAUGGAUGGUAAUGCAGGGUACAACCAAAUAUUCAUGGCUGAAGAAGAUAUUCCCAAGACAGCAUUCAGGUGUCCUGGUCAUGUUGGGUUGUUUGAAUGGAUAGUCAUGACCUUUGGCUUGAAGAACGCUGGUGCUACUUAUCAGAGAGCCAUGAAUUUUAUAUUUCAUGAGUUCAUCGGCAAGGUGGUGGAAAUUUAUAUUGAUGACGUGGUGGUUAAAUCUGGAGAUUUCACAAAGCACCUUGCCGAUUUACGAAAGGUGUUAGAAUGCACAAGGAAGCAUGGUUUGAAAAUGAAUCCCAAUAAGUGUGCAUUUGGUGUAUCGGCAGGACAAUUUCUUGGCUUCAUGGUGCAUCAAAGGGGAAUUUGGUGAGGUCGUUGUCCCGGUCUUCACGACGUAGGAUAACUAGCUGAGGAUCAGCCAAUAACUUGCUGCAAGCAGUGAGGAUAACUAGUGCAACCUGACGACACGCACAAGGAGCCAACCACCGUCUCUAUACGGCAGCCUGAACCAAGGAUUCGCCCAACCACACUCUCAAAGAACCAACCUACGCAACCUGAACUCGAGGAUUAGGAGCACGGAUUGGGUGCCGUUGACGCGGCCGCUUCUGUAAUCUCCGCGAAGGAAAACACAAGAGCAAAGGGGUAGAGAUCUCUCUCUGAAUUUGUUAGCACACAGCUGAACAAAGUGGUUUGUAUUCUCAAUAUCAUAAGUCUUUGAUUACAAUGAGUCUUAGGGGGUAUUUAUACUAGCAACAGCCCUGCUAGAUAGGUAUGAAAACGAAAUAGAGUUUCUGAGGAAAGGCAAUGUGAAAGGUCCCCUCGAAAUGGAUUCCCGAAGUGGCUUCGCGUGACUGUUGGCCUCCAGAGCAGUUUCCAAUAAACUGACCAUAACUUUUUAUUGGGAAGUCCAAAUGAUGAACCGUUUCCUGGGUGUGAAACUAGACUCCAAGAGCUUUCCAGCAAUGUAUGCCAUGCACCACGAAACGCUGUAGAUUGGUACAGUUUUACUUGGCAAGUUGUACCAACAUUCUGUCACGACAGACUGUUGACCUUCUAAGCAGUCUAUACUAAUUCUGGUCUGCAGGCAAUAUGGAGGAUCCAAACUGGUCGCCACUAGAUUCAUUGGAAAGUAGACUUGUCAAGCUUUCGAACAAGUGCUCAUGGGCCUUCAUAGCACCUUGGUAGUGAAAGUUAUGAUCUUUUCUUUCAACUGGUCCGUUCUGCACCGCACUGGUCCGAUCUGCCCUUCUUUCAACUGGUCCGUUCUGCACCGUGUUGUUCCAAUCCUUGCGGUCCAGGUCACCUCCCUCCUUAUGUGUAUACCUAAGCACAACCAAAGUAGAACACUUAGGUAGUAUAAUAUUCUCAUUAACAUUAAUAGAACUCUCACAAAGUAGCGCGUUCACCUCUUGUUGUAGGUUCUUGGCUCGGCUACGUGUAAUUGCUCCAUCAAUGGCUUGGGCUGGUGCCGGCAUAGUCGGUGUAGAGGUUGGCGUGGAAUUAGAGGGAGCAUGCUUGGUUGGGAUGUCCUCAUCAUCCUCCCCCUCUUGAAAAGGAGUCGACCUCGACUCUGAUUCUUCUAAUCCGAAGAAUGGUGUCAAGUCAGCAACAUUGAAGGUUGUGCUAACACCAUAAUCUUCAGGAAGCUCAAUCUUGUAGGCAUUAUCAUUGAUCCUGGACAACACUCUGAAUGGACCAUCUCCCCAUGGCAUCAACUUGGAUUUACGCUUCUCAGGAAAGCAGUCUUUGCGAAGAUGUACCCACACUAAAUCUCCGGGCUCAAAUAUCACCUUCUUGCGAUGCUUGUUUGGUCUUCUCAUCUUUGGCCAGUAGAAGUGAUCAGCUAGCAUAUCAUAUGUCUUUCUCCAUCCAAAGUGACCCAUCAAUCCACCUGCAUGUGUUUCCUGUAGCAACAAAAGCCUAACAGAGCAGUGGGGUACACACAAUUUGUUAGCUCGAAACAAAAAUCCAUCAUGUAUAUGAUAUUUUCCCCACCCUUUUCCAGUUGUACAGUUUGCAAAUGGUUCUGAAAAUUCAUGAUCAGUAGGGUACAAUUCUUUUAUGCUUUCAAGUCCUGGAACCUUGACAUCUAGUUGAUUCAACAAAACAUUUUUACGUGACAAAGCAUCAGCAACAAUGUUUUCUUUACCUUUCUUAUAUUUCACAACAUAUGGAAAAGUUUCAAUGAAUUCAACCCAUUUGGCAUGUCUACGAUUCAGUUUUGCUUGCCCCUUUAAAUAUUUCAAAGCCUCAUGAUCUGAAUGAAUAACAAAUUCUUUUGGCCAUAAAUAAUGUUGCCAAGUCUCAAGAGCUCUUACCAAAGCAUACAAUUCUUUGUCAUACACCGAGUAGUUCAGUUGCGCACCUCCUAACUUCUCACUGAAGUAUGCAACCGGCUGUCCAUUUUGCAUUAGGACACCAUCGAUUCCGAUCCCACUUGCAUCACAUUCAACCUCAAAGGUUUUAGUGAAAUCCGGUAACACCAGCAAGGGCGCUUCGGAUAGCAUCUUCUUCAAUUCUUGGAAUGCUCUGUCUUGUGGUUCACCCCAUGGAAGGAAACACCUUUCUUUNNNNNNNNNNNNNNNNNNNNNNNNNNNNNNNNNNNNNNNNNNNNNNNNNNNNNNNNNNNNNNNNNNNNNNNNNNNNNNNNNNNNNNNNNNNNNNNNNNNNNNNNNNNNNNNNNNNNNNNNNNNNNNNNNNNNNNNNNNNNNNNNNNNNNNNNNNNNNNNNNNNNNNNNNNNNNNNNNNNNNNNNNNNNNNNNNNNNNNNNNNNNNNNNNNNNNNNNNNNNNNNNNNNNNNNNNNNNNNNNNNNNNNNNNNNNNNNNNNNNNNNNNNNNNNNNNNNNNNNNNNNNNNNNNNNNNNNNNNNNNNNNNNNNNNNNNNNNNNNNNNNNNNNNNNNNNNNNNNNNNNNNNNNNNNNNNNNNNNNNNNNNNNNNNNNNNNNNNNNNNNNNNNNNNNNNNNNNNNNNNNNNNNNNNNNNNNNNNNNNNNNNNNNNNNNNNNNNNNNNNNNNNNNNNNNNNNNNNNNNNNNNNNNNNNNNNNNNNNNNNNNNNNNNNNNNNNNNNNNNNNNNNNNNNNNNNNNNNNNNNNNCUCUUUUUCUGUCAUCUCUCAUGUUUGGCUUGUGGCUCUCACUCACUGAUUUGUGGAGGGCACUCAAAUUAUUUUUCUCUCCUUCUUUUGUACUCUCAUUCCUCACUUCGGAGUUCUUUUGCAAGUGCUCAGCUAGGAUUUGCCGCGGUGUCAUGGGUUUAAGAAUCAACUCCUUGUUCUUCCACUUGAUGGUGUAUUGAUUGGUUCUACCACAAUGUAGAGACGAUCGAUCAUAUUGCCAUGGUCUUCCCAAAAGCAUGUGGCACACUGUCAUAGGCGCCACAUCACACUCUACAGUGUCAAUAUAUUCACCAAUCUUGAAUAGAACUUUCACUCUUUGUGAAAUCUUAAUAGAACCUGAAUUAUUAAGCCAUUGCACAUGAUAUGGAUGGGGAUGUUUCAGCAGCUUCAACCCAAGGUUUUCAACCAUUUCUUUGCUUGCAAGAUUGUGGCAACUGCCUCCAUCAAUGAUCACUUUGACAACCUUAUCUUGCACUUUAGCUCUAGUCUGAAAAAGAUUGUGCCGCUGCCCAUUUUCAGCAUCGCUCAUUUGUACACUCAAAAUCUGAGUUACAACAAGAGCAGCACCAGAUUCAAAUUCACAGUUGUCCUUCUCAAGAUUACUCUCACUUCCACUAUCUUCUUGUUCUUCCUCACUAGCAGAUUCAUACUCCCCUUGAUCAUUCACAAUGAUGGUUCUAGCGUUUGGACACUCUCUUGCAACAUGACCACGACCACCACACAUGAAGCACUGAAUUCCACUACUCUUGCUGGAAGAACCCACUGAGUUUGCUGAUUUGAAUUUCUCAUUUUGAGCAGCCAACUCUUUGCUACUAGAAGAACCAAGGUUGCUAGAUCGUGCACCACCGUUUGAGCUGGAAAAUGUACCUUUACUUCCACUUCCUUUGGGUGCAAAUUUACUUCCACUUGCUGCACUCUUUGUACAGAAAGAUACUCCUCUAGUGGACUUCAUAUCCUGCUGCAAUUGCCGCUCAGCUUUGCUAGCUUGAUGCACCAAUUCAACAAGAUUACGAUAUUGCUGAAAUUCAACAAUACGCUGAAUAUUCCGAUGCAGCCCUGACAUAAAUCUUGCAAUUGUUUGCUCUUCAUCUUCAAUUACAUUGGCUCUAAUCAUCGCCUUCUCCAUCUCUUUAUAAUACUCAUCAACACUGAGGCUUCCUUGCUUCAUCUGUAGCUUGUCAAAUAAAUCACGGCGAUAAUGUUUGGGGACAAAUCUUGCUCUCAAUUCUCUCUUCAUUUCAGCCCAUGAACGAACAUCACCUUGACCAGCUUCUUCUCUUUCAUUCAACAUUUGCUCCCACCAGAUUAGAGCAUACCCAUCGAACUCAAGAGCAGCCAUGGCAACCUUCUUUCUCUCAGAAUAAUUAUGCACACGAAAAAUUUUAUCCACCUUCAACUCCCAUGUAAGAUAUGCUUCAGGAUCAGAUCAUCCUUCAAACUAGGGCAUGGUGAAUUUUAACUUGCCAAACCUCUCUUCAUUGUGCUGAUUACGCCUACGAUUUCUUCAGUGACGACGAUCAUCAUAAUGGGGCUGUUCAUCCUCUUCUUCAGUUUCACUUUCUUCCAAUCCAAUACCUCUCCCAUGUCCAUGACUAGCACCUCUACCACCAUGAUCACGUCGUGGAAAAGGAGGUCUUCUUGCAUUGGCAGCAGCUCGCUCUCUACGCCGUUCCCUUGCACGACGAGCAGCUUCUCCUUCGCUUUCUUCAACUUCAUCUUCAUGGUGACUGCCAUUUGCAUUAUCAUGAGGAUGAAUUUGCAACCGGUUUAUGAGUGCUUGAACAUUGUUUGUUAGCGUCUCCAUGCUUUGUUUCAUCUCAUUGAAUUGUGCCAUGGUGACACAAUCAUCAAUCUCCGGAUGCUCAGUCAUCUUGCUGUAAAAAAUUAGUGAAGGCAAAGCAACAAUAUAUGUAGAAUAGGGAAUUAUAUGUGGAAUCUCACAAUCUCACCUCUCUUACCAACCGAAGCUCAUGUGAGUUCCCCGCAGAUUACAACGGCCAAUGCGAGGUGGUAACCGAGAAUGAUGGUUGGGAGAAUCCAAGAUUAGUAUUUUCCUAUGACGGUGGGUUAUUUGUGGAGCUUGGUGGGGAUAUAUUUCACAAGGAAUGCAAUCUGAAUUCUUGAUAUUGUAAAGUUAAACCACAAUCCAAACUAGAAGUUCAAUGCCUAGUGCUGACCACAAGAUAUGAGUGAUGUAAAUAGAUCAAACACACGCGCAAAGAUAUUUCAGAUUUGAUGCAAACAAGGAGUAUGCCUAGGAUGCAAGUGUUGCAAUCAAACCCAAGCAAAAUUUUGCACCGAAGAUGGAUAAUGACUGAUUGUGUGACUUGAUAUAAAAUUCAGAACUUGAGCACAUAAACAGAGUGAACUUUCUACUCUUUCUUCACAACUUUUCUUCCUCAACUUUCCUCUUUUUUUUCACUUUCCUUUUUUUUGAUACUUUUUUUAUAACUAAGAACAAGAGCAGAUAUAACACUUACAGACACUUUUUUUUUGAAACAAGACACAACCGUCAGCGUUCUAACUUGAUAGGCUCAAAGUUUACGCGAAGGAUGAUACUGGUUUCAGAUUUUCUUUAGGGAUUUGUAGAUAUAAAAGAGGCACAAAGGACACACAAAGGAUAUGAUGAUCAGCAACUAAACAAAACUCUAAUGGACUGAAACUUAACCAAACUCACAAGAAAAACAGAUUGAAACAAAGGGCUAAUGGAAUUUUUUUUAUGGCUUUUUGGUGGAUAGGACGAACAAGAUAUAUAUAUGUAGCUAAGGGUAAAAAUCCUACCGUGGAAACUUGAGCUUUGAUACCAGAUGGUGAGGUCGUUGUCCCGAUCUUCACGACGUAGGAUAAUUAGCUGAGGAUUAGCCAAUAACUUGCUGCAAGCAGCGAGGAUAACUAGUGCAACCUGACGACACGCACAAGGAGCCAACCACCGUCUUUAUACGGCAGCCUGAACCAAGGAUUCGCCCAACCACACUCUCAAAGAACUAACCUACGCAACCUGAACUCGAGGAUCAGGAGCACGGAUUGGGUGCUGAUGACGCGGCCGCUUCUAUAAUCUCCGCGAAGGAAAACACAAGAGCAAAGGGGUAGAGAUCUCUCUCUGAAUUUGUUAGCACACAGCUGAACAAAGUGGUUUGUAUUCUCAAUAUCAUAAGUCUUUGAUUACAAUGAGUCUUAGGGGGUAUUUAUACUAGCAACAGCCCUGCUAGAUAGGUAUGAAAAUGAAAUAGAGUUUCUGAGGAAAGGCAAUGUGAAAGGUCCCCUCGAAAUGGAUUUCCGAAGUGGCUUCGCGUGACUGUUGGCCUCCAGAGCAGUUUCCAAUAAACUGACCAUAACUUUCUAUUGGGAAGUCCAAAUGAUGAACCGUUUCCUGGUUGGAAACUAGACUCCAAGAGCAUUCCAGCAAUGUAUGCCAUGCACCACGAAACGCUGUAGAUUGGUACAGUUUUACUUGGCAAGUUGUACCAACAUUCUGUCACGACAGACUGUUGACCUUCUGAGCAGUCUAUACUAAUUCUGGUCUGCAGGCAAUAUGGAGGAUCCAAACUGGUCGCCACUAGAUUCAUUGGAAAGUAGACUUGUCAAGCUUUCCAACAAGUGCUCAUGGGCCUUCAUAGCACCUUGGUAGUGAAAGUUAUGAUCUUUUCUUUCAACUGGUCCGUUCUGCACCGCACUGGUCCGAUCUGCCCUUCUUUCAACUGGUCCGUUCUGCACCGUGUUGUUCCAAUCCUUGCGGUCCAGGUCACCUCCCUCCUUAUGUGUAUACCUAAGCACAACCAAAGUAGAACGCUUAGGUAGUAUAAUAUUCUCAUUAACAUUAAUAGAACUCUCACAAAGUAGCGCGUUCACCUCUUGUUGUAGCUUCUUGGCUCGGCUACGUGUAAUUGCUCCAUCAAUGGCUUGGGCUAGUGCCGGCGUAGUCGGUGUAGAGGUUGGCGUGGAAUUAGAGGGAGCAUGCUUGGUUGGGAUGUCCUCAUCAGAAUUGAAAUUAGUCGAAGAUCCAUUGAUGCUAUCAACAAGAUAGUUGCUCCUACCAACAAGACUGAGCUCCAGUCCUUGAUCGGCAAGGUAAAUUUUAUCAGGAGGUUUAUAUCUAAUUUGUCUGGUAAAAUUCAUGCUUUUAGUCCUUUGCUCAAGUUGAAGGCCGGUCAAGAAUUUGUUUGGGGGAAGGAACAACAGUUGGCUUUAGACGAGAUCAAGAAUUAUCUGGUAAACCCUCCGGUUCUGAUUCCACCUCAGCAGGGGAAGCCCUUCAGAUUGUAUUUGUCUACCGAUGGGAUGGUCAUCGGUUCAGCUUUAAUUCAAGAGUUUGAAGGGAAGGAACGUGUGAUUUACUAUUUAAGCAGGAGGUUGAUUGAUGCUGAAACCAGGUAUUCGGCCAUUGAAAAACUAUGUUUGUGCUUAUACUUCUCCUGUAUUAAGUUAAGGCAUUAUUUGCUAUCGGCCGAAUGCACGGUUAUCUGCAAAGAUGAUGUGGUCCGAUACAUGCUGUCUAUGCCGAUCAUGAGUGGCAGGAUCGGUAAGUGGAUUUUAGCGCUGUCAGAAUUCGAUCUGCGAUACGAAUCGGCCAAAGCGGUUAAGGGGCAGAUUAUGGCCGAUUUUGUAACUCAACAUUGCGGUGCAGUGGAGGCUUUGGAAAUUGUACCUUGGACGCUCUUCUUUGAUGGAUCCACAUGUGACCGGGGGGCAGGAAUCGGCAUCGUGUUAAUUUCCCCGAUGAAUUCUCCUUGCCGAUUGUUGCCACGUCUACGAAUAAUCAAGCUGAGUAUAAAGCUUUAAUAAAGGGUUUGGAAUUGCUGAGGGAAGUUCGUGCUGACGCUGUUGAAGUAUUCGGGGAUUCUAUGCUGGUUAUAAAUCAAUUGGCUGGAAGCUAUGAAUGCCGAAGUGAAGUCCUCAUAACUUAUUACGAAAGGAGUAUGCAACUAUUAAAGGAAUUCAAGGAUUUCCGUUUAGAGCAUGUUCCUUGAUUACAUAAUGAAGAGGCUAAUCGGUUGGCUCAGCAUGCCUCGGGAUAUCAGCCCAUGAUUAAUGCAAUAUCGGCAAUCGGUGCCGAUGAUUGGAGGAAAGAAAUCAUUGAUUAUUUGAAGGAUCCAUCUAAGAAAGUUGAGAGGCGUGUUCGGUUUCAAGCUACCAAGUAUGUGCUCCUUGAAGAUGAAUUAUAUUACCGAACUAUUGAUGGGAUUCUUCUUAGAUGCUUAGGUGAUGAUGAGGCUAAGAGUUUGAUGGGAGAAACCCACGAGGGAGUAUGUGGAGCGCAUCAGUCGGCUUUUAAGAUGAAGUGGAUGAUUAGAAGAAAUGGGUAUUAUUGGCCGACUAUACUUGAAGAUUGUUUCAAGUAUUUUAAGGGGUGUCAUGGAUGUCAGAAAUUUGGCAAUAUCCAAAGAGCACCUGCAUCAGCUAUGAAUCCUAUCAUCAAGCCGUGGCCGUUCCGAGGAUGGGCUAUUGAUUUGAUCGGCCAGAUUUAUCCACCAUCCAGCAAAGGACAUAAAUUUAUUCUAGUUGCUACCGAUUAUUUUACCAAAUGGGUUGAAGCUAUUCCUUUGAAGAGAGUUACAUCGGCCAAUAUGAUUGAUUUUGUGAAAGAGCACAUCAUCUACCGAUUUGGGAUUCCUCAAACAAUUACUACCGAUCAGGUUACUAUGUUCACAUCGGGGGAGUUUGAUGAAUUCACAAUCGGUAUGGGAAUUAAAGUGUUAAACUCUUCUCCUUAUUAUGCUCAAGCUAAUGGGCAGGCCAAGGCAUCUAACAAAGGAAUUAUCAAGCUUAUCAAACGGAAGAUUGAAGAAAAUCCUAGGAGGUGGCACACAUUGUUAAAUGAGGCUUUAUGGUCAUACCGAAUGGCUUGUCAUGGAUCGACUAAGGUUUUGCCUUAUCAGUUGGUAUAUGGGCAUGAUGCAGUGUUACCUUGGGAAAUUAAGACUGGAUCUAGGCGGCUAUCUUUUCAGGAUCAGUUGACUGCCGAUGACUAUGCUACUUUGAUGACAGACGAGUUGGAUGAUCUAGCAGGGCAUCGGCUAAAGGCUUUGAUGAGUAUAGAAGAGAAUAAGAAGAGAGUUGCCAGAUGGUAUGAUAAGAAAGUGAAGGCUAAGGAGUUUGCCGAUGGAGACUUGGUAUGGAAAUUGAUCUUACGGAUCGAGACUAAAAGUUCAGAAUUUGGGAAGUCGUCUCCCAAUUGGGAAGGUCCCUAUCAGAUAAGUCGAUCGGCUCCUGGUAAUGCCUACAUUUUAGAAACUCUCGAAGGAGUUGAAUUUCCCAGAGCAUUAAAUGGCAAAUAUCUAAAGAAGUAUUACCCAAGCAUAUGGGUCGAUGCAUAAAAGUUUAAGUCCCGAUAACAAUCUUAUCGGCUGGAUCAAAAUGUGUCUGGGGCCAGACUUAGUGUUUUAAAAAUGCCGAUAACAGUCCUAUCGGCUAGACUAAAUGUCAGGAAGAUUGGAAAGCAGAAAGGGGCAAGUGUGUUGCCGAUGAAGAGCUCACAUGUUUAGCAGCGCCUGGAUCGCCGAUAUGGCGUGCAAACGAAUUUGGUUGGCUGCUUCUAUCUCUUUGAUGUCUUCAUCGGCACAGCCUUCCACCGGCUUCAACUUCUUCUUCAGAAGCAGCGCUUUACGACCAUGGACAUUUCGCUCUUAAUCAAGGAGCUUAAUCGCCUCGGGCAGCUGGUUUUCCUCUUGUUGAGCCUGGGACAUGGCUUCUUCCACUUGCUUGAGCUCUGCCAGCAGGGCUUCUCUUUUUGCUGACAGAUCGGAGAUCUUGUGCUUAAGUGCAUCCCCUGAGGACUUCAAGGCGCCAAUGUUCUUAUGCUUCUCAUCGGUAAGAAGCUUUGCUUUCAUCAUCUCCUCAGAAAGCUGAGUCUGAGCCGCUCUAUCGGCAAGGCGCUGGGCAGCCCUCUGGUACUGCAGUAGACGGCUUUCCAGAUGUGCUACUUGGAAGAGAACUUCUUCAGCGUCGGCAGGGAUUUGGCCUCUCAGGGUCUUGAAUAAAGCCUUGGCCGGAUCAGAGUCAUCAACUAGUUGGGCUGUGUCUUGAUGGAGGAGAGCCGACAGUUCUUCCAGCUUCGCCCUGAUUUCUGCCGAUGUGAUCUGACUGCCUGGGAAGAACUUGCUUCCUCACCUUCGUCUUCAGAGAUGUCAAUGGCGAAGGAGAACAGACUGUCGGGAGAAUCCUGUUCCUGAAAAGGGGAUAAAGUGAGUCAUUCCAUGGUCAAGUGUUGACAAAUACCGAUGGAGAUUGGAUGACUUACUUGUUUCAAGGCAAUCUCUCGCCUUUGACUGGAAGAUGCCGGUGGAACUAUAGGCUGAUCGGCUGGAGUUGCCGAUGGGACUAUGUCGGCUGAAAAAUAACAGAAAUAAUUAUAAGACAGAGAAGACAAGUUCAUCGGCAAUAAUUUCAUGAAAGUAUGUUACCUUGAGGGGGAGCAGUACUUGUCUGGAUGGAAGAAACCACCGAUGCUAUAAUGGAACCAGCUGGAUCGGUAGUUUGUUCGUGCACGUCAGCCGAUAUGUCUUCUGGCUGAGGUACUUCUGAUUGAGGCUCUUCUGGUUGGGGCUCUUCCGUUCGUGGUGCUCCUUGCAGUUGAGAGGGAGAUGGUACUUGUUGCAUUUGGACUUCUGGGGAGGAAGGAGAGGAUUCCACGGAAUUGGUGAUACCGGGGGAGGGGAAGGCGUUGCUACUCUUUGGCACUUUGCUCGUGCUCUGGUACUCUUGGCACCUUUUCUCUUCAGCUGACUGGACUGGGGGGCAUCGGCACUUGUGCUUCUGGUCUUUGCUGAUGCACCGGUAUGCUGGUACAAGAAGAAGAUUUGUGAGUACAAGUGUAACAGAUGCGAAAAGUGAAAUCGGUAUGGAAAAGUUUGAGAAUUUACCUUGAAUGCCUGUGCCAAGGUAGAGGCAGCUACCGAAGGAGAUGCCUUGGCCCUCUUGGUGGUUACUUUCUUGAGACGCACACCUCGAUGCAUAAUGGCAGCCAGAGUGGGAGCGUUGUUGCCGAUUGAAGAGAUCGGACCUGAUGGGAACAGAUCAAUCGGCUUGCCGCUCCUGCUGACUGAUGGGGGAAUGUCAUCAACCUGCAACAUGACACCAGGAGUAAGUUACCGAUGAAAAUAAGAAUAAAAGGAUUAGAACGUCGGUUUGGAGGUACUUACAGUAUCAUCGGGGACUUUGUACUGAGGAUCGAUCAUGCCGCGGUAUGUGAGGGACGAUCUGCAGAACAAGUGCUCCUUCCACUCCUCUCACCAUUGCUUGUAUGCCUGGGUAAAAAAGAGGGCUGGAACCCACUCUGACAGAUCUACAUCUAUAUCGGCAUUCGGUGCUAGCUGGGCUACUCGGAUCCACUCGAGGAGGUUAGUGAUGAUUUCCCUGGGUUUUAUCACAUCGGCAUAACAUAGUGCGAUCGGCAGCUGGCCAAAGGCUAAUUGACAGGCUAGUGCCGAUGGGUUGUAGAACUCGUAGGUUUGGUUGGAGGUUUUCCCACUGCCGAAGAAGUUCACUGGUAUAACUCUGGGGGUGAUCAGUGCCAUCAUCACUUCGUCAUCCUUGUUAAGAGCAUUGUUGAAUGGAUGGAAGACCAAAGAGAACAUGGUGUCUGGAUCUUCAUAGGGCAUCCAUGCUCGCUGAUCCCUGGGUUGGCCUUCAUACAGGGUUUGGAAGAAUCGGCUGACCUGGUCUGCAUUGCCUCCUGUACUGGGCAGAACUAUGGCAGCCUCGCCAAAGUUUAGAGGAGGGCGAGUUGCCGAUUCUUCUUCAUCCAGUUCAUAGUCCUCGGCUAUAUCCCUGGGGAAGCGCUGUGUGAAGAGGUCAAACUCCAGACUCUUGUGCAUGUGGAGGCUGAGCCACAUGUUGAUAAACCACCAGGGACCCCCCAAGUUGCCGAUGGGCUCGCCGAGUAGAAGUUUCUUGGUUACCUGAUGAAGGAGGUGGUAGGCUGCGCCAAGCAGGUAUCGGCAGAGGGGAAAUCGGCCACCAUUGGCUAAUCUUUCUGCUGCAGCUAGGUAGACGGAAGUUGGUCCUGCUGAUCGACCACAAAAUACAAAUUUGUCCAACCACAUGUUCAGGAAACUGGUUUGUUCCUUUAUGUUGACAGGACCUGUUCGUUUGUAUUUUUGGAUGUAUCCUGACCAGCCGCCGAUGGAGCGAGUUUCUACCUUGGCACUGGGUGCAGUAUCGAAAAAGUGGGUGCUAUCGGCAGAAGAUACAUCCAGGCCGGUGAGCAUAACCACAUCGGCAAGUGUAGGGAAGCAGGGCCGUGACCAAAGACGAAAGCAUUGAGUGUGUCCGACCAGAAAUAAGAUGCAGCGAUCAGCAGAGAUUCAUUCCUGUGCACAUCGGCAAUGGACAGCCUGAUGCAUUGGUCCAGUUUUCGCUCACCCCAUUGGACCUCAUUCGAAUGGCUAACCUUCAAGAACCAGUCUUUCCAUCCCACAGUAAAACUGGGCCAGGAACGGAAAGUGUCUUUCCACAGAUUCAAGGAAAAAUUCUCGGCUCUAAAAGGGAUCCUAUUUGUUUCUGCGUUAAUCAAAUCUGUGGGAUCUGGGUUCCCUAGCGGACCAAGACAUCGGAGGUGUGGCUGAUCGGUAGGGAUGACUAUUUUGUUGGACAGAUCCUAAUAGUUUUGGGUAUAAAAGAAGAACAAAAACAAAAAGAGAAAAAAGGAGGAUGUUCAGUAAAGUAAAUCAUAGAUGAACCAGGACAUGGUAAAAGUACACGAGAUGGGGUGUUGAGCUAACCUCCGGGACGGUGAAGUUGAUGGCCAUUUUCCUCGCAAGGAAGAAGAUUGAAGGCUUCGAGACUGGUGGAGAAAAGCCUUUGCUGGAGUUCUUGGAGCUCUUGAACAGCGCCGCCGCUAGAGAACAGAGUUGGGGCUAUAGAAUGAGGUGGUGGAGAAGGAGUACCCGAGAAGGAAGCGGUCGUGAUCUAGGAAUAUUUGACAGGAAGCGGUCGUGAUCUAGGAAUAUUUUACUGUGCGAGAUUUCCUAGUCGGUCCAUCGGUAGUGCCUUGCAACGGUAAUAUUGCCAAUGGAUGGAUAGAGUGGAGAUAUCGGUAACAUUGCCGAUGGGCGGUUGAAAUGGAGAUGUCCGUUUAGGAAGUUGAGGAUUUCGAGGAAUCUGCAGAGGAAUAGGAUCAGAGUUGUUUAGAUUGAGGCUGUCGGUUACCAAAUUGGGAGCAUUAAUCGCGGAAAGGCAUCAUUACUGUGGAAAAUUUCAGAGCAUUAAUGUUUUCAUACUCCGAAAUUGGGGGGCAUGUGUUGACACCGUUUUUGGACACGUAUCCGGGAUCGGUAGGAUGUGAAUCGGCAAGACAGGGUAAUAGUCAUUGAUCUGCAGGAAGGUUGCCGAUGGAGAUGGUUGCCGAUGAAGAGAUAGCCGAAUAUGACUAAGUUCAUAGGUGGUGAUGUGUUUGUGCCGAUGGUCGGUAUUAACUCGUGCCGAUGGCUAUGAUAAGGAGGUCUGCCGAUGAUGCAGAAGAAAGACCUGAAGGUUGCCGAUUUGCCAGUGGAGGUGUCCUAGUUUGUCGUGGCAGGAUAGUUUUAUGUUUUCCUUAGUUAUUUAAAUCAUUUUGUACACGGAUUCUGUUUAAAUUUGGAAUUCGAGUUCUAGUCGUGUCUGGUUGUAGCUCUUUGAGCAGGGUAUAAAUGUAGACCCUAGGGCAUUGUAAUACAGACAUCUAUCAAUCAAUCAAACACCAGUUUUUACUCAUAUUCCAGCAUCUACUUUUCGACGACUUCGUCAUACUUUUUCCUUUUUAUUACGAGUUUUUAGGAAUUCGUCGACUUAAGCUCGGCGUGUUCUCAAGUUCCAUGUGAAUACCUCUUGGCCGUGGCAUCCGGGCGCAUCGCUCUUGUCGGGACCAAAGUAUUUGAGUUACCACCUUUGCCGAUAGUAAGGUCAAAUCGGCUAGCACGCCUUAACGUUUAAAUCGGGUAUCAGCGCUUUGUGUUUGCAGAUCUAGCUUUUGCACCAAUAACAUCAUGCAUCUUUGAAAAGAAGUUGGUGCAUUACAUAACCCAAAAGACAUUCUACGGUAGGCAUAAGUUCCGUAUGGGCAUGUAAAAGUGGUUUUGCUUUGAUCAUCGGGAUGAAUCGGGAUCUGGUGAUACCCUGAAUAUCCAUCUAAGAAACAAAAGAACGAAUGGUUCGCUAAUCGCGCUAGCAUCUCAUCUAUGAAAGGUAAAGGAAAAUGAUCCUUUUUCGUGGCUUUGUUUAGUUUUCUGUAGUCUAUGCACAUCCGCCACCCUGUGACGGUGCGUUGCAGAAUUAGCUUGUUCUUUUCAUUCGUAACAAGAGUCAUGCCUCCCUUUUUAGGCACAACUUGGACUGGGCUCACCCACUCACUGUGCGGCACAGGAUAUAUAAUCCCUGCAUGCAGCAACUUUAUAACUUCCUUUUUAACUACCUCUCUCAUUGCGUUGUUAAGUCUAUGUUGGGGCUCUCGAGAAGGUGAAACAGAAGGAUCUAUCGGAAUACGAUGGGUACAAAUCAUAGGACUGAUUCCUGUAAGAUGUUGGAGUGAGUAGCCAAAAACUGAGUGAUGUUUCUCAAGAAUGGUCAUCAAUCGCAGAGUUUGCUCCUAAGUGAGUUUAUCACUAAUGAUCAGAGGAAACUCUGGAUUAUUGCUUAGGAAAGCAUAGAUAAGACCGGGUGGUAAAGUUUUAAGCUCUAUUGGAGGUCUAGGUGUUUUUGCAAACUCGUCUAAGGGUUCAGGUUCAGAAGGUUCGGCUUCUUCUUCUAUGAAGAAAGGAGCUUCUUCUUCUAAGUCUGGUUCUUCUAAAAGCUCUAGAGAUGCAGCCUUUACCUCCUCCAUAGGAUCGGGCAAUAGAUAUGACUCGGUUCUUAUUAUUUAAGGAGUGAGAAAUCGUUAUUGGAAAUUUAAAAGUUUUUCCAAAUGAAAUGUGUAGCUUUCUAGUAUGACCUUCAUAAAGGAGUCUUCUAAAAGGUUGUCCUAUCAAUAGGUCGAAGUCCCAUGUAUCAAAGAUAUAGAACUUCAAAUGAACCAUGGAGCCUUCUACCAUAAGAGGUAGGACAUUAAUAAUUCCAAGACUGGGGACUAAUUGUCCCAAAGAUUCCUUUAUGAUCUUUGUUGUGGGGGUUAAGACCAAAUUUUUUAAUAAUUUAAGUGCAAAAGAUUCAGACAUGAUGUUGAUCCCCACAACAGGAUUAUAGAGAGCAUCAAAUUGAUCAGAAUCAUAAGCACAGCGUAUAGUUAUAGGAGGUGUGUCUAACAGAUGACAUCAGAGGAAAGCUCUGACUCCUCCAACCAUUCGCUACUCAUGACUGUGAUAAGCUCUCUCAAUUGAUGUUCAGUUGGCAAACAAAUGCUAAAAUGGCUGUUUUGGGGUCUGUCAAUAGAAUGGUAGUUUGAAAUGUUUCCAAAAUCGGCAAAAAGAUCAGAUUCUAUAUCCAGCAUGAAAUCAGGUGGUGGAAUUUCUUCCUUUUGUGGCUCAGAACUUAGGAUAGCUAAAGUAGAUGGAGAAUUUGAUAGAGUGCCUACUUCGGCUUCGUGGGUUUCAUCAUUUAGGGUAUUAUCCAUCUCAGCUUCUAGGAUUCUAUCUAGUUUCACUCUAGCGUCAUCAGUAGGGAUGCGAAAGAAGGAACCACUAGACAUUGUAUGUAGCAUUUGUUUAUGAUCUUUCUGAAGACCUCGAAAAAAGUGAAAUAAAAGAACAGGGUCUUCAAGAUUAAGGUUUGGACCAGAUUCUAAAAAAUCAGAAAAACGUUUCCAGGAUUUUCCCAAAGUUUCAUUAUCUUUUUGUUUAAAAGAUAGGACUUCGAGUCUAAGGUCAACGAUAUGGUCGAGGGUAUAAAAAUCUAGACAAAAUUUGGCUCGUAAGACUCCCCAUUCACCUCGUUGUUGACUUACCUUCUGACUAUACCAUCGUCUAGCUUCUCCCCUUAAAGAAAAAGGAAAAAGCUUCCAACAUAAAGUCUUAUCAGAAAUGCCUUCAAUGCGAAGACAAUCACAAGUUUGCUCAAAAUCUCUAAUAUGAAGGUAAGGGUUUUCGUCUUCCUUUCCUGAAAAAGAUAAGUUUUGAAUCAUGGCAAUCAACCUCGAACUUAACCUAUACUGGGAUGUUUGGAUAGGCUAUGAUGACUCCCAUGGUAAAAGGUCAGUUUCCAAAGGUGUUGCAAAUUGAUAGAUUGAUUUAGAAUCUUGGUUUUCCAUAAGGUAAGAGUAAGAAAAAUAAAGAAUAUAAAAAGAUAAGAAAAGGUAAAAGUAUAAAUACAAGCUAGUAGUAAGACUCAAGGUUAUCUCAGCAAACCGUCUUUCUCCCCGGCAACGGCGCCAGAAAUGCUUGUUGAUAUUUGGUAACGCAAUCAGAAUUAAUCCGCAAGCGCACAGAUAUCGGUGAGCACUUCACCUGGGAUGUUAUCCAGGGUAUCGUAUUUAUAUUUUUACCACUAAGAGAAAGUGUGCAUCUGACUAACCUAGUCUAUUACUACUAACCUUUAGGCUAGAAACUAUGUGAUUUGAUGUGAGCAAUGUAUAGAGAAGAAUACAACUGCACUCUCGUUCUAACCUUGGUAAGGAUGAUCUACUGUUCUGUUGGGGUGGCUCACGGAAUCUAGACACCACAAAGGAUGUUCGACCCGCACCUAUAAACCCUAUCGAGCCUGCUAACGUGAUAUGGGCUACAAAGGUAACUCGGAAAUGUCACGUUCCUCGCUACUACCACGGUCCAGCUAGUCAGGGGAUAUCUAUGAGUAUCCUAGCCCAAACACCACGUUUACGCUAGAGAUGAUUACUCUAAACUCUACGCGAAGAGAUCAAAGUAAACUCAUAAACCAAAGAACAAUAAAACAAAGAACUUACUAGAAUUUAGAUGUUGAAAUACUGAAGAAUCCUAGGAGCAAGCCUCGGGUUAGGAGACUUGAUCCCGCAGGAACAACCUCGGAGUAGACACCGACAGGCCGGGCUUCCUCCGAUCUACACCUCCAGCCUAUCUCUCUCAAUCUAGUAGAACUAAUUCUACUCUCACAUUGGAUGCUACGCCCUAUGAGGUGGGAACCCUAAGGAUCCUCUCUCUCUGAAUCCUCUCUGGAAGAAAAGCUAAUGAAUAAUUGGAUUCUAUCUCUGCAGGGGCCAGGGGCCUUGCUUAUAUAGCCUUUUCAAAUGAAUCUGGGCCGUAGGAUCAAACCGAUAUUGAUUGAACGGUUCUCCUUGAUCCUUUACGUCGGUGGAGCAUAAUCCACGAGGUUGAACGUGAUUGGCCACCUGAGGUGGGCGGGCGCCCAAGGGGGGAGGGCGGGCGCCCUGCCCCCGGGCCCGAUCGGCCUCCCAUUCAUUCCCGUGGCUUCUGGAGUCUUCUAGAUGUUGAAUAAUUGUGCGGCAUGUUAAUAUCUCUAUGUAAACCCGACAUGUGGGCCUUUCUUCCAUAUUUCCUGAUAACCCCCUGUAGAAAUAGAUAAACAACAAAACUCGUGGAAUUCUGUCAAAUCAAACCCUAAUUCUAGGUAUUGCUUGUAUAUUGGUCCUUUCCCUUGUUUAUUUGAUGAUUAAAAUUGAUACUUAAGAACAGUCAACGCACCUUACCAAAAGAUCAUAGUCUUGCUCACCAAAAUGGGUACCAGCACGAUGUUGCUAAAAUCUCAUCAAGAGCCUAAGUUUUGGAGAUUACUGGUUAGUGCGGAUGGUCAUUAACUCAGAAAUCCGACCAUCAAUUACUAUCAAAAGUAGGGAAAUUUGGCAAGCCAACAUCACAUAUGCAUUUAUUUCUAACCUAGUUCCACAUGUAUUUGGAAGAUUGUAUUUUUUACAGGAUAUAUGCACAAAUACAUGAGAACACUACAAGGCGCUUUUCCAACGCAUGAUUACACUAUCAAAUAACCAAGACGUCAAGUGAAGUUUCUCUAGAGCAAUUACCCUUGACGCAGCCCUCAUGAGAAGAGGUCCAAGGUCCAAUAUGUGAAGCUGGAGGCCGAGGGGCGCCACCUAGGAACCAGCCGGUCCCUUGGGCCGGACGGCCCCUGGCUGAGCCCCCUCAGCACCGCCUUUGUUGUGCGGCUGCAUGGCACUCCCUGGGGUUGGGUGCUUAUGCGUAGAUUGUGGGAGAGCACCGCCUCACUCAGCUGUAUAAAUAGGGGGCCAUACUCCCCUCUCAACACACACCAACACUUGAGCCAUUCUCCAUCUCCACUCUCUAGUUGUAGUUCUUUUAUUUUCUUGUUAGUAGAAGAGUAAGGCAAAGCUACCUUGGAGAGCUUGACUCCUUGGAAGAAGGCCACUUGGGGUAUGAAUAGAAUCAUGAGUUCUUUCAAGUUCAUUCUCUCAUUAUUUAAUUAUAGUCAUGAUUAUAAACUAGAGUAUAGUUGUGGUGUUAUGCCAUUGAUAUAUGAACUAGAGUAUAGUCUAUGUGUCAAUAGAGUGUCAUCAAUAACAUUGUGCCUAAUAAAUACAUUUCACUUAAUUAAAGCUAGAGUUAGGUUGGAUGUGGUGGUUCCUCGCACCACAAGGUGUGCCCGAUUCAUAACUUGUCGAUCCGUAGGGUCGGAGUCUCGGGUUGAGUUGGGUAGACUCUGCAUACGUAGGCGAGGUGCCUGGGUAUGGAGAGGCAGGUGUCUGCAUGACCCUUGCUUUAGUGAGGUGGAUGGCGGCAGGUGGUGAGAGCCCUAUCCGUCCUUGGCAUUCCCCCUGUUCGUUUGGGAUGUAGGAGUCUAAAUUGGCAUGAUAGUUGCUGGCAGACCAGUAGGGCAUGUUCUCCUGAUCCAUAUCACACUUGUAUGAAUAUUGAUGAGGGUCAGGCCCGAUCUUCCGAGAGGUAAUUAGUAAAUUCGAUUGUGGAGAACUCGACGUUGGCGAUCCGGCUUCAAAUCAGCACGAUUCGAACCCUGCAACCGUUACUCCACUGCUCCGUUGGUUAGCAACCAAGCACAACUUGAUUGACCUCGCCAAGAAGGCUUUUCCUGCAAGCGAAUCGAAGUACACAAGCAAGAAAGUAUAAACACGCAAUCUGCAAUAGCAGAUAUGAAUGACGUGAAUAUUCAAAUGAGGGUUCAAGAACUCGGUUCCAAAGCUACAAAUUCAAUUCAAUUAAACACAGUCGUUUGAGUUCUAACAUUAUGGAAAAUAGUUCUCUUUUUUACUUACAGGUCGGAGGCUCUGUGCGAUGUGGAAAAGACCCUGCACCUUGCACGCCCUGCAGCCGCUAUUGGUUGCGCCUAGUCUGCGCGUGCCUACUCAUCAACAGCCUGUGCGAUGGGUGGAUCUUCCGCAGGAUGUGAGCUAGGCGUCGGGACCACCUCGGGGUGCCUAAGCGACCUAUGGACUAGGUCUGGGACUGCCUCUUCUUCUCCUCAUCGUCAUUAAGAACUUGAAGCAUCCGGCGAUGCUUCGGUGCUCGAGCUCCAGAAGCUGAGCCUUGACCAGAUGAAGGAUCUUUGACCGACCCUGUUGGCGCCCCUCCUGCUCGGGACGGCCCUCCAGUCACCAGUCUUUGUGAUUCUAUCAUCGGUGGUUGGAGCCACUUGGUCAUCGUCGUCAUCGUUGCUGGUGUAUCGAUAACACUGAGCAGCGUUCUCCAUGGGCCGGUCUACGCCCGUUGGGUGCUCCAUACCAUGUGCUAGUGACACAUACACCGAUGCUCGAUCGAUGUCUCCAAUCUAUAAGAUGGUGGUAAUAGUUAAUCAGGGGCUAAGGAUGACAACGAAUAAAAUUGCAAGUUGUGCAAACUUAUUCCUUACCUUUGGAGCUGGUUGAGCCAACUUGUAUGCAUGCAUCCGGUUGUCACUUCGCACAAAGCUGUUGUCUGUGAGAUUGAAGAGCUCGGUGAUUCGAUGGUGGAUCUCUAUUUUCUCCAGGUUAUCCUUAUGCAUCUUGGUAGUGUCCUAGCUUCUGUGGUAUUCAUAUCCUGAGUGGACUCUCCUCUAGCAUGGCUGCACUCGGCGGCUGAGGAAGUUCCCGACCACGCCAGGUCCAUCCAGACGCGACCACUCGAUCAGGUUCAUCAGCUCCUCGACCUACCCGGUGUACUCUGGUCAGUCCAUCCAGCUGUCUCUCUUCUCUGGUAUGUAGCCAACAUCGUAGAAAGUGGCGUUGUUCGGCUCUUCCUGGAUGUAAAACCACUUCUUGUAGCACUUAGAUAAGGAUAUGUUCCAAGGGUAGUUUAGAUAACAAUUCUUCAUCCCAUCACAAAGAUUGAGGUAUACUCCACCAGUAAUCUUGGAUCCUCCAACUGCUCCUUUCUUCCUCGGGCAAAACAAAUAGCAAAACAGGUCAAAAUGCCGCUCUAUUCCUGCAAAAGCUUCACACAAAUGAAUGAAAGUGGCAACAAGGAGGAUCAAGUUAGGAUGGAGGUUGCAAAUCCCAAUCUCAUAGUAAAGAAGCAAACCCUGAAGAAAAGGAUGAAUGGGAAUCCUCAAAAAUGACGAUCUCACUAGCACUUGGAUCCAGGAAACUUUCUCCCGACAGUGCCCUCCAACCGCCGAGUUCUUGGUUGUGAAGGAGCCCCAUCUCGACAAGCUCGUCGAUGGACUUUGUGGUGGACCUGGACUUCUUCCAUUCCUUCGCCAUCGUCUCGGCUCUCUUUUUUGCAUCACUCUUGGCCAUUUUGUUGAGGUGGUGAAAGCCAAAGUUUGGUUUUGGUAAUUAAUGACACCUAGUUGCUAAUGCCUUGUGUUUGAGUGAUUUGAGUUAGGCAUAGCAACACAUGUGAUGAAGGUGCAUGGUGGCAUGGAAAGGUGUCCACAUGAUCACAAAGGUAUGAAGCAUGAAGUGGAGAUCAUGGUGACAAACAAAGAAUAAAGUGAACAAGGCAAAGGUAUAAACAUAGGGUUUUGCUUUUGCCGGUCUAAGUUGAGUAGAGAAGUGAUUGACCGGGUUUAGGAUAGAUAGCCAACUAUCAAGAGGGGAAAUCAUGGUCAUCUCUCUAAUCAAAUGCUACUAGGUCCAUAUCUUGAGCAUAUGCAUUAGAAUCUAGUAAAGUGCUAACUUAAAUCCUUUGUUGAAAAUGUUUGUGAAAAGCUAACACACAUGGACAAGUGUUGUGACACUUUUGUUUUGGCACAUGGAAGCAAGGGACUGAGUUGAAAAGGGAUAGGAUGAAGUUCAGCUGCUAAAAGUACCUUUAGAGGUUUUCUGUGAGGCACCGGACAUAGGAACAGUAACCCCUUUGAGUCCAGUGUAGAGAGUCCGGUGAGAACGUUGUCACAGGAAGUUUCUGAGUUUGCGUCUGGUAUGCACCGGAUGUGUCCGGGGCUGGACCGGACGUGUCCGAUGUGAGACCGGAUGCAUCCGGUGUGACCAUCUAGUGCAAGCUCAGUUUGCAGAACUCUUUGAGUUUUGGUCCGGUGUGGACCGGACGCGUCCGAGGUGUGAGUCCGGUGCUGGUGUCACUUUGGGGAGCUCUCUGUGUUUUCGUCUGGUCUUGACUGGACCAUCCGGUGUGUUCUAGUUGAGAGUCCAGUGUUGUAUCUCAGUUGGUGGCAACGGUCAUUUUUCAAAUGGUCAAGAGCACCGGACGCAUCCGGUGUGAACUAGGGCGCGUCCGGUGUGCACGACUUCAGCCUAAUGAAAAUGACCAACGACUCUUUUAUUGAAGGGGCUUAUAAGUAGAAGGUGGCCGGCUUAGGGGGGUUCUCUCUUGCACAUUUGAAUACUUGAGGCAUAAAUUGAGCUAGAGAACACUCCCACCACUUAUAUCCUAGCUUGCUUGCUAAUCUUAGUGAGAUUGAGUGAGAUUCAAGUGCAUUGCAUUGAGAGUUGUAUCUAGUGGCACUUGAUCCUUGAGUUUGCUGUGGAUUUCUUAUUACUCUUGGGUGUUUUUCGAUGCCCUAGACGGUUUGGAGCAGCGGUGGUGUUGAGCUCGUGAUUGAAGAUUGUUUCGAGCCUCACCAAGUGAUUUGUGAUGGGUUCUUGAGCCUUCCCCGCGGGAGAUCGCAAUUGGCUACUCUAGUGGAUUGCUCGUGGCUUGGAGGAUCCCCAUCUGUGAGUGGAUGUGCGGCACCCGCUGAGGGUUUAGCUUUGGAUUGCCAAUUAGCUCGUGAUCCAUCAAGUGGGUGAAUCGCCACAACGAGGACUAGCUUGCUAGGAAGCAAGUGUACCUCGGUAAAAAAUAUUGUGUCAUCUCUUGCCAAUGAUUAUCUAUUGUGAUUGUGAUUUUGAGUGAUUGGUUGGAUAUAUCUCUACUCUACAACAUUGAUAUAACAAUCACUCUCCACUCCUUUACUCACUUGUUUACCUUGCUAGUUGUUUAAGCUUGUUUAGGAGUGUAGCUAGCCUUCUCUUGUUGUUGUGGUUUAGUGUUUAGCCUUGUACUAGAUUGUAUAGGUGGCUUGCAUACCUUAGUUGAGCUAGUGCUAGAAUUGCUUUGCCAUUUGUUUCACUAACUCUCUUGAAUUAGUGAAGUUUGUAGAAAAUUUAAAUAGGCUAUUCACCCCCCUCUAGCCAUUUGGACCUUUCAAGUGGUAUCGGAGCCAAGGCACCGUUUAUUUGAGGCUUAACAACCUACGGUGAAGAAAUGGCUCUUAGUUUGCAUAUCAACAACACCAAGAAUGCACCUUUCUUUGAUGGCACCAAUUAUGCAUAUUGGAAGGUCAAAAUGACCGCACAUCUUAAGUCAAUCAAUAGAGAGGUUUGGAAGGUGACCGAAGCAAAGUUUGAGGUUGCAAAUGAGAAUGCACCAACACCGGUUGAAGAGAAGAAGCUUCAAUGCAAUGACAUUGCAAUAAGUGCUCUUCAUGAAGCUCUUGAUGACGAGACCUUUGAACAAAUCAAGAACACUGAGAUUUCUCAUGAUGCUUGGGCAAAGCUAGAGAAACAUUUGAGGGCACCAAGGGAACCAAGACCGCCAAGGCAUACAUCCUCCAUGAAAAGUUCUCAAGCUUCAAGAUGCAAGAAGAUGAAAGUGUGCCGGAGAUGUUUCACUAGUUGCAAGUCAUUGUGAAUGAGCUUAAGGCACUUGGGGAAGAAGUGAAGGAUAGUCAAUUCUCUAUGAAGUUCCUGAGAAGCUUGCCCAAGAGAUUUGACACAUUGAUCACCGUGCUAGUCAAGACAACACUUAGUGAAUCAACUCCCCAACAAGUGUUCCAAGAAGUGAUGACCAAUGAUGCUUAUAGAGAAGAUGAUGAGAAGGAUGAGUUGAUCAAAAAAAAGAAGAAGGAUGGUCAGAAGAAGGACGAUGAGAAGAAGAGUGUGGCAUUCAUAGCUUCCACAUCCGAGGGCAAAGCCAAGCAAGAAUCGUCAAGUGUAGAAGAAACAAGCUCUUGUGAUAGUGAAGGAGAUGAGGAGAUGGCUCUUCUUGUCAAGAGAUUUGGCAAAGUUAUGAAGAAGAAGGGCUAUCGGGCAAGAAGGAAGUAGUGCUCCUCCAAGAAGAAUGACCAUUCCAUGAGGUGCUUUAGAUGCCAUAGCAAGGAUCAUCUCAUCGCCAAGUGUCCUUAUGAUAGUGAUUGUGACAGAACUGCCCAAUUUAUACAAGUUUAAGCAUGACUGUCCCUGUUUAACACGUUGACCCGCGCAUACUCUCACUUAUAUAAACUCGGUAGUCUGUCGAGUGUCACGAAGGACCUCGGUAAAUCAACCUUACACCAAGAUCGCAUGAUUAAGCAAAUACACAUCACAUACACGGAGAUUUGCAGCAGAAAUAAUAUUACAAUAGAGUCCACAAAUAAUAGUACAAGUAUGGAUUUUCCAAAUUGAUUAGAAAACAACAUAGCUUUCAAAUGAUUACAAUAACAUAAGUUCCAAAUACAUUGCUAGUAUAAGUGACAUCCUCCGACAAAAGCAUGUAGAUGAGAACACUAUAUAGAACCACCGAGCCCACCAGAGGUUAGCCACCAUCCUUAGCAGACUGAAAACUUCACCUGCAACAUAGUGGGAUAAACCCUGAGUACUCGAAUGUAAUCAGCUAGACUUACCCGACAGGAGAGAAAUAAAAGACUCUCAAGGAUAUCCAAGGCUUAUUUGGUGGUGUUGGUUGGAUAGCAUAACUUUGCCAAAAACAGCAUUACUAUCAUGAGUCCUUACUUUCAACCUUUUAGUCAAUAUUUUAGCAUCAAGUUCAGUUAAGCUACAAUAGCUAGAUUUUGCACCUAUUCUAUAGCAAUCACUUGAUUAAUAAGCAUCACAGUAAUAACCAUAUCCGGUUUAUCAUGUAGCCAUCAUCAUUCUCAUCAUAACCAUUAAGUUUAUUUAGUGAGUUCUACGUUGUCGCUGCUCAAGUCAAGUUCUCACUAUUCGGGAGAGACGGCGAUUCAAAUCGAUUCCUAUCCAGCUGGAGGGGUAUUCCUAGCACUCAUUAGCGUACUUUGCAAGAGCAGCCUUAGGUCACCUUUAGCACAACUCAGGACCAAUUCGCGGGUCCGUACAGCGCCAUACCCCCAGGGACCGCCAAAGUGCCAGGGUCAGGACUCUAACCUGACACCUCGGUCUUACGACAUUGACUUCCCGCACAUCCUUACUACCAACCGGGGUGCACACUUAAACCGAACAGGGUAUCCGGCCUGAGUUGCACUCAUAGGCUUCGUGGUCGGAAUGACUUAUCCGGCCAACUAAGUGUUAGGCAUGCAUUCAACAUGACGAGAGGACGUACAGCGUAUCGGUCCUUAAACGACACAGACGGGGAUAGAUUCACACCCAAGACCUCCAUACCUUGUUGCUUCACUAUCAUCAUCCCGCCUGGUGUCCAUUAAUUUUAACACAUGGUUAUUUCCACUAUAGCAAAUAUAGCCAACCGUGAUCAAAUAUCCACCUAUCUCUCGCAGGUGAUAGUAAAUCACCCGGCUUCUACCGAGCUAAGCGUGGCUAAGUAUCAUUAGGUAAGGUAUAAGGUGGACAAGGUAAUCAUUAUGCAGCAAGAGUGUCAUAUCAACGCCUAACACUUAAUGCAACAAUACAUAACCAUAGUAAUUGACAGCUGGACAUGGUAACAAAAUAGUAGGCGUCUUAUAAUGCUCUGGGGCUUACCUUCGACGUACGUGGAAGGACGGUGGUCGGGGCACUCCAGUAGAUCCUCUUCCUCCUCAGCUCCUUCUCCUUGAGGUUGCUCCCUCUGCUGCUCCUCCGACUCGGGUGGUGCAAACUCCAGGACCGUCACGCCCUUAGGUACACCUAUAUAUGCAUGACAAGACGAUGAACAUAGGGAAUGCACAUAUGAUGCAUGAUGUCGUGAUGAGGAGCCAAAGGAACAUAAAACAAGGUGCAAAUAUGAGCAUAAGCUUCGAAGAUUAUGAGGAUCAUGAAAUAAUAAGUGCAUACUUCUUCUCUGGUAGAGAGGCUAACUAAACAAGAUAAUCAACCUUAGCUACUCAUACACAAAAACUGGUGUCAAGGACAGACUGGGUAGUCACAAAUUUUAGCUUUAACUUAGCCAUCGUUAGGACAAAUUAAGCAAGUAGACACUUUCUGGAAAUCUUAACAAAUUGUCUACUAUUCGCUUUCAGACAACCUAGAGAGAUUCCCAACCGAAAUAGACUAAAACAGACAAAGUUUGCUGGCUGCCCUGGAAAAUCCAGAGAGCAAGCACUUCGCAGCAGCUUCUUGCAACAGUCAUAACUCUUAAACUACUCAGCCAAAUGUCAUGAAAUGUGGACACAAAGUAGAUAAGGAAGUUAGCUACAAGUUUGUUAUAGGUAAGUUUUCCAGAAAACUUCAUCUUCAAGCAAUUCUUAAGUGAUUUCUAUCAGCUACCCAGAAUGUGCUCUAGACAAGGCAUAAUUAGUCAAAUAGUAUUUUAGCACAUAUUAAGAAUGUAACAAUGGUUCAAACCAAGGGCACCAGUAGCUGGAGCAUGUCUAGGAAACACCAUAAAACAUCAUGGCAAGGUUUAAACUCAUUUUUAUUAUCACCUUUUCUAUUUAUUUAAUUAUUAAGAUGAUUUAAUGAGUAUGUAUCACAAGUGCUCCAAAAAUUCUAAUAAAAUUACAGCAAGUUAUCUAGGCUACCACAAGGUUAGUGUAAAAUUUCCAUGGCUCUUGCACGUGCAGAUUGUGAGAUACAAAAAUGACAAGCUAACAAUGGCAUUAAAGGCAUAAAUGUGAAACCCUAUCAAAAAGUGUCAAACAACAGAUUUCAGAUUUUUCUUAGCUUUGUUUACCCAUGACUACAUCACUCAGCAAGUUUCAUCAUAAGAGGAGUUAUACUAUAUUUAUUAAAAAUACCACAAGAAACUCCUAUUUAAACAAGAAUUAUUUAUAACUUCAUCAACAGGCAUCCACAAAUCAUGAUAAAUCUAUCAGAGCCUACACAUAGCAUAAAGAACAAUCUCCUAAAUUUGCAUGGCCAUAGAACUUAUAGAUCUCAAGAUAUAAUUACCUUUUAUUUACCAAAGAUUAAAUCAUAACUAUUUAUUUCUCUCAAAACAUGGCAUGUCUCAUAUUUUUCAUAAAAACUAGACUAACUCAAGAACCUAACAAAAUUGGAAUCACCCCAUUUGGAUCUGUCUAGCCCAAGUUAUGAAUUUUUCAAAUCAGCAUUGAAUCUGCCCAAAAAACAGAAAUAGGGGGGAAAAAGAUAGAGGCUGACAGAGGGCUCCCACUCGUCAGCGACACACUGAGCAGAGGCGAGCUCGGCUGCCGGAGAUCUCAUCGACGGCAAGGUCUACGGGGAAACCAAGGGCAUCUACGUGUUCCUCGCAUCGAGGCGAACCUGUUGACCUACUUGGCUCACGCUCUACUGGACUCUAGGGUGCUCGCCGUCGGGAAUGGCGAAGCGGCGGCGCUGCGCGGCGUUACGCCGGCUAACUGAGGCAAUGGCGACUCAGUAGAGGUUGCGGAUGAGCGAGAGGAAAACAAGGUGAAGCUGUAGGACGAAUAAUCACGGCCAGAAGUGAACCAGAGAGGUCUGGCCACGUUGUCGGUGAUCUCUGUGAACUCCGGCGAGGUGGAGCUCGCGAUGGAGUUAGCAAUGCAACCUCACCGGUGCUCGGUUAGGGAAAGGAGAUGGACGUCGAGGUAGAGGACGUCGCGGCGGAGCUCUGGGCGAAGCAGCUCGGCUCGGGACUCGGUGGUGUGGCCAGAAAAGCUCGCCGAAGAGCGGCGGAGCUCGCUGAGGCGAUGGCGGAGGGAAAUGUGGCGCUCUAGGCGAGUGGACGACGCGUCUAAGGAAUCCAGGCGGUGCGUGGUGACUUGUGGACGAUGUCCAAGCUGACAGGCGGGGUCGUCGAUGGCGUACGGCCGACAGGUGGCCGGACAUGCGGCGGCGGGUGAUGCUCUGUCCAACUGAAUCGGUGUCUGAAUCCUCCGAUCGUAGUGACUGAAACUCAAACUUCGUCGACGUUUUACUCCAGAUUCACUCAGUGGUUUUGGCUCGGAUUUAUUCCAUUGGAUAGAGCUACACGAGUUCUACAAAAUUGCUUAAAGGAUCAAAGUCUGGUUCGGCCUGGAUUUCAAACUACAAGGCUCCCAAGUACCCUAAGUGCAAACUGUGUCGAUUCUGACUUAGGCAAACUUGGCUAAGUGUGAAACAGCACUGAUUUUUGCCUUGUGAGCUAAUUUUGAGUGUGUUCCAAGCAUUUUCAUAAAAGGUCACCAACACAACUUUUGUAGCUUAUAACAUUUACUACAAUUUUGCUUUAUAUGUCAUUUACAUGCAAAGUCUCUAACAUAGAUUUCAUAAAAGAUCUUUAAAAAGAGGUUUAGGGGGUCAACUAGGUCAACCUAGGGCUAACCAUGACUUAGGUGCAUUUUUAGAUGAAACCUCCAACACAAACUUUGUUCAAAAUAAUAUUAUAAACAUGAUUAAAGUAUUUUGGAAGACAAUGUGCACUUAUAUGCAUUGGUCACACAUUACUUCCACAUAUAGCAUGUCACAUAUAUAAGCACUUCAAUCACCUAGUGUACACACCAAAUGACAUGUGAUCAUGGUAUGAUGCUCAUGGAUGAGUAUGAUGAUGCUUAUGUUGAUGCAAUGCUCAAGGUUAACAUGCAAGCUAACACUAGGAGUGUUACAGCCCUCCCCCCUUUCAAAAAAUCUCGUCCCAAGAUUUGAAAGACGUACCAUUUUUCAUAGAAUGAGGGGUAAGUUACUUGUAAAUAGUCUUCCCUUUCCCAAGCGGCAUCUCUCUCACUUUGAUCAUUCCACAGCACCCUAAAAAGUUUAAUCACUCUCCCUCGAGUAACCCUUUCUUUGACAUCGAGAACUUGUACAGGCUUUUCUUCAUAAGAUAGAUCUAUCUGUAAUUUAAGACCUCCUGUUUCAACUCUUUCUUCGGGCACGCGAAGGAAUUUGUUAAGUUGGGACACAUGGAAUACAGUGAAAAUAGCUCUCAUCUCAGGAGGUAGCUGUACCCUGUAAGCUACUUUGCCACUCUUCUCGAUGAUUUGGUAGGGACCAACAUACCUAGGGGCAAGCUUUCUCUUCACACCAAAGUGAUUUACCCCUUUCAUAGGUGAUACCUUUAGGUACACAAAGUCACCUACUUCAAACUUGACUGGUCUUCUUCUUCGGUCAGAAUAACUUUUCUGUCUAGCUUGGGUGGCUUCCAUGUGUUUCUGGAUAACAAGAACUUGCUUUUCGGCUUCCCUGACGAAGUCAAUUCUGUAGUAUCUCCUUUCACCAGGUUCGACCUAGUUUAGAGGAGUUCUACAUUUCCGGCCAUACAAAGCUUCGAAAGGAGCCAUUUGAAUACUCUCUUGAUAGCUAUUAUUGUAGGAGAAUUCAGCUAAAGGGUAGCUUUUGAGUAUGUUAAACGCAAACAGAAAAAGUCCGCAAGCGCACGGAUACCGAUAUAGCUUUCACCCGGGAGUAUUCUAGAGUAUCGAUUUUCCACAGGGAACGUGAGUGUACUAAUUAAGAUUCAAGAUCGCCCAAGGAUAACUAUAUAAUUAUUUUUGGUGGGAAGAGAGGAAGUUUCCUGAGAGUUCUCUAGUUGAUCUAAGAAUCAAGAAUUACUUCAAAGAUUAUUCAUUUCGGGACAUCAGAACACUAACCACAGAAAGAGAUGAGAAGGAGGCUAGGAAGCUCUAACUACGGUCCUACAAACACCGAUCUGAACGAGGUGGAAUACGUCGACCGUUAGGGUUGUCACUACCCUAGGGCUACCACAACAAUCCGCACGAUAGGGUGCAAUUCCAGGUAAUUGCAAGACUAAACACCACGUCUAAUCUAUUAAUUACUACUCUAGCGUUUCAAAGACUAGAGCACUUGAUGCAAGCGAGAAUCCAAUAAAUAACUUGAAUGUAAAUAAAAGUAACAAAGAACUCAGGAAUUAUGAAUUGAAGAACUUGGAGAACGAUAAAGAACGAACCAGUUGCUGCAAAAGUACAAUGUUGAGGAAGAUCCGACAGAUUCGGCUCCUCCUCCGCUCUCCUCUUCUCUCUUCCUAUUUUCUAGAAUACAACUAGAACUAACUAGAACUAGAACUAGAUGAACUAGAACUAGAACUAGAUGAACUAGAGGGAUCCUCUCUACUUGGAUGAAUAAUUGAAACCCUAACUUUGAUUCUGUAGAAAAGGUAUGCCUCCAGGGGCCUGCUUAUAUAGGCCCUCCAAAUGAAUAUGGGCUGUCGGAUCAAACCAACCUUAAUUGCAUGAUUAUUCUUGAAGAAUAGAGGCGAUGGAGCACGAUCCGUGAGACCUGCCCUAAUUGGUCACCAGGGCAGGCCGGGCGCCCAAGGGGGGAGGGCGGGCGCCCUGCCCCCGGGUCCGCUCGGCCUCCUGUUCGUUCCCGUGGCUUUUGGAGUCUUCUAGAUGAUUGAAAAUUGGCGCACACAUUAAUAUCUCUAUGUAAUCCCGACGUGUGGGCCUUUACUCCAUAUUUCCUGAUAACCCCCUGCAGAAAGAGACGAACACCAAAACUCGUGGAAUUCUAUCAGAUAAAACCCUAAGUCUAGGUGUCGGUUGCAUUUGGAUCCUUUUCCAUGAUUAAUGGACGAUUAAAUGUGAGCAUUAAGGAUCGUCAACAAGCUCCCCCAAGCUUAACCUUUGCUCGUCCCUGAGCAAAGCUAAACUCAAGAGUUUCUGCAGUGGUUUAAUGCCUUAAAGGUACACAUGUGCUCAAACAAGAUCUCAUCUCUGGGUUAGGGUAAACUGUUAAGAUUUAAACUUACUCAUUUUUUUCUUCCACCAUGGGGCUUGCAACCGUCACUUGUGUCUUGAGUAGUUAAAAGAUAGAAUGGUCUAGUCAAGCGCCAUGUCUCUUGUUCUUCGAUUAACUAUAGCUCUGGAGUAUUUGCAGAUUUUCAAAUAAAACUCAAAGAUUCCUUGUAUGACUCUCUCUAGUCUCUCUUUUGUGGUAUUUCGGGAUCCUUACCAAGGCAGUAAUGGUGUAUGUCUUGACUCAAAGUAUGUGGUAUUUUUGGUAUGAGGCAUAGUGGCAUUGCCUUCUCUCUCACCCUACUCUAAUAAGGUAUUGAUAUCUGGAGCUCAUAGGUGGGAGACAGCUAAUACAUACUUACAAGACAUUUAUUGCAUAGCCAAACCAUGGAUCCAGAAGAACAAGUCAAUAAGUCAAAUCAAGAUGUGCAUGUGUGGCGAAUGAAUGGUGAUAAUGGCAAAAAUAAUGGUGAAAGUCUAAUUCUACUUUUGCUCUUUUGAGGGGGUACAUACCUUCCUUGCACUUGAGGCUUUUGAGGGGAAUGAGAUGCUCUAUAUUUUAUUUUUCUUUUCUCUUAGGUGGGUAUCUUGUACCCCUAAUUCUACUAUCGGACACUUGUCCAUUUUUACCUCUCGUCUCAUUUUUUUCUCUCUUCUUUUUUUUCAAGGUUUCGGGCACUUGCCCCUUUUUAUUUCCUCGUAUUCACUUUUUUUUUUCAGAGCACUCACCCUCCUGGAAUAAUGUAGCAAGUGGUAGUAACUAAAAUAUCUCGAGCAUUUAUUUCACGGGGAAUAAUAGAGAUAGGAUAAUGUUUUUGGCUAUUCUCUCCUAGAUAGGAAUAGAAUAAUUUUGGGUGAAUCUCGAUAUGGAAAUGAGUGGAUGUAAGUGGAUGCGUAAUCCCAGAGUAGAAGCAGCAUGUAUGAGUGAACGUGCAAGUAAAUCUUGAUUUUAACCACAUGACAAACUCCUAAGGGUCUACACAGCUUGACCACACUCAAUGCUCAUAAGCAGUAAAAAGUAAAAAUAUGGUUCAUAGUCUAAUAAGCAUGUAUAUAUGGUUGUGUUAGGAUUUUAAACUCUCAUCAUACAAGAACUCAUCAUGCCAUAUUUUAAAGAUUUUCAAAGAUAAAAUUCUCCACAAUUCUAGCAUCUCUAGGAACAGAUAAACAGCAGCUCAACCUUCCCAUAUCGUAUCCGUUAAUGACUUAGACUUUAGAUCAAGUACUCUUCCCACAAGUUCAGGUUUAGAGCAAAUCUUAAUUAAUAACAGUCAUGCCUAAACUAGAGAGAGAUUUCAAUUUUGAGAACCAGUCAUGGCAGAGCAACUAUUCAUCAUUUCCAUGUGAGAGCUUGUCAUGAGGGUUCAUAGCAAACUUUAUUUAUUUAUUUAUUUAGCAAACUAAGCAAAGAUAUAUAUAUAUAUAUAAGCACAAAAUCUUUAUUUGGGUUUUUAUGAUUAUGCAUCUUUUUAUUAUUUGAGUAAAGUAUAAACAUGAGUAGAACACUUAGCUGGAUAAAUGGGGGUGCUCUCCCCCAACCUGGAUUUUAACGUAAUUUCUUCUGAUGUAGCUAGCAUUUGGCGGAGGUGUAUUUGAAUGUCGGCAGCACUCUGACAGCGAUUAGGAUGUCAUCUGUCUGCUAGUCUUCUUUGAUCCUUGAAUUCUGUGGAGCUCAAAUAGACAACAAAGCUUUGUGGAGCUGGUUAAGUGUUAGCAUAAAAUCUCUUAGCUGUUAUCAUGUUGAGCUUCCUCUAAUAAAUAUUACUCUCUUUGGUAGGAUCAUAAAUUUAUUUUUAUAUUUUCAUUUUUAUAGGACAGAAAUAUAUUUAUUUUAUUUUUACGCCACCACAGUGAAUGUACUUAUGUGUUUUAUGCUAUGAGCAUACUCACAUGGGGCUUACUAUUUUUAACAUUUUUAUUUUCUUUUCAAGAUGAUAUGAACCUGAUUAACUAAACAAACUAUUUUAAAUAAUUGAAAGGAAAAGGAUAGCUACCAAGUUUACCUCUUGGCAAGGCGUUCGGUGUUUUUAAGUCCUCCGAACGGGACUCUCCGUUUUCUCAGUCGUCCUGGGAUUCGCUGGAUGGCGUAGUAGGUGGUUCCAGCGGCGCCUCCUCUUCGUAUAUAACUAUCUUCUCUCUCCACACCUGACUCGGUGCUAUGGUCUCCUCAGGAUAGUUCUGUUCAAGUUGUAUGUCUUCAGACCUUACCACUUCUCCUUCGUAGUCUGCUCAGCCGUCCUUGAUGAUUUGCCUCCUCUGGUUGCAGUUGCGUCGUCUUCUUCUUUUUCCUGACCUGCUUAGAGUCUUCAACUAUAUAGUUAGGGUUAGUAAAAUAGUGGUGUAUCUUCUCAUAGGGGUAGUGCAUGUGGACUUCUCCGGUUCCAAUGUAGAUGAUUGCUUUAACGGUGCUGAGGAACGGUCUCCCAAGGAUGAUGGGUGGAUCGUACUCGUCUUCUCCCAUGUCAAUAACCUGAAAAUCUGUAUGGACAAAAUGAUCAUAUAUUUUGACAGGGACAUCAAUUACUAUACCUUCAACCUUUCAGAAUGUCUGAUCUGCCAUCUGGAGCUGAAUGUAUGUCGGUUUUAGGGGCAUGGUUCCGAACAGGAGCUGAUAGGUGACUACGGCCAUUAUGUUGACGCCUGACCCGGUGUCGCAAAGCGUCUUCUGGAAGUUGUAUCCAGUAAUGGAGCACUGCAUGCUUGGCAUACCUGGGUCAUCCUUUUUGGUCAGAAACGGUGACUUAAGUCGACGAUCUUGACCUCCUUGAACUGCAGUGACCAUCUUAGCUGACUCGGUCCACAUUUGCUUGUUCCUGUUCCUCAUGUUGGUCAUCUUCCUUGGUUCAUGUCGGGAUUGCUCUAAGAUUUGUGUAGUCUUGUUCUUGAAGGAAAAUGUCUCCUUCCUCCCCUUGAUGUAGAAACUGAUCUUGGCAACACUAACAUAGAUGACAGCUCCCAAGGUGUUCAGGAAUGGCCUCCCUAGGAUGAUGGGUGCCCUCUCAUCAGUACUAGUCUCUAUCACCAUGAAGUCUGCUGGGGCGUACAAGGUACCAACUCGGACGCAGAGGUUCUUCAAUAUUCCCUUUGGGAAACUUAGUGUCUGAUCUUCAAGCUGCAAACACAUGGUUGUUUCUAGUAAAGGAUGUGUAAAGAAUUUUUCAUAGAGUACCCUGGCAUAAUGCUGACGCUGGAACCAAAGUUGCAGAGUGCUUCUGGGAAGUCCACCAUGCCGAUGGAGAUCGGGAUGAUGGGGCAUCAUGGAUCGUCUCUCUUGACCGGCAGAAGGUCAGUAAUUACUUCCACAACAGAGUUACUCCAGUAGUUACCUGCAUCAAACAAAUCUACAAGAUUUGCAGAUUCUAAUCCUUCCGGUUGUGAUGGUAUACCGGGGUUAGUAGCAGGAACAGCAACAGCUAUUUGAUUUAACUGAGAUUCAAUCAUUUUAUUAAAGCUAAUUUGAUUCUUGAUGGUAGUAGAGAAAUUAUCCAUUAGCUUUCCUUGAUUAGACACUAACUCUCUCAGAGGUAGAAAAUUAUUAUUAUUGUAAGAAUUAUUACCUUAAUAAUUACCUGAGUAGUUAGGCCUCUAUUGAUUCCAACCUUGAUUUUGUUGAGGACGGUAGUAGUAGUAGUAGUUGUUGAUGUAGUUUACGUCCUCAAGCAUCUCAGGGCAGUGAUUGCCUGAGUGUCUAGUAUCUCCAGUGUGUUUGUGCUCAUAGAUCUAGGUUCCUCACUUGUUGGAGUCUGGGAGUUGUAAAACUCCUUCAUAUUUUGCUCGAAGUGUACCUGCUCAUAGAGACAAGGCGGAGAUCAAGUGCAUGGGCCCUGUUGGUGGAAAACACCAACAGAACCAAAAAGUGUAUUUGUUCUAUCUAACCUUAAGCAUAGUGAGCAAGACGAAGUUGAUGGAUAAUAAGAUCAUGAGUGUAGCAUUUAAAACAUUUGUCAGAUCAGAUCGCUCAACCUAAUGGAAAGAUAAUCUAUCUAUACUUAUAUUUUUUAUAUAUCUUCCAAAGAUUGUGUGUGCAACAUUUUAGUUCAUAUGAUUAGGAUUGUGGGAUCACAAAGGUGGAAGGACUAAACAUAUUGAAUCGAUUGGGUUGGUUAAUCUAGAGUUGUAAAUCAUACAUGUUUGUCUCUUUUAUUCAUGUGAACGCCAGAACCAAGGAGAAGUUUAUAGAAGUGAUAGUCAAGUACCUUAAGAUGUUACCUUACUUGAAGAGUGAUGGUACAGUAUCACCUUGUGGAAGCUUUCCUUUCUUAGCGGUUGUGAAUCGUGUUUGUGGCACCCUCCAUGGAUCAUCUCUUGUGAGCUAUGCCUUCCUUGUGUAAAUUGUUUACCUUCAUGUGUCUCUCUCUUUGUCUCCAAUGUGAGUUUAUCUCAGGACUUCCCAGGUCAAUAUUGAAAGUUUUCCUGUAGGGGUUAGUCCAACAAAAUAUCCAAUAUCUACUAUAGCAUACUAUCGGCUCAAAAAUCAACCUAGACACCAUGUCUAAUUUGAUUCAGGAGGGCAUUUUAACCUAAGCACCAUGCUUAAUUUAAAAUCCCUUGGAAGUAAGAUCAUCAUUCCUAAACUAAGCACCAUGCUUAAUUAAGAGAUAAAUGAAACUACUCCAAACCUAGACAUAUACUAAAGCAAAUAAAAGUAGCAUGAGAGCAUUUAUAGAGAUCUACUCAAGUGGAGAUGAUGUAGUGUGAUUAGUAUUCAACAAAUUGAGCAUAUCUCAAAGGUAGGGACAACCAACAUAGCAACAUGGCAAAGGAUGUUUUUAUGUAAAGUACUCCCCCAAGCUUGAAUUUUGCAAAAUUCAAGUUUGGAUGAAUUUAAUUCAAUGUUGUAUGAUGAUUGGUUGGACAUACCUUGUGCUUGUCAUUCAUCCGAUCUUCUUGCUCCAAUCCUGGAAAGGUUAGUGACAAGAAUACCCGAAGUAAUAUUUUUACAAUUAUCCUUAUAUGCUCAAUAGACAAGUUAAUGUUGCAAAUAAUUAAAAGCUCAUGUUAUGGUCUGAUCAGUGCUUAUUUUAGGACAAUAAGCUUGUCCUUGGGAAACCAUCAAUUUAUGUCGGCAAAGUGGUUUCCCCUCCAACGCUGACCUAUAUCAACUCAACGAGAUCUGCAAUAUUUAUUAUAGACAUAUGCAUCGACAACAGCCCUUUUAAAGUUUUUAUAAAUAGAAAGGAAGAGGGGGUUGGAGACUUUGAAUGUGGUGAUGUUGGAGAGACCAAUAGAUUGGGAAGAUGUUGCAUAUGAGCAUGGAGUAAACGAAGUGGCAAUGAAACAAAUUCCAUGCUCAUUAAUGUUUGGAGUGAAAUCAUGUGGUAUGGUGAAAUGGUAAGGUGAGUGUGGUAAAAAAAGAAAAGAAAAAGGAUACACAGAUGACUUGGUUCGAAACUACCACAGCUACCGCUCCCCAGCAACGGCGCCACAAAGCUUGUUGAGUAUUUUAAACGCAAACAGAAAAAGUCCGCAAGCGCACGGAUACCGAUGUAGCUUUCACCCGGGAGUAUUCUAGAGUAUCGAUUUUCCACAAGGAACGUGAGUGUACUAAUUAAGAUUCAAGAUCGCCCAAGGAUAACUAUAUAAUUAUGUUUGGUGGGAAGAGAGGGAGUUUCCUGAGAGUUCUCUAGUUGAUCUAAGAAUCAAGAAUUACUUCAAAGAUUAUUUAUUUCGGGACAUCAGAACACUAACCACAGAAAGAGAUGAGAAGGGGGCUAGGAAGCUCUGACUACGGCCCUACAAACAACGAUCCGAAUGAGGUGGAAUACGUCGACCGUUAGGGCUAUCACUACCCUAGGGCUACCACAACAAUCCGCAGGAUUGGGUGCAAUUCCAGGUAAUUGCAAGACUAAACACCACGUCUAAUCUAUUAAUUACUACUCUAGCGUUUCAAAGACUAGAGCACUUGAUGCAAGCGGGAAUCCAAUAAAUAACUUGAAUGUAAAUAAAAGUAAUAAAUAACUAAGGAAUUAUGAAUUGAAGAACUUGGAGAACGAUGAAGAACGAACCAGUUGCUGCAAAAGUACAAUGUUGAGGAAGAUCCAACAGAUUCGGCUCCUUCUCCGCUCUCCUCAUCUCUCUCCCUAUUUUCUAGAAUACAACUAGAACUAACUAAAACUAGAACUAGAUGAACUAGAACUAGAACUAGAUGAACUAGAGGGAUCCUAUCUACUUGGAUGAAUAAUUGAAACCCUAGCUUUGAUUAUGUAGAAGAGGUAUGCCUCCAGGGGCCAAGGGGGCCUGCUUAUAUAGCCCCUCCAAAUGAAUAUGGGCCGUCGGAUCAAACCGACCUUAAUUGCACGGUUAUUCUUGAAGAUUAGAGGUGGUGGAGCACGAUCCACGAGACGUGCCCUGAUUGGUCACUAGGGCAGGGCGGGCGCCCAAGAGGGAGGGCGGGCGCCGUGCCCCCGGGUCCGCUCGGCCUCCCGUUCGUUCCCGUGGCUUCUAGAGUCUUCUAGAUGAUAGAAAAUUGGUGCACACAUUAAUAUCUCUAUGUAAACCCGACGUGUGGGCCUUUCCUCCAUAUUUCCUAAUAACCCCUAUAGAAAUAGACAAACACCAAAACUUGUGGAAUUCUGUCAGAUAAAACCCUAAGUCUAGGUGUCGGUUGCAUUUGGAUCCUUUUCCAUGAUUAGUUGACGGUUAAAUGUGAGCAUUAAGGACCGUCAAUAGUAGCCACUUCUCCCAUGCACCCUUGGAAGAGAUGACACAUGCCCUCAACAUAUCCUCCAAGAUUUGAUUCACACGCUCAGUCUGACCGGAGGUUUGAGGAUGGUAGGCUGAACUGCGAACCAACUUGGUACCAAGGAGUGAAUGUAAAUGUUCGCAGAAGCGGGCGGUGAAUUGAGGACCUCUAUCAGGAAUAAUAGUGCAAGGCACUCCGUGCAAUUUAAUGAUUUGAGAGAAGUACAACUCAGCAUAGUCGGAUGGUCGGUAUGUAGAAUGCACUGGAAUGAAAUGAGCUGACUUGGUCAAGCGAUCAACAAUCACCCAUAUGGAAUUGUAACCUUUUUGAGUAGGGGCAAGCCCAACAAUGAAAUCCAUGCUGAUUUCAUUCCACUUCCAACCCGGAAUUGACAACGGUUGCAACAAUCCUGCAGGCUUAAGGUGAAGUGCCUUUACCCUGCUGCAGGUAUCACACCUAGCAACAUAAGCUGCUAUUUUCCUUCUUCAUUUUGGUCCACCAGAAAUGAGGUUUUAGGUCUUGAUACAUUUUACUACUACCCGGAUGGAUAGACAACUUAGAGGAGUGAGCUUCAUCUAAGAUUUUGUUGCAUAGGUCACGGUCUUUGGGUACUACAAGUCGAUCAUCAAACCAUAGUACACCCUUCUCAUCUACCCUGAAAUGCUUGGUGUCUUGCACUUGCAUUUUUCUCUUGAUAUGGAAGAUACCAGGGUCAGUCUUUUGGAGCUCUACAAUUUGACUCUCUAAGGAACAACUGACUACAAUGUUGUGCAGGAUCACAGGGUGCAAUAAAUUGAAACCUUCCUCUAGGAGAGGUUCAACAUGUUGCUUUCGGCUAAGGGCAUCUGCUACAACAUUGGCCUUGUCUGGAUGAUAAUGCACUUCAAGAUUAUAAUCCUUGAUCAACUCCAACCAUCUUCUUUGUCUCAUGUUUAGCUCGGGCUGAGUGAAGAUAUAUUUGAGGCUGUUGUGCUCAGCAUAAACGUGACACAGAUUACCCAAUAGAUAAUGCCUCCAGAGUUUCAAUGCGUGCACAACGGCCGCUAACUCUAGAUCGUGAGUUGGGUAGUUGAUUUCAUGCUUGCUCAGCUGCCGAGAGGCAUAGGCGAUGACUCGACCUUCUUGCAUAAGUACACAACCUAAGCCGGUGCCGGAUGCAUCAAAAAAGACAUCAAAUGGCUUUUUAAUGUCACGCUGUGCCAAAACAGGAGCCGUGGUUAGCAGAUGGCGUAACGCGGUGAAAGCAACCUCACACUCCUAAGACCACACAAAUUUCACAUCUUUUUGUAGUAGCUUGGUCAUAGGCUUAGCUAUCUUGGAGAAGUCUAGAAUAAAGCAAUGAUAAUAUCCCACUAGACCGAGAAAACUCCGAACCUCGUGCACUGAAGUCGGGGCCUUCCAGUCUUGAACCUCCUACACCUUUGACGGGUCAAUAGAAAUACCAUCUUUGGAUAAAAUAUGGCCUAGAAAAGGCACUUUCUUUAGCCAAUACUCACACUUGCUGAACUUAGAAUAGAGGUGGUGUUCUCGCAAUCUAGUGAGUACAAUCCGAAGGUCCUUCUCAUGGUCUUGGGCAUUUUCAGAGUACACCAAUAUGUCAUCGAUGAACACCACUACGAACUCUUCCUGUUUAGGCAUGAACAUCGAAUUCAUCAGGUACAUGAAAUGAGCAGGGGCAUUAGUCAGACCAAAGGACAUGACUAGAUACUCAUACAACCCAUACCUGGUAGAGAAAGCCAUUUUAGGAAUGUCUUCAGGUCGGAUCUUGAUUUGAUGAUACCCGGAUCUCAGAUCAAUCUUCGAGAAUACCUUAGCCUUGGCUAAUUGGUCGAAUAGAAUAUCAAUACGGGGCAGGGGAUACUUGUUCUUGACAGUCACAACAUUUAACGGGAAAUAGUCUACACACAUACGUAGAGACUUGUCCUUCUUCUUGACAAAGGGAGCCGGACAACCCCAUGGAGAGGAACUAGGCCGAAUAAGACCUUUCUCCAGGAGUUCUUGCAAUUGUUUCUUCAAUUCUACCAAUUCAUCGGGUGGCAUUCGAUAUGGCCUUCUAGAGAUGGGUGCGGUACCCGGAAUUAGGUCAAUUUUAAACUCUAUGUCUCUGUCCGGAGGCAACCCGGGCAGAUCCUCUGGAAAGACAUCUGAGAACUCACAAACUACAGGAAUCUCUGCCACAGUGAGUGGUCUGAUAGCAUUUGUAGCGUGAUGGAUGUCGUCGUUUCUAGGAAGUUGAACUAAGAAAGCUUCUUUACUAUCAGGCUCCCUCAACAUGAUUACCCUUGUUGAGGUAUCUAUUAGCACUCCAUGGUCACUCAUCCACUUCAUUCGAAGAAUAACAUCUAUUCCCAAGCCUAGCAAAAUCACCAGAUUUGUUGAAUAAUUACACCCUUUGUUGGGUAUUCUUAACAUCUUUACCAAAAGUAGACUAAGUUCUAAAUCUAGUAACGGUGCCAAAAAUGCCAAACCUAUCCCUCACACCACUUAAGCCAAGUUGUCAUCCCCAGCAUGAUAUAAGAGACGCGGUAUUGAAAUAUGCAAUUGCUCUUCUAAAUAAAUAAUGAAUGGGAUCUGCAAGCGCACAUAUUAAUACCGAUGUAGCAUUUUAACCGGGAAGUAUUCCAGGUAUCGUUAUUUAUAUUUUUACCACUGGGAAGGGAUUAGCAAUCAUCACUAUUGAUUACAGAAUAGAAUAUGAGAUUGAGCAUCUAUCAUUGCAUGUAUAAUUGAGAACAUUAUAUCUAACUCUUCAUACAGGGAUAAGUGUCACAUAAAAGAUAUAUGAAAUAAUAAAAGUGACAAGGAUAACUAAUCUGAUCUAGCCACAUAAUAAAUAUGAUAAGCACCUCAAUUAGAUACUCUAGAAAGUCAUUAGCAUGGUAUUAGAACGAACUACAAGAAUAUUCCCUAAGUUAUUCUCAACUAUAUAGUCUAGCAUAUCAUAGUUAGUGCAAGCAUACUUAGCAAUCAUUGUGAGACAAGACUACGCCCAUGCAUAGUGAUAUUAGCAAGGAAUAUGAGAAACAUAGCAAUCACUCCCCUGUAAUAAUGUUGCUCUGCCAGCCCAAUACACGAGAGGGGGACUAUAUAAGAAUCAAUGAAGCUGUCACUGUCACGAACUACCCCACGAUCUGGCACAUUGGGUACAAUCGCAGAUAAAUACGGUAUAAGCACCACGCCUACACAAUAUCUAUCAUUUACCCAUGGAUCCGAUGGAUAAACGCUAUACGAUCCUAAGCAUGUAUAUAGAUCCAAUCUAACUAAGCCAAGUACAUAACUAUGAUAAACUAAGAACAAUAUACUCUUGAAUAUAAGCAAGUAGAGCAAAGUCAUAAGCAAUAUAUUGAAGUAGAACAAAGUCAUAUUCAUAAUAUUGAAGAACAAAGAUAAUUAGAAAGCAAUUAGAAGCACAAUUAGAGAAUUACCAAGAAUCCUCCUGACAGAUCCGGAAACCAAUCGAAGAUUGACUCCUUCUAAUUCUAAUCCUAUGUAGCUAUGCUAAUCUAGAUAUCGAAUUGAUGUGGUGGCUCUAAUCUUGAUGAGAGGCUUCUUCUCCCUUGAAGAACAAUGAAUUAGGGUUGAGAGGCUCUCUCCUCCAGGUGCUAGGGGGUCUAGUUUUAUAGUCCCUUCAAGUGAAUAUGGGCCGUUGGAUCAAACCGACAUAGAUUGUAUGGUUUAGAUUCAUCCUUUAGGUCGGUGGAGAUCUCCCGCAAAGCAGAGUCCUGAUUGGACUCAGGAGGUGGGCGGGCGCCCUGAUCACCUGGGCGGGCGCCCAGGGUCAGGCCUCGUUUCGCCUCCGCUUCGGUCUCGUGGCUUCUGGAGUCUUCUAGAUGUAAGAUAAUUGUGCGGCACGUGAAUAUCUUUAUUUAAUCCCGACGUGUGGGUCUUUCUUCCAUAUUUCCUGAUAACCCCCUGCAGAAAUAGACAAACACCAAAACUCGUGGAAUUCUGUCAGAUAAAACCCUAAGUCUAGAUGUUGAUUUCAUUUGGAUCCUUUUCUUUAUUUAUUUGACAAUUAAAUUUGAUACUUAAGAACCGUCAACAAACUCCCCCAAGCUUACCUCUUGCUCGUCCCUGAGCAAGGACAGACUCAGCUAUGGAUCAUAAGUUGUUGCGAUAUCUUUAAAAAUUGACAGUAUACAUGCUUUUUAAAUAAGAUCUCAUCUCUGAGUUAGAGUAAACUGUCAUGACUUAAAACUUACUUACUUUACCUUCACCAUGGGACUUGUAACCGUCACUUCUGUCUUGAGUGGUUAAAAGAUAGAACAGUCUAGUCAAGUGCCAUGUCUCUUAUUCUUGAUCAGCUAUAGCUCUGGUGUUUUUGCAGAUUUUCAAAUAAAACUUAGAGAUUCCUUGUAUGAUUCUCUCAGAUCUCUCUUUUGUGGUAUUUCUGGAUCCUUACCAAGGCAGUGAUGGUAUAUGCCUUCUCUCAAGAUAUGUGGUAUUUGUGGUAUAAAGCAUAGUGACAUUGUCUUCUCUCUCACCCUAUUCUAAUAAGGCUUUAAUAUCUGGAGCUCAUAGGUGGGAGAUAAAGUAUACAUACUUACAAGACAUUUAUUGCAUAGUCAAACCAUGGAUCCAAAGAAACAAAUCAAUAAGCCAAAUCAAGAUGUGCAUGUGUGGCGAAUGAAUGGUGUAUGGUGAUGAUGGUGAUAACAAUGGUGGAAGUCUAAUUCUACUUUUGCUCUUUUGAGGGGAUACAUACCUUCCUUGCUUUCUGAAACUUUAUGAGGAGAAUGAGAUGCUCUAUAUUUUUCUUUUCUCUCAGGUGGGUGUCUUAUACCCCUAAUUCUACUGUCGGACACUUGUCCAUUUUUACCUCUCGUCUCUCUUUUUCUUUUCUUUCGAGGUUCCGAGCACUUGCUCCUUUUUAUUUCCUCAUAUAUAUAUAUAUAUAUAUAUAUAUUUCUUUUUUUUAGAGCACUCAUCUCUUGAGAUAAUAUAGCAAGUGUUAGUAACAAGAUAAUUUGAGCAUUUAUUUCACAAGGGAAAACAGGAAUAUUUUUGGUUAUUCUCUCCCGGAUUAGGAGUAGAAUAUUUUUGGGUGAUUCUGGAGAUGAAAAUGGGUGGAUAUAUGUGGAUGGUACUUCCGGAGUAGAAGUAGCAUAUAUGAGUGAACGUGCAAGUGAAAUCUUGAUUUAACCUCAUGACAAGCUCCUAAGGGUCUACACAGCUUGACCACACUCAAUGCUAAUAAACAGUAAAUAGUAAAUGUGUGGCUCAAAGUCUAGCAAGCAUGUAUAUAUGGCUGUGGUAGGAAUUUUAAACUCUCAUCAUACAAGAACUCAUCAUGCAAUAUUUUAAAGAUUUUCAAAGAUAAAAUUCUCCAGAAUUCUAGCAUCUCUACGAACAGAUAAACAGCAGCUCAACCUUCCCAUAUCGUAUCCGUUAACAACUUAGACUUCAGAUCAAGUUUUCAUCCCACAAGUUUAGGUCUAGAGCAAGCCUUAAAUUAUAAUAGUUAUGUCUAAACUUGAGAGAGAACAUAAAAUUUGCAAAUUAGGCAGAGCAACUAUUCAUCAUAUCCAUGCUUGAUUUAGAUACAGAUUAGCAUAGCUACUUUAUUUAUUUAUUAAACACACUAAGCAAAAGAGAUAUAUAUAUAUAUAUAUAAGCACAAAAUCUUUAUUUGGUUUUCUAUAGUUAUAUAUAUUUAAAUUCUAAAAUAAUAUAAGUAUAAAGAUAGAUAGAUAGAAAUACUUAUCGAGAUAAAUGAGGGUGCUCUCCCCCAAGCUGAAUUUUGACGUAAUUUCUCUUGAUGUAGCUAGCAGGUGGCAGAGGUGUAUUUGAAAGUCAGCAGCAUUCUGACAGCGACUAGAAUGUCCUCCGUCUCCUAGUCUUCUUGAUUCUUAAAUUCUGUGGAGCUCAAAUAGACAACAAAGCUUGUGGAACUGAUUAAGUGUUAGCAUAAAUAUCUAGCCUUUAUCAUGUUGAGACUCCUUAAUUAUUACUCCAUGUUUUUAUAUUUUUAUUUUAUAAAGCAGAAAAGAAAUUUUUAUUUUAUUUUUAUGCCACCACAGUGAAUGUACUUAUGGGUUUUAUGCCACUCGUAUACUCACAUGGGGCUUACUGUUUUUCAUAUUUUUAUUUUAUUUUUAAGAUAGCACGAACAUGAUUAACUAAGUAAACUAUUUGAAAAUAAUUGAAAGGGAAAGGAUAACUACCAAGUUUACCUCUUGGCAAGGCGUUCGGUGUUUUUAAGUCCUCCGAACGGGACUCUCCGUUUUCUUCAAUUGUCCUGGGAUUCGUUGGGUGGCGUAGUCGGUACUUCCGGCGGCGCCUCCUCUUCAUGUAUAGUUAUCUUCAUUUUCCACACCUGACUUGGUGCUUUGGUCUCCUCUGGAUAAUUCUGUUUAAACUCUACGUCUUCUGACCUUACAACUUCUCCUUCGUAGUCUGCCCAUCCGACCCUGAUGAUCUGCCUCCUCUGGUUGCGGUUGCGUCGCUUUCUUACCUGCUUAGAUUCUUCAAUGAUAUAGUUAGGAUCAGAAAAAUAACGGCGUACCUUCUAUGAAGGGAAGUGCAUAUGGACUUCUCCGGUUCCAAUGUAGAUAAUUGCUUUAACGGUGCUGAGGAACGGUCUUCCAAGGAUGAUGGGUGGAUCAUAUUCGUCUUCUCCCAUGUCAAUAACCUGAAAGUCUGUGUAGACAAAGUGAUCGUCUAUUUUGACUGGGACAUCAGUUACUGUUCCUUUAACUUCUCGAAACGUCUGAUCUGCCAUCUGGAGCUGAAUGUAUGUUGGUUUUAGUGGCAUGGUUCCGAACAAGAGCCGAUAGGUGACUGCGGCCAUUAUGUUGACGCCCGAUCCGGUGUCACAAGUUGCCUUGUAGAAGUUGUAUCCAUUUAUGGAGCAGUAGAUGCUUGGCAUUCCUGGGUCGUCCUUCUUGGUCAAAAACGGUGACUUAAGUUGAUGAUCUUGACCUCCAUGAACUACAGUGACCAUCUUAGCUGACUCGGUCCACACUUGCUUAUUUCUGUUCCUCCUGUUGGUCCUCUUCCUUGACUCACGUCUGGAUUGAUCUGGAAUUUUUGUAGUCUUGUUCUUGAAGAAAAAUGUCUCCUUCCUCCCUUUGAUGUAGAAACUGAUCUUGGCAGCACUAGCGUAGAUGAUAGCUCCCGUGGUGUUCAAGAGUGGCCUCCCUAAGAUGAUAGGUGCUCUCUCAUCAUUUCCGGUCUCUACCACUACGAAGUCUGCUAGGGCAUAUAAGGUACCAACUCGGACACAAAGGUUCUUCAAUAUUCCUUUUGGAAAAGUUAUCGUCUGAUCUACAAACUGCAAACACAUGUUUGUCUCUAAUAAAGGAUAUGUAAAGAAUUUUUCAUAGAGUACCCUGGGUAUAAUGUUGACACUAGAGCCAAAGUCGCAGAGUGCUUCUGGAACGUCCACCAUGCCGAUGGAGAUCGGGAUGACGGGGCGUCCUGGAUCGCCUCUCUUGACCGGCAGAAGGUCAGUAGAGAACUCAGUGACGGGGUUACUCCAAUUACCUACAUCAAACAUGUCUACAAGAUUUGCAGAUUCUAAUCCUUCCAGUUGUGAUCGUAUACCGGGGUUAGUAACAGGAACAACAGCAGCUAUUUGAUUUAAGUGAGAUUCAAUCAUUUUAUUAAAGCUAAUUUGAUUCUUGAUGGCAGUAGAGAAAUUAUCCAUUCUAUUAUUUAUAUUUUCGAGCAUUUUAUCAUUAGAUGCCAAUUUCUUAGAUAGGUUAUCCAUUAGCUUUCCUUGAUUAGACACUAACUCUCUCAGAGGUGGAAAAUUAUUAUUAUUGUUGUAAGAAUUGUUACCUUGAUAAUUACCUGAGUAGUUAGGCCUCUGUUGAUUCCAACCUUGAUUUUGUUGAGGACGGUUGUAGUUGUUGUUGUUGAUGUAGUUCACAUCCUCAAGCAUCUCAGGGCAGUGAUUGCCUGAGUGUCCAGUGUCUCCACACUCCUCACAAGUCAUGUGAGAGUCGUAGAUGUGCAUAACUUCUUUCUUGUCUCCAGCUCUAUCGUCGAGCUUUUUCAUGAGCAGGUCUAGCUUUGCAGACAGCAUGUCUACCUCCUUGAGCUGAUGCAUACCUCCACCUCUCUUGAGUGUCUGGGUCCUCUCUUCAUUCCAGCUUUGGUUGGACGCCAUCUUCUCCACAAGAGCUGUGGCUUGUGGUAUAGUAAGUGAUAAGAAUGCUCCUCCAGCUGCAGCAUCCAUGGUCUCUCGAGCACUGUUGCCGAGCCCAUGAUAGAACGUCUGCAUCAAUAGCCAACUCUCCAUUCCACGAUGGGGACAUUCUAGGAUGUAGUCUUGGAAGCGCUCCCAUACUUCUGGAACGGAUUCAUCAUGUUGCUGCUGAAAACUUGUAAUCUUCCCACGAAGAGCAUUGGUCUUGCCCAUGGGAAAGAACUUAGCCAGGAAGUUUGUUGAGCAUAGUGCCCACGUAGUAUUCUUCUCCUUUGUAGCGUAGAACCACUGCUUCGCUCUCCCUAACAGUGAGAAUGGGAAGAGGCGAAGUAGUAUAGCAUCUUUGGAAACUCCUGAUAUGGUGAAUGUGGUGCAAAUCUCCAGGAAGUGUUGUAAAUGAGCACUAGCAUCUUCGUGUGCCUUCCCACAGAACUGGUUGGAUUGCACCAUGUUGAUAAGUCCAGGCUUGAGCUCAAAGUUGCUGUCGAUCUCUACAGCAGGUCCAGUGCGGAUGUUGUCCGUAGUGGGAGCUGAGAACUCGCGGAUUGAUUUGUUCGCCAUGGCUUCGAACUCUGAAGACAAGUUCCGGUGAUCUUCUUGAUUGGAUGAAGCUUCUUGCUGAAGUGUUGAUGAUCUCUUCUUGAGCUUGGCUCUCGUCUUCUUGAAUAAUGCUUCGGGAUUGUCAACAAAAUUUCCUGGAAGAUGUCUUCUAUUCAUACAUUCCCCUGCAUAAGAUAAAAUAGAAAAAUAUCGGGGUAAAACUGUAUGAGAGAAUAGAUAAGCUCAAUCAUAUUAGUGAUGCGAAUGAUAACUCAAAAUCGUUUAUUCCAUUCCUGAUUAGUAAUCAACCUUCCCCGACAACGGCGCCAAAAAUGCUUGUUUGGUAUUCUUAACAUCAUUACCAAAAGUAGACUAAGUUCUAAAUCUAGUAACGGUGCCAAAAAUGCCAAACCUAUCCCUCACACCACUUAAGCCAAGUUGUCAUCCCCAGCAUGAUAUAAGAGACGCGGUAUUGAAAUAUGCAAUUGCUCUUCUAAAUAAAUAAUGAAUGGGAUCUGCAAGCGCACAGAUUAAUACCGAUGUAGCAUUUUAACUGGGAAGUAUUCCAGGUAUCGUUAUUUAUAUUUUUACCAUUGGAAAGGGAUUAGCAAUCAUCACUAUUGAUUACAGAAUAGAAUAUGAGAUUGAGCAUCUAUCAUUGCAUGUAUAAUUGAGAACAUUAUAUCUAACUCUUCAUACAGGGAUAAGUGUCACAUAAAAGAUAUAUGAAAUAAUAAUAGUGACAAGGAUAACUAAUCUGAUCUAGCCACAUAAUAAAUAUGAUAAGCACCUCAAUUAGAUACUCUAGAAAGUCAUUAGCAUGGUAUUAGAAUGAACUACAGGAAUAUUCCCUAAGUUAUUCUCAUAGUUAGUGCAAGCAUACUAAGCAAUCAUUGUGAGACAAGACUACGCCCAUGCAUAGUGAUAUUAGCAAGGAAUAUGAGAAACAUAGCAAUCACUCCCCUGUAAUAAUGUUGCUCUGCCAGCCCAAUACACGAGAGGGGGACUAUAUAAGAAUCAAUGAAGCUGUCACUAUCAUGAACUACCCCACGAUCUGGCAUAUUGGGUACAAUCGUAGAUAAAUACGGUAUAAGCACCACGCCUACACAAUAUCUAUCAUUUACCCAUGGAUUCGAUGGAUAAACGCUAUACGAUCCUAAGCAUGUAUAUAGAUCCAAUCUAACUAAGCCAAGUACAUAACUAUGAUAAACUAAGAACAAUAUACUCUUGAAUAUAAGCAAGUAGAGCAAAGUCAUAAGCAAUAUAUUGAAGUAGAACAAAGUCAUAUUCAUAAUAUUGAAGAACAAAGAUAAUUAGAAAGCAAUUAGAAGCACAAUUAGAGAAUUACCAAGAAUCCUCCUGAUAGAUCCGGAAACCAAUCGAAGAUUGACUCCUUAUAGUUCUAAUCCUAUGUAGCUAUGCUAAUCUAGAUAUCUAAUUGAUGUGGUGGCUCUAAUCUUGAUCAGAGGCUUCUUCUCCCUUGAAGAACAAUGAAUUAGGGUUGAGAGGCUCUCUCCUCCAGGGGCCAGGGGGUCUGGUUUUAUAGUCCCUUCAAGUGAAUAUGGGCCGUUGGGUCAAACCGACAUAGAUUGUAUGGUUUAGAUUCAUCCUUUAGGUCGGUGGAGAUCUCCCACAAAGCAGAGUCCUAAUUGGACUCAGGUGGUGGGCGGGCGCCCUGAUCACCUGGGUGGGCGCCCAGGGUCAGGCCCCGUUUCGCCUCCGCUUCGGUCUCGUGGCUUGUGGAGUCUUCUAGAUGUAAGAUAAUUGCGCGGCACGUUAAUAUCUUUAUGUAAUCCCGACGUGUGGGUCUUUCUUCCAUAUUUCCUGAUAACCCCCUGCAGAAAUAGACAAACACCAAAACUCGUGGAAUUCUGUCAGAUAAAACCCUAAGUCUAGAUGUUGAUUUCAUUUGGAUCCUUUUCUUUAUUUAUUUGACAAUUAAAUUUGAUACUUAAGAACCGUCAACACCCUUCAAUGGCAAUAUGUACAUCCCUCACUAAUUGAUUUGCAGAGAUUUGAUUACCAGCAGCACUAAUGCAAAAUUUGCCAUUGGCAAGAUCAACUACAUGUUGUCCAUGCUUAGAUGCGAAUGCUUGACUCAUAAAUGAAUGCAAAGCUCCGGAAUCAAACAAGACAACUGCAGGGUGUUGAUUGACAAGAAACAUACCAGCCGUAACCAGUUCACCUUCGGGGAUUUCUUCAAUGGUGGUAUAGUGCACUCGGCCGGUACGAGUAUUAACCCCAGCUGUAGAAGUCCUCUUAGGAUAAGGGCAAUCCCUUGCCCAAUGACCAACCUGUUUGCAGUUGAAGCAGGGAUGGUUAUCAGGGGGAGUUUUGGGGCUCCCUUGACCGGUAGCACCUCAGGGAAGAGCAACCGUGAAGGUCUUGCAAACUCCUGUCUUCACAUUUGACUUCUUCUAUGGUAGCCUGUACCUUGUCGCAGCAUUGGGUGGGCGAUAGGCUGGCUUACUUGUCACCGGAGCCUUGGACUGCGAAGCACAUACCUCAUAGGCCCUCUUGCGGUUCUUGGAUGCAGCAUAAAUAGCAUUGGAGUUCUCCUAGGUCAGAGCAUCACUCCCAAACUCAUUGAAGGUGGUACUCUUGUUACCAACCAUAUUCUUGGACAGCUUAGGCCCAAGUCCUCUCUUGAAACUAGCAAGCUUCUUAGCGUCGGUAUCAACAAACUCAGUAGCAUAGCGAGACAGAUUAUUGAAAGCAUGAAGAUACUCAGUCAAACUUUUGGUGCCCUGAGUUAAAUUCAUGAACUUAGUAUGCUUCAUGGUCAUUAAGCCAUGCGGAAUAUAAGUGUCCCUGAAAGCAGUUUUGAACUGAUCCUAGGUUACAAAAGCAUCGACAGGCAAGCUGGUCCUAUAAUGGCUCCACCAGACACCUGCUUUGCCCUCCAAUUGAUAUGCUGCAUAUUCCGUCUUCAAUUCCUCAGUCACCCUCAAUAAGCGAAACUUCUUCUUGAGAGUGUUAAGCCAUUCACUACCUUCCAGAGGUUCAGAGGCCUCCUUGAAAACCAGUGGCUUGGUGUCCUGAAAGUCCUUAAAGUUGCUAUAUCGAUUCGCUUCUCCGCCUUGGCGGGCUUGGCGACCACCUCGGUUCUGCUAUGCCAUGGUUUGCAUAGCUUCAUUUAGCUUCUGCUGGCCCUCAACAAGAGUUGCCAGGAGCUCAGCAGACGUAGGUGGGGGAGGAGGUGGUGGUGGCGGCACCUCAUUGUGGCGAGCCAUCUGCACAAGGCACACCAAGUGAUCGUUUAGGAUGAUAGAAUAAUUGCCAAUGAAUUUCAAUUGAUGCCAUACGGAAUUUACUACAUUAAAUCCGCAUAAUACCGGGCACAAUAAUCCAUUACAACAAGUGAGCAUCAUCCAUAAUAUUGGUUACACUUGCGAGCAUUCACAACCACAUGGUUUCACAGAAAUUAAGGACAUUGCUGGAAAUUAUUUAAGCUUAACAUAAACAUGGAGCAUCACAUACAAGUGCAUACGGUUACACCAGGUCAUUGUCACAAAUUAAGUCUUACAAGAAGGGCAUCCUGGCCAAAUACAUAGUGUCUCAACUGAAAAUUCAGAUUACAUGUCCAUUACAUAAAAAGGCAAGAGCUGGUACUUAAAUGUGGAAACCAUUGCUAAACUACAGAUCUCCCUCGGAUUCAUCAUUAGAGACAAUGCCAUCCUCCUGGUCUUCCUCACUGGGGUCCUCUUCAUGAUUAAUGGGGAUAGGGUGGGGAAUAGGAUUUAUGACAUUGUUUAGGCGAUGGACGUCUAACUGCAGCUCAGCAAUCCUAUGGAUCAGCUCUUGCUCUCUAACCUCAGCUUGGAACAAGGCUCUCACCCUAGCUGCUUCUCUAUUUUCAGCCAAGCGCAUAGCAUCAUCUCGCUCUCUAGUCAUUUGCAUCAUGCAGGCUUGUGAUUCAUUGCGCUCCCUAACUGCAUUUUCAACUUGGUUGCGACGGGCUUGCAAAGCAGUAUGAUAGUUUAGGAGUGUGAAAGGUGGUUUGCGCUCCCUUCAUUUUUCUCUUCCAAUAGUCAAAAGAACUUGUGCCAUCAAAGAACGGUGGUUUGCCCCCAACAUGGUUGAACACUAUUUGAGCCAUAAUUUGAGCACCGAGGUUGUUAAGCCUUCACAAAACGGUGACCACGGCUCCGAUACCACUUGAAAGGUCCUAAUAUGGCUAGAGGGGGUGAAUUGCCUAUUUAAAAAUUCUAAAAACUCACUAGAGUAAGAGGUUAGUAAAUAACAAAGCGAAGCUUUUUGCUGUAGCUCUAAUGGGAUGAUUGCAAGCCACCUAUCCAACAAUUCUAGUUGAUAAGAACACUGGGCACACAAGAGCUAUGACACUACAAGCUACACUAGAGAACUAUGCUACACAAGGCAAAGUAAGCAACUAAACUAAUUACACUACUUUGCGGUAAGUAAAUGAAGAGGAGGAGAUAUUUAUACCGCCGUGUGGGGGAUGAACCAAUCACCAAUAUAUGAACAAUCAAUCACCAGGAGAAUGUCAAUCAUACACAAUUGAGACACCAAUUUUUCUCCCGAGGUUCACGUGCUUGCCGACACGCUACGUCCCCGUUGUGUCGACCAACACUUGGUGGUUCGGCGGCUAAGAGGUGUAGCACGAAUUUUGUCCUCACUAGGACACCGCAAGAACUGACCCACAAGUGAGGUAACUCAAUGACACGAGCAAUCCACUAGAGUGGCUUUUGGCACUCCGCCGGGGAAUAAGCCCAAGAACCCCUCACAAAUAUCACCUUGAUUGGGGGUGGACACAAUCACCAAAUCCCCUCACCAAUCAACAAAUCCACAACUGUCUAGGUGACGACAAUCACCAAGAGUAAUAAGAAAUCCACAAUUGCAAUCACCACCUAGUGCCACAAGAAUGAAAUCACAAAAGCACAACAGUAGGGUUUCCCCAAAUCCUCUCACCAAUGAGCACCAAGCUAUGGAGAAGGAGAGGAGAUGAAGGAGAUGCACUUGAAGCUCUCAGAUCUGUCACUUGAGCUCAAUCUCUCACUUGAAUGGAGCACAAAGCUUAGGGAGUGAGAGAGGAGGAAGGGAGAGCUUUCUCUACUCUUUAGAAGAGCCACUGGAAGUCAGAAAAUGUGUUCUAUUCGAGUUUCCCCGUCAAAAACGAAGGGAACGAGUACUUAUAGUGUGGCACCGGAAGUUCUGGUGCCUGGGACCGGAACUUCCGGUCUGACCAGAUCUGACCGUUGGAGCCUCGGUCCAAGCAGAUCUGACCGUUGUGAGAGACUCAGACCCAUCGAAAGUUCCACCGGAAGUGAAUUCUGACGCACGAGGGCAUGUGCAAAGGCUCCAAUGCGUACUCCCGUUCAUGGACUUCCGGUUGUGGACCGGAACUUCUGGUCAUGGACCGGAACUUCUGGUCAUGGACUGGAACUUCCAGUCAGACACCGGAAGUGUUUUCUCAAACGCGAGCGCACCUCUCACAGCCCAACCGGAAUUUCCUAUCAGGCUGACCGGAACUUCCGGUCAGGCACCGGAAGUACCACUGGAACUUCCGGUCCUACAUUCUCAGCACCACCUCAAAACUUUUUAGGAUGCUAACUUCUAGCUCCGAACUCCGAAUUCGAUGAUCUUGGACAUUUCGGAAAGCUUACUCAGAGGGAUAUACGAUCAUAUGGAUACUCAAUCCAAAUCAUAAUGGAUCAAAGCAGUAUUUCAAUCUAAAAGCCAUCCUAAUGUCCGGAGAACACCGAAAAGCCUCUCUCUCUUCUCCAAGUUGAUCAAAAUCAACUCCAACACCUUCUCCUUUGCAAAUGUGCCAACACCACCAAGUGUACACCACCAUGUGCAUGUGUGUUAGCAUUUCACAAUCAUUUUUAUAGGGUUUCUCAUACAACUCACCACAUCACUAAGUGCUAGGUAAAUGCAAAUGAGACUCACACUUAGUGGCACUAGAUAACCAUUGCAAUUAAAGAUUUCCCCUCUUUAUAAUACGGUUAUCUAUCCUAAAUCCACUCACAACAGCUAGGUGUCUUGAGUGGUAAAACAAAAUGGUCCUAAUAAAAAUACCUUUGCCUUGAGCCCAUUUUGUUUUUCUCUUUCUUCUUUUCCAAUUUGGAGCACUGGAAUAUCAUCUUUUGGUCACCUCCAUCACCAUGACCAUCAUCUAGCUCCAUCAUUUGGUGUGUACCAACCUAUCCUUAUAUUUCACUCAUGACAAAGGUUAGUACACAUAGGUUUCAUCAAUUAUCCAAAACCAAACUGGGACUUUUAGAGUACCAAACAUGUCCAGAAAUGUUUCACUUGCAUGUGGGGCUGCCAUCUGUAGGGAAAGACCACAAUUGAGUAAGAAAAAUUAAUUUACAAGAGGAGAUAAUUAGGUACAAGUUUCGGAAUUAUAAGAAUUUAAGUAGUGCAUAAAGAGAUGCAUGAAUGAUUCAUGAUGCAAGCACGUCUCAUACAUCCUUACCAUUCCUAGGAAGAAAAUUCUAGCGGUAUAGUCGGUGGCAUACGUACGUGCUCUCUUUAUACGUAACUACACGGUCUACACGUUUCGCUGUUAGUGUACCUGCAGAAAAUUCAUUUCAGCCCAACCCCACAUGAGUAUAUGUGCAAAAAUGAAAGUAUAAUCUUCUAAAUUCAAGCUAAGUACUGAUAUAUAUCCCUGAACAUAUAUCGCAGCACACUACCCAUGUGAAGUACACCCAUAUAUACAUCAAAUAUGUAUACACGGUUGCACCAACUACCCACAAUUAAGUACCAUCAUAUAUACAUGUGUGCAACAUGUAAAUAUUCCAGUAACCACAGCUAACACUCCCCUAGACCGACGGUUGGACGGUCAUGCUCUCACAGCUCACACUUACCAUAGCGUAGAGGCAUGUGAUCCAUACAUUACCACUCAAGCAAGUGGCAUCCAUACAAUUUCACGCCGUAUGGACAACGAAUGGAAAACAUUGCUUACCGUGGCGUAGAGGUAUAUGAUCCAUUCAUUACCACUUAAGUAAGUGGCAUCCAUGUUAUUACACGCCACAUGGACGAUGAAAAGAAAACCCCCUGUUAGUAACACUUAGCCACCUAGGAGUCCUUAAGCGGGCAUAAAGGGUAUGACCACUGGCAUGGUAUAUGUUGUUCAAACAUUUUAAAAACAGCCCUAUGUAUAGUCUAAUUUGCCAAUUAAUUUGGGAAAAACAAAUUCAUUUGUUUUUAAAUACAUCUAUGAUGGUUAAAUGCUUAAUCUUGCUCCGAUGCUAGCUGUAACAGAACCAUCUAAUUUAUAAGAAUUCAAGUGAAUUAGCGACCACAAGAGUAGUCAAGCCAAUGGACUUGAACCCAUAUAAACCCGGUAGUCCGACAAAACCUCAAAAGAUCUCGAUUCAACCAACAUACAACCAAUACCGUACAUGAUCAAGCAUCUCCAUCACAAAUUGUAAAUAUCCACCACAGAACAUAGUUUUACACACAUCAGAGUUCAAAUAAAGUUUAUUACAACAAGGUUUGGUAGCGGAAGCAAAGUAGUUUUGAAACAACACACGCUCAGUUUAAUUACAUGCUAGUUCCAUGACCAUCCCAACAAAAGCACAACUGAAGAUACAAGAGGUGAUCUUGCCCGAGAUCUACUCAUCAUCUGCAGCCGGAUGGUGACAGUUAGCACAGUAGCCAUGAUACACGACAUCAUCUGCAACAAGGGUAAAUAAAACCCUGAGUACGAGAAUGUACUCAGCUAGACUUACCCGACAUAAACCAGAAAUAAAGUGACAGCAAGGAGUAUGCAAGGCUAACAUUUGUUGGCUGGUUUGACUCACAUUUUGCAUAAAAAGCUUUAGUUUUGAGUAACACAUUUAUAACAUUUUCAGCAGCAAGUUCAUUACUUUAAAGGCUAUCCACUAGGUUAGCACCUGUUCUAAGCAUACACUUGAGUAUUAAGCAUCACAAUAAUAACCAUAUCUGGAUUAUCACAUUGCCAUCAUCAUUAUCAUCAUAACCAUUAAGUUCACUUAGUGAAUUAUACGCUGCCGUUGCUCGAGUCAAGUUCUCACUAUCCGGGAGAGACGACAUUCGAAUCGAUUCCUAUCCAGCUGGAGGGGUAUUCCUAGCACUCACCCUAGCAUACCUCGUGAGGUGGUGAGGUCGUUGUCCCGAUCUUCAUGACGUAGGACAACUAGCUGAAGAUCAACUGAUAACUUGCUGCAAGCAGCGAGGAUAACUAGUGCAACCUGACGACACGCACAAGGAGCCAACCACCGUCUCUAUACGGCAGCCUGAACCAAGGAUUCGCCCAACCACACUCUCAAAGAACCAACCUACGCAACCUGAACUCAAGGAUCAGGAGCACGGAUUGGGUGCCGAUGAUGUGGCUGCUUCUGUAAUCUCCGCGAAGGAAAACACAAGAGCAAAGGGGUAGAGAUCUCUCUCUGAAUUUGUUAGCACACAGCUGAACAAAGUGGUUUGUAUUCUCAAUAUCAUAAGUCUCUGAUUACAAUGAGUCUUAGGGGGUAUUUAUACUAGCAACAGCCCUGCUAGAUAGGUAUGAAAACAAAAUAGAGUUUCUGAGGGAAGGCAAUGUGAAAGGUCCCCUCGAAAUGGAUUCCCGAAGUGGCUUCGCGUGACUGUUGGCCUCCAGAGCAGUUUCCAAUAAACUGACCAUAACUUUUUAUUGGAAGUCCAAAUGACGUGCGGUUUGUUGCAAUGGAAAUUUAACUUGAUAAGAUUUCACUCCAUGUGCAGCAUGUACCACGAAACCUGGUAGAUUGGUACAGUUUUGCACGGCAACUUGAACUUCAUGCAGACUGAUGACUCGAUGACCAGUGUCGACUAAAACAGGUCGGCAGAUUUACUGGCAUCACCAAACAGGUUCUCACCGGUGGCAUUAGAAAGUAGACUCGAAGAGCUUUCCAACAAGUGCUCAUGGGCUUUCAUAGCAUCUCGGAAGUGAAAGUUAUGAUCUUUUCUUUCAACUGUCCGUUCUGCACCGCACUAGUCCGAUCUGCCCUUCUUUCAACUGGUCCGUUCUGCACCGUGUUGUUCCAAUCCUUGUGGUCCAGGUCACCUCCCUCCUCAUGUGUAUACAUAAGCACAACCAAAGUAGAACACUUAGGUAGUAUAAUAUUCUCAUUAACAUUAAUAGAACUCUCACAAAGUAGCGCGUUCACCUCUUGUUGUAGCUUCUUGGCUCGGCUACGUGUAAUUGCUCCAUCAAUGGCUUGGGCUCGUGCCGGCGUAGUCGGUGUAGAGGUUGGCGUGGAAUUAGAGGGAGCAUGCUUGGUUGGGAUGUCCUCAUCAUCCUCCCUCUCUUGAAAAGGAGUCGACCUCGACUCUGAUUCUUCUAAUCCGAAGAAUGGUGUCAAGUCAGUAACAUUGAAGGUUGUGCUAACACCAUAAUCUUCAGGAAGCUCAAUCUUGUAGGCAUUAUCAUUGAUCCUGGACAGCACUCUGAAUGGACCAUCUCCCCAUGGCAUCAACUUGGAUUUACGCUUCUCAGGAAAGCGGUCUUUGCGAAGAUGUACCCACACUAAAUCUCCGGGCUCAAAUAUCACCUUCUUGCGAUGCUUGUUUGCCCAAUCAGCAUAGUACUUGGACCUUCUUUCGAUUGCUUCUUUGGUCUUCUCAUGAAUCUUCUUGACAUAUGAUGCACGCUUGGAUGCUUCCAUGUUAAUCCUUUCCAAAGCAUACAAUUCUUUGUCAUACACCAAGUAGUUCAGUUGCGCACCUCCUAACUUCUCACUGAAGUAUGCAACCAGCUGUCCAUUUUGCAUUAGGACACCACCGAUUCUGAUCCCACUUGCAUCACAUUCAACCUCAAAGGUUUUAGUGAAAUCCGGUAACACCAGCAAGAGGGCUUCGGAUAGCCUCUUCUUCAAUUCUUAGAAUGCUCUCUCUUGUGGUUCACCCCAUUGGAAGGCAACACCUUUCUUUGUUAACUCAUUCAACGGAGUAGCUAUGGUGCUGAAAUCUCUCACAAAUCUCCUAUAAAAACCAGCAAGUCCAUGAAAACUUCUCACCUGACUCACAUUUUCAGGAGUUGGCCAAUCCUUGAUUGCUUUCACCUUUGAUUCAUCAACCUGAAUUCCUGAACUUGAAACAACAAAACCAAGAAACACAACCUGAUCUGUACAAAAUGUGCACUUCUCAAGGUUAGCAAAUAAUUUUUCUUUUCUUAGCACAUCCAAAACUUGCUUAAUAUGAUCAACAUGUGCCUCCAAUGUCUUGCUGUAAAUUAUAAUAUCAUCAAAGUAAACAACAACAAACUUUCCAAUGAAUGCUCGCAAGACAUAGUUCAUCAAUUAAUGAACGUACUAGGGGCAUUGGUCAAACCAAAAGGCAUAACUAACCAUUCAUACAGCCCAAACUUUGUUCUCCAAUCUUCAUUCUAAUUUGAUGGUAACCACUUCUCAAAUCAAUUUUAGAAAACAUCAUAGAACCACUCAAUUUAUCAAGCAUAUCAUCUAGCCUAGGAAUAGGAUGACGAUAACGAACGGUGAUGUUGUUUAUGGCUCUACAAUCUACACACAUCCUCCAAGAACCAUCUUUCUUUGGCACCAAAAUCAUAGGAACAGCACAAGGACUUAAACUUUCACGCACAUAUCCUUUAUCUAAAAGUUCUUGUACUUGCCUUUGAAUCUCCUUGGUUUCUUCCGGAUUGGUGCGGUACGCCGGACGGUUUGGAAGUGCAGCUCCAGGGAUGAGAUCAAUUUGAUGUUCAAUACCGCGCAAAGGAGGAAGUCCAGCAGGUGUUUCCUUUAGAAAAACAUCGUCACAGUCCUGCAAAACACAUGCAACAACACUAGGGACAGAUGUUAAGUCAUUAGCUGAAAGCAAUGAGUCCUUGCACACAAGUACAAAUAGUACUUGACCUGGGUUUUUCCUCACAUCUCUCGUUUUAGAUUUGGUGGCUAUCAUCACGACGUUCUCUCCCUCUCUUUUUCUGUCAUCUCUCAUGUUUGGCUUGUGGCUCUCACUCAUUGAUUUGUGGAGGGCACUCAAAUUAUUUUUCUCUCCUUCUUUUGCACUCUCAUUCCUCACUUCGGAGCUCUUUUGCAAGUGCUCAGCUAGGAUUUGCUGCGGUGUCAUGGGUUUAAGAAUCAACUCCUUGUUCUUCCACUUGAUGGUGUAUUGAUUGGUUCUACCACAAUGUAGAGACGAUCGAUCAUAUUGCCAUGGUCUUCCCAACAGCAUGUGGCACACUAUCAUAGGCGCGGCAUCAAACUCUACAGUGUCAAUAUAUUCACCAAUCUUGAAUGGAACUUUCACUCUUUGUGCAAUCUUAAUAGAACCUGAAUUAUUAAGCCAUUGCACAUGAUAUGGAUGGGGAUGUUUCAGCAGCUUCAACCCAAGCUUUUCAACCAUUUCUUUGCUUGCAAGAUUGUGGCAACUGCCACCAUCAAUGAUCACUUUGACAGCCUUAUCUUGCACUUUAGCUCUAGUCUGAAAAAGAUUGUGCCGCUGUCCAUUUUCAGCAUCGCUCAUUUGUACACUCAAAAUUUGAGUUAGAACAAGAGCAGCACCAGAUUCAAAUUCACAGAUGUCCUUCUCAAGAUUACUCUCACUUCCACUAUCUUCUUGUUCUUCCUCACUAGCAGAUUCAUACUCCCCUUGAUCAUUCACAAUGAUGGUUUUAGCGUUUGGACACUCUCUUGCAACAUGACCACGACCACCACACUUGAAGCACUGAAUUCCACUACUCUUGCUGGAAGAACCCACUGAGUUUGCUGAUUUGAAUUUCUCAUUUUGAGCAGCCAACUCUUUGCUACUAGAAAAACCAAGGUUGCUAGAUCGUGCACCACCGUUUGAGCUGGAAAAUGUACCUUUACUUCCACUUCCUUUGGGUGCAAAUUUACUUCCACUUGCUGCACUCUUUGUGCUGAAAGAUACUCCUCUAGUGGGCUUCAUAUCUUGCUGCAAUUGCCGCUCAGCUUUGCUAGCUUGAUGCACCAAUUCAACAAGAUUACGAUAUUACUGAAAUUCAACAAUGCGCUAAAUAUUCCGAUGCAGCCCUGACAUAAAUCUUGCAAUUGUUUGCUCUUCAUCUUCAAUUACAUUGGCUCUAAUCAUCGUCUUCUCCAUCUCUUUAUAAUACUCAUCAACACGGAGGCUUCCUUGCUUCAGAUUUUGUAGCUUGUCAAAUAAAUCACGGCGAUAAUGUUUGGGGACAAAUCUUGCUCUCAGUUCUCUCUUCAUUUCAGCCCAUGAACGAACAUCACCUUGACCAGCUUCUUCUCUUUCAUUCAACAUUUGCUCCCACCAGAUUAGAGCAUACCCAUUGAACUCAAGAGCAGCCAUGGCAACCUUCUUUCUCUCAGAAUAAUUAUGCACACGAAAAAUUUUAUCCACCUUCAACUCCCAUGUAAGAUAUGCUUCAGGAUCAAAUCCUCCUUCAAACUGGGGCAUGGUGAAUUUUAACUUGCCAAACCUCUCUUCAUUGUGCUGAUUACGCCUACGAUUUCUUCCGUGACGACGAGGCUGUUCAUCCUCUUCUUCAGUUUCACUUUCUUCCAAUCCAAUACCUCUCCCAUGUCCAUGACCCGCACCUCUACCACCAUGAUCACGUCGUGGAAAAGGAGGUCUUCUUGCAUUGGCAGCAGCUCGCUCUCUACGCCAUUCCCUUGCACGACAAGCAGCUUCUCCUUUGCUUUCUUCAACUUCAUCUUCAUGGUGACUGCCAUUUGCAUUGUCAUGAGGAUGAAUUUGCAACCGGUUCAUGAGUGCUUGAACAUUGUUUGUUAGCGUUUCCAUGCUUUGUUUCAUCUCAUUGAAUUGUACCAUGGUGACACAAUCAUCAAUCUCUGGAUGCUCAGACAUCUCUCUUACCAACCGAAGCUCCUGUGAGUUCCCCGCAGAUUACAACGGCCAAUGCGAGGUGGUAACCGAGAAUGAUGGUUGGGAGAAUCCAAGAUCAGUAUUUUCCUAUGACGGUGGGUUAUUUGUGGAGCUUGGUGGGGAUAUAUUUCACAAGGAAUGCAGUCUAAAUUCUUGAUAUUGUAAAGUUAAACCACAAUCGAAACUAGAAGUUCAAUGUCUAGUGCUGACCACAAGAUAUGAGUGAUGUAAAUAGAUCAAACACACGCGCAAAGAUAAUUCAGAUUCGAUGCAAACAAGGAGUAUGCCUAGGAUGCAAGUGUUGCAAUCAAACCCAAGCAAAAUUUUGCACCAAAGAUGGAUAAUGACUGAUUGUGUGACUUGAUAUAAAAUUCAGAACUUUAGCACAUAAACAGAGUGAACUUUCUACUCUUUCUUCACAAAUUUUCUUCCUCAACUCUCACUUUUUUCCUUUUUUUGACACUUUGUUUUUUUAUAACUAAGAACAAGAGCAGAUAUAACACUUACACACACUUUUUUUUGAAACAAGACACAACCGUCAGCGUUUUAACUUGAUAGGCUCAAAGUUUACGCGAAGGAUGAUACCGGUUUCAGAUUUUCUUUAGGGAUUUGUAGAUAUAAAAGAGGCACAAAGGACACACAAAGGAUAUGAUGAUCAGCAGCUAAACAAAACUCUAAUGGACUGGAACUUAACCAAACUCACAAGGAAAACAUAUUGAAACAAAGGGCUAAUGCAAUUUUUUUAUGGCUUUUUGGUGGAUAGGACGAACAAGAUAUAUAUAUGUAGCUAUGGGUAAAAAUCCUACCGUGGAAACUUGAGCUUUGAUACCAGAUGGUGAGGUCGUUGUCUCGAUCUUCAUGACGUAGGAUAACUAGCUGAAGAUCAGCCGAUAACUUACUGCAAGCAGCGAGGAUAACUAGUGCAACCGGACGACACGCACAAGGAGCCAACCACCGUCUCUAUACGGCAGCCUGAACCAAGGAUUCGCCCAACCACACUCUCAAAGAACCAACCUACGCAACCUGAACUCGAGGAUCAGGAGCACGGAUUGGGUGCCGAUGACGCGGCCGCUUCUGUAAUCUCCGCGAAGGAAAACACAAGAGUAAAGGUGUAGAGAUCUCUCUCUAAAUUUGUUAGCACACAGCUGAACAAAGUGGUUUGUAUUCUCAAUAUCAUAAGUCUCUGAUUACAAUGAGCCUUAGGGGGUAUUUAUACGGGCAACAGCCCUGCUAGAUAGGUAUGAAAACAAAAUAGAGUUUCUGAGGGAAGGCAAUGUGAAAGGUCCCCUCGAAAUGGAUUCCCGAAGUGGCUUCGCGUGACUGUUGGCCUCGAAAGCAGUUUCCAAUAAACUGACCAUAACUUUUUAUUGAGAAGUCCAAAUGACGUGCGGUUUAUUGCAACGGAAAGUUAACUUGAUAAGCUUUCACUCCAUGUGCAGCAUGUACCACGAAACCUGGUAGAUUGCUACAGUUUUGCACGACAACUUGAACUUCAUGCAGACUGAUGACUCGAUGACCAGUGUCGACUAAAACAGGUCGGCAGCUUUACUGGCAUUACCAAACAGAUUGGCACCAGUGGCAUUAGAAAGUAGACUCGAAGAGCUUUCCAAUAAGUGCUCAUGGGCCUUCAUAGAGUCUCGGAAGUGAAAGUUAUGAUCUUUUCUUUCAACUGGUCCGUUCUGCACCGCACUGGUCCGAUCUGCCCUUCUUUCAACUGGUCCGUUCUGCACCGUGUUGUUCCAAUCCUUGCGGUCCAGGUCACCUCCCUCCUCAUGUGUAUACCUAAGCACAACCAAAGUAGAACACUUAGGUAGUAUAAUAUUCUCAUUAAUAUUAAUAGAACUCUCACAAAGUAGCGCGUUCACCUCUUGUUGUAGCUUCUUGGCUCGGCUAUGUGUAAUUGCUCCAUCAAUGGCUUGGGCUGGUGCCGGCGUAGUCGGUGUAGAGGUUGGCGUGGAAUUAGAGCGAGCAUGCUUGGUUGGGAUGUUCUCAUCAUGAGGGCAGCUCGGAUCACCUUUAGCACAACUCCGGACCAAUUCGCGGGUCCGUCCAGCGCCGCAACCCAGGGACGGCCAAUCUGCUAGGGUCAGGACUCUAACCUGACACCUCGGUCUUACGCCAUUGACUCCCCGCACAUCCUUGCUACCAACCGGGGUGCGCACUCAUACAGAACGGGGUAUCUAGCCUGAGUUGCACUCGUAGGCUUUGUGGUCGGAACGACUUAUCUGGCCAACUAAGUCGUAGGCAUGCGUUGAACAUGACACGAGGACGUACAGCGUAUAGGUCCAUAAACGACACAGACGGGGAUAGAUUCACACCCAACACCUCAAUGCCUUGUUGCUUCACUACCGUCAUCCCACCCGGUCUCAAAUUCAUUAUUAGCACAUGGUUAUUUCCACGAUAGCAAAUAUAGCCAACCGUGAUCAAGUAUCCACCUAUCUCUCGCAGGUCACAGGAAAUCACCCUGCUUCUACCGAGCUAAGCAUGGCUAAACAUCAUUUUGAUCCUGGACCUACUUAGGUAAGGUAUAAGGUGGACAAGGUAAUCAUUAUGCAGCAAGGGUGUCAUAUCAACGCCUAACACUUAAUGCAACAAUACAUAACCAUAGUAAUUGACAGCUGGACAUGGUAACAAAAUAGUAGAAGUCUUAUAAUGCUCUAGAGCUUGCCUUCGAUAUAGGUGGAAGGAAAGUGGUCGGGGCACUCCGGUAGAUCCUCUUCCUCCUCAGCUCCUUCUCCUUGAGGUGGCUCCCUCUGCUGCUCCUCUGGCUCGGGUGGUGCGAACUCCAGGACCGUCAUGCCCUAGGGUACACCUAUAUAUGCAUGACAAGGCGAUAAACAUAGGAAAUGCACAUAUGAUGCAUGAUGUCGUGAUGAGGAGCCAAAGGAACAUAAAACAAGGUGCCAACAUGAGAAGAUUAUGAGGAUCAUGAAAUAACAAGUAAGUGCAUACUUCUUCUCUAGUAGAGAGGCUAACUAAACAAGAUAAUCAACCUUAGCUACUCAUACACAACAACUGGUGUCAAUGACAGACUGGGUAGUCACAAAUUUUAGCUAUAACUUAGCCAUCCUUUGGCCAAAUUAAGCAAGUAGACACUUUCUGGAAAGCUUAACAAAUUGUCUACAAUUCGCUUUCAGACAACCUAGAGAGAUUCCCAACCGAAAUAGACUAAAACCGAGAAAGUUUGCUGGCUGCCCUGGAAAAUCCAGAGAGCAAGCACUUCGCAGCAGCUUCUUGCAACAGUCAUACCACUUAAACUACCCAGCCAAAUGUCAUGAAAUUUGGAUACAAAGUAGAUAAGGAAGUUAGCUACAAGUUUGUUAUAGGUAAGUUUUCCAGAAAACUUCAUCUUCAAGCAAUUCUUAAGUGAUUUCUAUCAGCUACCCAGAAUGUGCUCUAGACAAGGCAUAAUUAGUCAAAUAGUAUUUUAGCACAUAUUAAGAAUGUAACAAUGGUUCAAACCAAGGGAACCAGUAGCUGGAGCAUGUCUAAGAAACACCAUAAAACAUCAUGGCACGGUUUAAACUCAUUUUUUAUCACCUUUUCUAUUUAUUUAAUUAUUAAGAUGAUUUAAUGAGUAUGUAUCACAAGUGCUCCAAAAAUUCUAAUAACAUUACAGCAAGUUAUCUAGGCUACCACAAGGUUACUGUAAAAUUUCCAUGGCUCUUUCGUGUGCAGAUUGUGAGAUACAAAAAUGACAAGCUAACAAUGGCAUUAAAGGCAUAAAUGUGAAACCCUAUCAAAAAGUGUCAAACAACAGAUUUCAGAUUUUUCUUAGCUUUGUUUACCCAUGACUACAUCACUCAGCAAGUUUUAUCAUAAGAGGAGUUAUACACUAUUUAUUAAAAAUACCACAAGAAACUCCUAUUUAAACAAGAAUUAUUUAUAACUUCAUCAACAGGCAUCCACAAAUCAUGAUAAAUUUAUCAGAGCCUACACAUAGCAUAAAGAACAAUCUCCUAAAUUUGCAUGGCCAUAGAACUUAUAGAUCUCAAGAUAUAAUUACCUUCUAUUUACCAAAGAUUAAAUCAUAACUAUUUAUUUCUGUCAAAACAUGGCAUGUCUCAUAUUUUUAAUAAAAACUAGACUAACUCAAGAACCUAACAAAAUUGGAAUCACCCCAUUUGGAUCUGUCUAGCCCAAGUUAUGAAUUUUUCAAAUCAGCAUUGAAUCAGCCCAAAAAAACAGAAAUAGGGGGGGAAAAGACAGAGGCUGACAAAGGGGUCCUACUCGUCAGCGACACACAGAGCAGAGGCGAGCUCGGCUGCCGGAGAUCUCAUCGACGGCGAGGUCUCCGGGGAAACCGAGGGCAUCUAUGUGUUUCUCACAUCGAGGCGAACCUGUUGACCUACUUGGCUCACGCUCUACUGGACUCUAGGGUGCUCGCUGUCGGGAAUGGCGGAGCGGCGGCGCUGCGUGGCGUUACGACGGCGAACUGAGGCAAUGGCGACUAUGUAGAGGUUGCCGACGAGCAAGAGGAAAACAAGGUGAAGCUGUAGGACGAAGAAUCACGGCCAGAGGUGAACCAGAGAGGUCUGGCCACGUUGCCGGUGAUCUCUGUGAAGUCCGGCGAGGUGGAGCUCGCGACGGAGGUGGCAAUGCGACCUCACCGUUGCUCGGCUAGGGAAAGGAGAUGGACUUCGAGGUAGAGGACGUCGCGGCGGAGCUCUGGGCGAAGCAGCUCGGCUCGGGACGCGGUGGUGUGGCCAGAAAAGCUCGCCGAAGUGUGGCGGAGCUAGCCGUGGCGAUGGCGGAGGGAAAUGUGGCGCUCUGGGCAAGUGGACGACGCGUCUGAGGCGUCUAGGGGGUGUGUGGCGACUUGUGGACGAUGUCCAAGCUGACAGGCGGGGUCGUCGAUGGCGUAUGGCCGACAGGUGGCCAGACACGCGGCGGCGGGUGAUGCUCUGUCCAACUGAAUCGGCGUUUGAAUCCUCCGAUCGCAGUGACUGAAACUCAAACUUCGUCGACAUUUUACUCGAGAUUCACUCAGUGGUUUUGGCUCGGAUUUGUUCCAUUGGAUAGAGCUACACGAGUUCUACAAGAUUGCUUAAAGGAUCAAAGUCUGGUUCGCCCUAGAUUUCAAACUACAAGGCUCCCAAGUACCCUAAGUGCAAACUGUGUCGAUUCUGACUUAAGCAAAUUUGGCUAAGUGUGAAACAACAUUGAUUUUUGCCUUGUGAGCUAAUUUUGAGUGUGUUCCAGGCAUUUUCAUAAAAAGUCACCAACACAACUUUUUUAGCUUAUAAAAUUUACUACCACUGAUUUUUGCUUUAUAUGUCAUUUACAUGCAAAGUGUCUGACAUUGGUUUCAUAAAAGAUCUUUAAAAAGAGGUUUAGGGGGUCAACUAGGUCAAUCUAGGGCUAACCAUGACUUAGGGGCAUUUUUAGAUGAAACCUCCAUCACAAACUUUGUUCAAAAUAAUAUUCGAAACAUGAUUAAAGUAUUUUGGAAGACAAUGUGCACUUAUAUGCAUUGGUCACACAUUACUUUCACAUAUAGCAAGUCACAUAAGCACUUCAAUCACCUAGUGUACACACCAAUGACAUGUGAUCAUGGUAUGAUGCUCAUGGAUGAGUAUGAUGAUGCUUAUGUUGAUGCAAUGCUCAUGGUUAACAUGCAAGCUAACACUAGGAGUGUUACUGUAGAAUCACAUGAGCCUAACAACCAGGCGACUUAGGGUAGUCCUUAGGGAAAUCACAAUUGUACUCCUGACCGUCCGAGCAACCUUUAAUGAUUAUAGCAAGGGUGAGUUCAUGAUGAACUCAGCAAGCACAGACAGAAAGUAAUGACAUGCAAGGCUUAGAACAAGGUAAAGCUGACUUGGUUUGACUGCAGUAGCAUUUUAGUUGAUCACUUUUAAUUAUGACUAUUAUUAGAACAACCUGCUACUAUUUGUGAGUAGCAUAAACCCAACCCUUAAUUAGUGUAAGUAGUAAUUAGCAUAUUUUAAAAGACUAUCCUAAUAGUUAUUGUAGUCCAAGGAUUAACCCCAAUUAUUAACACAGGAUAGCAAUCCUGCCAACACGGAAUAGCCAUUCUGCCAAAACACGAGGUAGCAACCUCAACAAGUUCCAUCUCCAAGUAUCCAGUGAAUCCAAUUUGCUCAUCAUGUGAGAGUCUGGGCCGCUCGUGACCAUGAGCACGGCUGAUAUAUCAAGUUUACACUCUGUAGAGGUGUGCACGUUCACUCCAAGUCGUGAUUCCCAUUUGCCCGAGGUCAUGACUCCCCAAAACACUACCAAGGUGAGCAGGCAGGGUCUCACUAUGAGACCUUUCACAGGGUCCAACUAAUAGGAUGCCACUCGCAAGUUUUUGCCGAGGCGCUCGGCAGUCGAUACCCAUAGGCAUGGCGUACCGAGCAACCGUCAACUUAAUACUCAUUACCCAAGUUACUUCCUCACACCUACCCAAAAAGUAACACCCUACUAGUGGAGGUCCUGCUAAUUAGUCAAGCCAGAGCCGUAUAGCUUGGAGCUGCACUGUAUGUCCUAGGGGGCCGCUCCAUGACUAAGUCCUUACGGAGAGUAGAGACGGGUACGCCCGGCAACCGGACCACCAACGUACCCGUUCCCUCUGUCACCACCAUCAUCACGAUGCUCGUAAGCAUCCAACAUCGCCAUCACCGCAGUGACCAAAGAUACAGCACAGUUUAAGCAUCAAGUUUAGUAGAGAGUAUUACUUGUUUAGGCAUGUGUACAAAAUGAGUAGAGUAGCUAAGCAUACCUAGUAUAACCUAGUCUAUCCAUAUACAUAACCCCAGGUGAACAAGGAUUAGUAAGUAAAACUAGUCAGGUCCUUAGGGUUUGCAUUCAUUAGACACAUGCAUGUAAAGUAAAUGACAUUAAUGAGUAGGUUCAAAAUGAUCAAACGGUGUCUGCACUUGCCUUGAUCGUAGUCGGUUUGCUCAAACUCAGCGGGAUCCUGCUCCUCUUCCUUUACGUGCGUCUCAUUGCCUAAACACGACAAUCAUCACACAUAGGAGCAAUACAUACAAGCAAACAAGCUUAAUCAGAAACAGUACACCAAAGCAUUCGAAAACAGAAAGCAACUAUACUACUGUAUUCUACUCAAUGAGACGAAACUAUAGCAACCAGAAUCACCCAAAUCGGAGCUAAGACGCAAAAGUUAUGGCUAAAACAAGUUGGAUGGCAAAUCUGUAGAUUAACUGAACUAUUUUUCAUAUUUUAAAUCUAAUUAAAACUGAAUUAAAAAUAGAUUUGGAUUAAAUCUGUAAAUUCUAAGUGUGCCAGGGGGCAAACUGCAAAGCCAGGGGCAUAUUUUAAAUAAAAGAAUAACAGACCUAGACCACGGGUUGAUUUCGAAUAAAGUGAGGGGCCUUUUUGUAAAAAGGCCAGGGGCGCGCGGGUGGCCAAGCUGGCCGGCCACAUGGCGCAGCGCGGCUGGCCGGUCUAUGGCGGCGGCGUGCACCGGGUCAUGGUGGACCGGUCGCGCGGGGGCAGAGGACCGCGGUCCAUGGUGGACCGCGCCUGCGGGGGGCUUGGCCGCGGCGGCGGGUGGAGCGCGGCGGCGCCAUGGCCGGCCGCGGAAAACUCACGGCGGCGGCGCUGCGGGGCACGGAAAAACGCGCCGAAGGCACGGGUGGGGUCGGCAUGACGGGGCGAGUCCAGAGCGCGGUUUACCUCCGCGAUACCGUCAGCGAGGAGACGGGUGGCGGCGCACGGAACUCGGCGAGUCGACGGCGGCGCUGCGGCUUCGAGUUAGGGUUUUGGCUAGGGUUUUGGGUGGCUCAGGAUGUGUAGGGGCACGCGCGGGCGAGAUGUGGUGCUUUUUAUAGGCGCUGGCGAUCUUCGGGAGGCGCGUGCUGUUGACGGUCCUUAAUGCUCACAUUUAACCGUCAACUAAUCAUGGAAAAGGACCUAUAUGUUACCAACAUCCAAAAUUAGGGUUUCAUCUAGAAUUCCACGAGUUUUGGUGUUUGUCUAUUUCUGCAGGGCGUUAUCAGGAAAUAUGGAGGAAAGGCCCACACAUUGGGUUUACAUAGAGAUAUUAACGUGUGCGCCAAUUUUCUAUCAUCUAGAAGACUCCAGAAGCCACGAGAACGAACGGGAGCCCGAGCGGGCCCAGGGGCAGGGCGCCCGCCCUCCCCCCUUGGGCGCCCGCCCUGCUGCCUGGGCCAAUCAGGCUCCAUCUCGCGGAUAAUGCUCCACCGACCUAGAGGAUUAAGGAAAACCGUGUGAUUAAGGUCGGUUUGAUCCGACGGUCCAUAUUCAUUUUGAGGGACUAUAUAAACAGCCCCCACCAGCCCUUGGAGGCAUAUCUCUUCUACAGAAUCAAAGCAAGGGUUUCAAUUACUCAUGCAAGUAGAGAGGAUCCCUCUAGUUCAUCUAGUUCUAGUUCAUCUAGUUCUAGUUCUAGUUCAUCUAGUUUUAGUUCUACUUAGUUGUAGUUGUAAUCUAGAAAAUAGGGAGAGAGAAGAGGAGAGCGGAGGAGGAGCCGGAUCUGUCGGAUCUUCCUCAACAUUGUACUUUUGUAGCAACUGGUUCGUUCUUCAUCGUUCUCCAAGUUCUUCAAUUCAUAAUACCUGAGUUCUUUAAUUAUUUUUAUUUACAUUCAAGUUAUUUAUUGGAUUCCCGCUUGCAUCAAGUGCUCUAGUCUUUGCAAUGCUAGAGUAGUAAUUAAUAGAUUAGACGUGGUGUUUAGUCUUGCAAUUACCUAGAAUUGCACCCAAUCCUGCGGAUUGUUGUGGUAGCCCUAGGGUAGUGACAUCCCUAAGGGUCGACGUAUUCCACCUCGUUCGGACCGGUGUUUGUAGCACCGUAGUCAGAGCUUCCUAGCCCCCUUCUCAUCUCUUUUUGUGGUUAGUGUUCUGAUGUCCCGAAAUAAAUAAUCCUUGAAGUAAUUCUUGAUUCUUAGAUCAACUAGAGAACUCUCAGGAAACUUCCUCUCGUCCCACCAAAAAUAAUUAUAUAGUUAUCCUUGGGCAAUCUUGAAUCUUAAUUAGUACACUCACAUUCCCUGUGGAAAAUCGAUACUCUCGAAUACUUUCGGGUGAAAGCUACAUCAGUAUCCAUGCGCUUGCGGAUUUUUCUGUUUGCGUUUAAAAUACCCAACAAGCUUUCUGGCACCAUUGCCGGGGAACGGUGUAUCCUUUUUCUUUUCCUUUUUACCACACUCACCUUACCAUUUUCACCAUACGACAUGGAUUUCACUCAUAUCUAUAAAUUCUUUGCUCCAAAGGGCGAGUUAUUAGAGCCACCACCAUCAUCACAUCUAAUUCUUACAGAUGGCUACGACCUCGGCCCUAAUCUAAUAGCCAUGAUUCAGGAGCAACCCUUCUCUGGCCAAGUAGAUGAAGAUCCAUACACCCACCUUAGAGAAUUCGAGCAGUUGUGCUCUUGCCGAUCUAUUUCCGGCAUGACACAAGAAACCCUUAAAUGGAAAUUAUUUCCGUUCUCCCUUUUGGGAAGAGCAAAAAAGUGGUAUGCUCAUUCUAUAGGAGGCGUUAAUGGAAAUUGGGAUGAACUUUGGGACAACUUUUGUCUCGCGUUCUUCCCACUUCUUUGAAUUGCUAACCUUAGAAUCGAAAUUCUUACAUUCAAACAAAGUGAGAAGGAAACUUUAGGAGCAGCUUGGGCUAGGUUCACAAGCAUUACCAAUUUUGGUCCAAACCUUUCCCUGCCUGACCAUGUACUGUACUACCACUUUUAUCGUGGUCUAAACAAGGAAGCUGCUCUUCACCUCGAUAUUGCUUCAGGAGGCUCAUUCGCACACAAACUUAUAGAUGAGGGGAUAGCUAUCCUAGAGAGAAUCCUUGAAAAUACCCCUUACAUAGGCAUUUAUGAUGAGUUUCCUGAAGAAGAAAAAGAAGUCGAGCCUGAUCCUAAACCAAAAGAUGAGGAACUUGCAACCAAGUUAGAAAUUCCUCCUGACCCAUCUAUUAAUUUGGUUGUAGAGAAACCUCCUGAUAAGGGAAUGCAAAACCAACUAAGGGACGAUGAACCACCACAUUUAGAGCAUCCCUUUGAAUUCGAGGAAGAUCUUUUUGAAGAUUAUGGAAACACCUUGAAUUUUCCUAUCCAAACAUGACCUCUAGCAGGGACCACUCAAUCCGUUCUAAGAGUAGAAUCUGUUGACAUAGAACACAUCAAAAGCCUUUCGGCUAUUCUGAGUUAUGAAUGGCUAACAGAAGCAGAGCUGUCUCCUGAGGUAGCUCGGAUCAUCACUCCUUCAACCAUUCUUCUGUGCAAAAUAAGAGGGUCCGCUAGGAAGGUCCACUACAAUCCAUAUGUUGGGAUAAAUGUUAUUUCCAUGGAGUUAGCUGACACUCUUUAUCCCAACGAGUCCAUAACCCCAUCUCAAAAACUUUUACAAAGUCCAUCUGGUUAAUUCUAGAAAGCCAUGGGGUAUUAAGGGCAGUUCCUGUUAGAAUCAAGUACUCUGGAAUAUGUCUAGAUUUUCACAUUUUUUACAUACCAGAGAUUCCUCUCUUGAUUGGCAGACCAAUCAUGAAACUUCUACAUGAACAACCACAACGAGGUCAUUUAGACUUUGAGGUUGGGAAUUCCACUAUUGUUGUUCCUCUUGCUAGAUCAAUUAACAUGAUAGUGGAACCCAAACUUGAACCAGAUCCUAUUAAGGAGAUCUUAAUGCUGACUCAAGAGGAGAUGGCCCAACCAUUCUUUAAUCAUGAACACUUUGUUCAAGAAGAAAAAGAGUUGGUAGAACCCGUUGAGCUAGACAAAAAUGAACAACCUUCACCUCCUUUGAUAGAGUUAAAACCUCUUCCUUCUGGCCUUAGAUAUGUCUUUUUGCACAACAACCCAAAAACUCCAGUAAUUAUCAGUGACAAGCUUUCCGAUUAUGAAACACAACAACUUGUCACUGUUCUUGAAAGGCAUAGAUCAGCAUUUGGCUACUCUCCCGAAGAUCUCACGGGCAUUAGUCCCAUUCUCUGCACUCAUCGUAUCCGUAUUGAUCCCAAUUUUACACCUUCAAGGGAACCACAAUGGAGACUUAACAAUGCUAUGUGAGAGGUUGUUAAGAAAGAGGUCCUCAAACUCUAUCAUGCUGGGAUUAUUUAUCCUGUGCCACAUAGUGAGUGGGUUAGCCCUCUCCAAGUAGUGCUAAAGAAAGGAGGAAUGACGGUCAUUAGGAAUGAGAAGAAUGAACUCAUCCCUCAACGAAUUGUCACCGGGUGGCAUAUGUGUAUUGACUAUCGAAAACUCAGCAAGGCCACAAAGAAAGAUCACUUUCCGUUACCCUCCAUUGAUGAAAUGUUGGAACGGCUUGCAAACCACACUUUCUUCUGUUUCCUUGAUGGUUAUUCUGGAUAUCACCAAAUCCCAAUCCACCCAGAUGACCAAGAAAAGACUACUUUUACAUGCCCGUAUGGAACUUAUGCAUACCGACGAAUGUCGCUCGGAUUGUGCAAUGCUCCAACUUCUUUCCAACGGUGCAUGAUGUCUAUUUUCUCGGACAUGAUUGAGAAGAUCAAGGAGGUUUUCAUGGAUGAUUUUACUGUCUAUGGCAAAACCUUCGAUCAUUAUUUGGAGAAUUUAGAUAGUCUUGCAGUGAUGUGAAGAAAAGCACUUAAUCCUGAACUGAGAGAAAUGCCAUUUUAUGGUUCAGGAAGGAAUAGUGCUAGGACAUAAAGUGUCCGAACGUGGUAUAGAGGUGGACAAAGCAAAGAUUGAAGUUAUUGAAAAACUUCCACCUCCCACGAAUGUGAAAGGCAUCCGUAGCUUUUUGGGACAUGCAGGGUUCUAUAGAAGCUUUAUCAAGAACUUAUCUCAAAUUGCUAGACCCGUAACUAGUCUCCUAGCUAAGGAUGCACCUUUCAUCUUUAGUGAUGAGUGUCAUGAAUCUUACUCUUAAGAAAGCACUCAUCUCAGCCCAGAUUAUCCAACCACCUGAUUGGAAUCUUCCUUUUGAGAUCAUGUGUGAUGCUAGCGAUUUUGCGGUUGGUGCCCUUUUAGGACAAACCAAGGAUAAAAAGCAUUAUGCCAUAUCCUACGCUAGCAAAACCUUGUCUGGACCACAGCUCGAUUACACUACAACUGAAAAAGAGCUUUUGGCUGUUGUCUUUGCUAUAGACAAGUUUAGAUAUUACUUAGUGGGGGCAAAGAUAAUCAUCUAUUCAGACCAUGCUGCUCUCAAGUACCUUCUCACUAAGAAGGAUGCUAAGCCUCGUCUAAUUCGAUGGAUUCUUCUACUCCAAGACUUUGACAUAGAAAUCCGAGAUAGGAAGGGAGUAGAGAAUUCUGUAGCCGACCACUUGUCUAGGCUUCAAUAUAAGGAAACACAUGAUGAGCUUCCCAUAAAUGACUACCUAAGGGGUGACACCCUGCUUAAGAUAACACAUGCAGAUCCAUGGUACGCAGACAUCAUAAACUUUACAGUAAAAGGCUAUGUCCCACCUGAUACAAACAAAAGGAAAUUGCUUCACGAUAGUCGUUUCCACCUUUGGGAUGAGCCAUAUCUUUUCCGAGUCUGCGCUGAUGGACUCUUGAGAAGGUGUGUUCCUAUGGCUGAGGCUACUCAAAUUAUGGAAAGAUGCCAUGGCUCGCCAUAUGGAGGACACUAUGGAGCAUUCUGGACACAUGCUAAAAUUUGGCAAAGUGGCUUUUUCUGGCCAACGAUGUAUGAAGAAACAAAGGACUUUGUCAGGAGAUGCCACCGAUGUCAAAAACAUGGGAAUAUCAACUCACGAAAUGAAAUGCCUCUCACAAAUAAUCUUCAAGUAGAACUUUUUGAUGUAUGGGGCAUUGAUUUCAUGGGGCCAUUCCCUAUGUAAGGGAAUUGCGAGUAUAUCUUAGUAGCUAUGGACUACGUGUAUACCCCGGAUAGUUAUAAGCGAUGGAGGUUCCCACUUCAUCGACAAAAUCUUCCAGAAGUACCUAGCCGAUCAUGGAGUUCGACACAACGUCGCAACACCAUACCAUCCUCAGACUAGCGGUCAAGCCGAAACAUCUAACAAACAAAUAAAAUAUAUUUUACAAAACACCGUAAAUGAGAUGGGUAAGGGGUGGAAGACAAACUUCCUGAUGCACUUUGGGCAUAUAGAACUGCAUUCAAAACACCCAUAGGCAUGUCACCUUAUCAACUUGUAUAUGGAAAAACUUGUCAUUUGCCUGUGGAAGUAGAGUUUAAGGCUCAUUGGGCACUCAAGAAAUGGAACAUGGAUCUGCACCUCGCUAGCGAGAAUCGUCUGAUGCAACUAUCUGAGCUAGAAGAAUGGAGAGAGAAAGCCUACCACAAUUCAAGGAUCUAUAAAGAGAGAACAAAAUGAUGGCAUGAUAAGAGAAUCAAGCACAAGGAGUUUAAGCCUGGAGAUAAGGUUCUACUAUUCAAUUCAAGAGUUAAGCUCUUUGGGCAUGGUAAGCUACGAAGUAAGUCGGAUGGACCAUACAAGGUUAUUGGCACUUCAACUCAUGGAGCCAUUACCAUCCAAGACGACAUAGGUAACACUUUUAAGGUAAAUGGUCAACGCUUGAAAAUCUAUCUCGAGCCACAAAACAACCUGGUAGAGGAACUUGAUGUGAUUGAGUUCAUAGAAUUCUCACAUUAAGCUCUCAUAAGCUCUAGACAAUUACCUAACCCUUAACAUGCUCCACGAGUUUUGUUUUCUAUUUGGGUUGUGCAGGAUUUUGAGGCUUAAGAAGAGUGAGACCGAACAAGCAGGCCAUAAGAGUGAACGACUAUGUCAACAUCCAGCUUGGGGGAGGCACCCCCACGUGUAUCUAGAUAAGUAUUACUAGUAUUCGGAAAUAAAUAAAAAAGUGCAUAACCAUGAAACCAAACAUAGUUUUGUGUAAUCCUAAGUUUUAAAUAAAAUAAAAAGAAAGUUUGGUCCAAGUCUAGGAAAUUGACAAACUUGAUACGAGAAGGUCUGAGCUGCCAUUUAACUUGUUCCAAGUUUCGCUAGAGUUCUGGAGAUUUUAUCUUUUGAAAAUCUAAAAAAUUCAAAAAAAAAUGAGAUCCUAUUUGACAUAAUACCUAGAGUCUUAUAAGAUAUAAAUAUUAAAACUGUGGGCACUUGCUUUGUUCAAGCCAUUGUUAAUUCUUAUGGUUUUGGUUGAGAGAAUUGUCAUGCUCCAAAGAUCAAGAUAUUUUUGUUUAAAAAUAUAAAAGAUUCACUCUUCUGAAGUAUUAUUGCGUUAGAGGCAUGGGACUAUGCAAAAAUUUGAUUCGGAAAAAGGAGUGAGACAAGAGGUAAAAAUGGACAAGUGUCCGAAUUAGAAUUAGGGGUACAAAGAUACCCACCUGAGUGGAAAAAAUGGAUACGUGUCCGAUAGUAGAAUUAGGGGUACUUGGUGCCCACUUGAAAUAAAAGGAGAGACUGAAAAAAAGAAAAAAAAUGAUAGCCCAUGGUCCCUUUAAUAAGCAAUAUGCCAGUAAGAGAUGACAAACUUUUCAAAAAGGUCAAAGGUCUUGAUCUAGGAGUAUGACAUUCCUCUACUUAUAUAUCUUUCGAGAAGAAGGCAAAUGCCUCAGUUUUAUUUUGGAAACUUAAAAAAAAACUCCAGAACAAAGGUAAGACAGAAGAACUUGAGACAUAGUGCUUGACUUGAUCGUUCUGUUUUUCAAUCACUUAAGACCUUAGUGAUAACUUAAAAAACCCUAUAGUCAGAGGCAUAAAAGUAACCCCUGUUUUCUUGCUAAUUUUAGCUUUGCUUAGGGACGAGCAAAGGUUAAGCUUGGGGGAGCUUGUUGACGGUCCUUAAUGCUCACAUUUAACAAUCAACUAAUCAUGGAAAAGGACCUAUAUGUAACCAACAUCCAAAAUUAGGGUUUCAUCUGACAGAAUUCCAUGAGUUUUGGUGUUUGUCUAUUUCUGCAGGGGGUUAUCAGGAAAUAUGGAGGAAAGGCCCACACGUCGGGUUUACAUAGAGAUAUUAACGUGUGCGCCAAUUUUCUAUGAUCUAGAAGACUCCAGAAGCCACAGGAACGAACGGGAGGCCGAGCGGGCCCAAGGUAGGGCGCCCGCCCUGCUGCCUGGGCCAACCAGGCUCCAUCUCGCGGAUAAUGCUCCACCGACCUAGAGGAUUAAGAAAAACCGUGCGAAAGGUCGGUUUGAUCCGACGGUCCAUAUUCAUUUGGAGGGACUAUAUAAACAGCCCCCACCAGCCCCUAGAGGCAUAUCUCUUCUAUAGAAUCAAAGCUAGGGUUUCAAUUACUCAUCCAAGUAGAGAGGAUCCCUCUAGUUCAUCUAGUUCUAGUUCUAUUUCAUCUAGUUCAAGUUCUAGUUAGUUCUAGUUGUAAUCUAGAAAAUUGGGAGAGAGAAGAGGAGAGCGGAGGAGGAGCCGGAUCUGUCGGAUCUUCCUCAACAUUGUACUUUUGCAGCAACUGGUUCGUUCUUCAUUGUUCUCCAAGUUCUUCAAUUCAUAAUACUUGAGUUCUUUAAUUACUUUUAUUUACAUUCAAGUUAUUUAUUGGAUUCCCGCUUCCAUCAAGUGCUCUAGUCUUUGCAACGCUAGAGUAGUAAUUAAUAGAUUAGACGUGGUGUUUAGUCUUGCAAUUACCUGGAAUUGCACUGUCGACGAAAGCUAGUCGGCAGUCUACCUUGGGGUAUACCCACGGUAGUAGUUUAUCGGUAGACGGUGCGCAAACUACGAACUCGAUGGUGACGCAAGACACGGACAAGCUUUUUAUCCAGGUUCGGCCGCCAAGUUGGCGUAAUACCUACGUCCUGCGUCUGGUUGUAUUGGAUUGUGUUGAGAGAUAAUCUGUCCUAGGGGGUCCAUUGCCCCUCCUUAUAUAGUCUGGAGGGCAGGGUUACAGAUCUAGAAACUAAUCCUAGUCGGUUACAAUUGCCAUGGAUAAUUCGAUAUCAAUUCCUAUUCUAACCGACUAGAAUCCUGCUUGAUCUCCACGUCUUGUUUCCUUGCGCGAAACUCAGGCUGUCGGAUCAAGCCUUGAACUCAUCUCGUAGUGGGCCAAGCUUCCUGGCGGAAGUCUAGCCGUAAGGGUAUAGGGGUUUAUACCCCCACAGCUAGUCCCCGAGCGCCAUGUAUUGUGAUGCAACACGCCGUCUUGAGCUUCUUUGACCAGCGAGGCCUGUCGUCUUCAAUGAGCGGGGAAAUCGCCCAAACAGUUGCAACGGUUCCUUGAUCAACGUUGUCAUCGAAGAAGCAGGUUGUUCGAAGAAUGCAUGGUGCUCUAAAAAAAAUUUCUUUCCUGGUGAAGUGUGCCCACUUUGCCCUUUUUAAAAGGUAGUAGCAUCCAAAAAAGCAAGCAAAUUCACCGCCAGGUGAAGUGUGCCCACUUAGUCCCCGAGCCUGGUAGUAGGUGGUGUAGGCACGUGGUGCCAGGGUCAAAAGAAAAUUCCCCAAAGUAGUUUCGAGAACUGAGAUGCAUCGCUAGAUGCAUCGUACCGAUGUAGUCCCCGAGCUUGCUGGAAGGCGAAGUAUGAGCCUUGUAGCAAGGUCUAAAAAAUUGAAUUUACCAGUCCCCGAGCAUGUCAUGCUCGUCUGCAAUCGAAAAAACCAAUCGACCAGUCCCCAGGCACUUAGUGUGCUUCUUGGAAUUAUAUGUUGCUAUAUUGUACGACCAGUCCCCGAGCAUCGAGUGCUCAGUGGUCGGUGCAUGCUUUAAAGUUUUGAACUGAUAGACUAAGCGACCAGUCCCCGAGCGUCGAGUGCUCGGUGGUCGGUGUAGUCCUUGAAGUUCUGAGUUGACAGACUGGGCAACCAGUCCCCGAGCGUCGAGUGCUCGGUGGUCGGUGCAGUCCUUGAAGUUCCGAGCUGAUAGACUGGGCGACUAGUCCCCGAGCAUCGAGUGCUUGGUGGUCGGUGCAGUCCUUGAAGUUCUGAGUUGACAGACUGGGCAACCAGUCCCCGAGCGUCGAGUGCUCAGUGGUCGGUGCAGUCCUUGAAGUUCCGAGCUGAUAGACUGGGCGACCAGUCCCCGAGCGUCGAGUGCUCGGUGGUCGGUGCAGUCCCCGGAUUGCUGACUCACUGGCAUAUGUGUCUUCUUACUUUUGAAAAGAUCUUUCCAAUUAAAGUUGACGUGACGGGGACUCCUGACGAUAUGUCAGUCGGAUGCAUGAAAAGCUGCACCUGGCAACUGUACAACCGCUCUUUGCAUGGUUUGAGAAAAGGAAACCAUCAGUUGGUACGAAAACUCCGCCGCAUUAAUUGUCUAUAAUCAUUGUAAACCGAAACGCCGUGUCCGCCGCAUGGCCUGCCCACUUCUCGAGAAUACAGCAAGUGGGAGAGGUGGGGUCGCGGGUUUAUAAGGGUCUAAUAGGACCGCCUGUACCGCUUGUCCUGCCAUUGCCUUCAAACCUUACGCUCUCAUCUUCUCCAAUCUCCUGCAUCUUCCUAACUCCAGCCCACAUUCGCACCUCUAAUGGCGAAGAGCGACUCCAGGAAGAGGGCCGAACUGAUGGCCAAGGAGUGGAAGAAGUCUCGCAGCACCACAAAAUCUCUUGGUGACCUCGUCGAUAUGGGGCUUCUGCACGGUGCAGAGCUCGGCGGCUGGAGGGCACCGGAGGGGGAGAGCUACCCCGACCCUCGCGCCGGUGAGAUCGUCGUUUUUGAGGAUUUCGUUAAGAGAGGCUUUGGUGUUCCUGUCCAUCCUUUUCUUCAAGGUCUUCUUUUGUACUAUGAGAUCGGGAUUUGCAAUCUGCACCCGAACUCAAUUCUCCUUAUUUCCACCUUCAUCCACCUGUGCGAGGCCUAUGUUGGCAUAGAGCCGCACUUCAAUCUUUUCCGAUACCUUUUCUGCUUGAGGAAGAAGGGAGCAGUUGGAGGCUCCAAGGUUGCAGGUGGAGUAUACCUCAACCUUCGCGAUGGGAUGAAGAAUCGCUAUCUGCACUGCCCAUGGAACACUUCCUUGACCGAAUGGUACAGGAAGUGGUUCUAUGUCAGGGAGGAACCGGGCAGCUCCAUGUUCUGCGACGUGGGAUACAUUCCCGAGAAGAGGACGAGCUGGACCGACCGCCCAGAGUUCGACGGUCAAGUGGCAGAUCUGAUGAAGCUGAUCGACUGGUCGCGCCUGGAUGGGCUUGGCGUGGUCGGCAACUUCAUUUGCCGCCGGGUGAUGCCCUGCCAGAAGAGGGUGCACUCGGCGUACGAGUAUGCCGGAAGCGUAGACCCGACCAGGAUGCGGUCGGAGAUCUUGGAGAAAGCGGAGGUACAACAGCUGUUGAACGAGCUGUUUAACUUCGCGGAUGGGGGCUUCACCCGUGGCAGUGAUCGGGUGCAAGCCUUCAAGUUAGGACGACCAGCACCAAAGGUAUGCAGCAGACUCUGUUUGAUCAUUCGUAUAUCGUCUGUAGUUGACUCAUCUCUGUUGCUUUUGCAGGUCGGUGAUGUCGACCGGUAUGUGGUGUAUGUAUCACUGGCGCCGGGGAUGGAAAAUCCUGCGGGAGAGGUCCCGCCAGAGGAGGACGCUGCUCGGUGUACUCAUUACACCAGCAGUGAGGAAGACCGAGCCCGCCCCGUCCCGACCUCCGAGGAGAGGGUAGCGGGGAAAAGGCCAUUGCCGGCGGAUCCCUUGCCGACACCGGAGCUGCCAGCAGACCUACCGGCGGAGAGCAGCCAAGCGCCGAAACGUCGUCGGCUCGUGCGGAUCGUCGUCGACGACGACGACGACGAGGAGGCUGCGCCGUCAUUGGUCCGACGGCCUCGGAGCCGCCCAGACACUGCGCCGGUCGCCACUGAUCGAGUGGCCAGCGGCGCCGCUGCCCCGCAAGUUGCCGAGGUGGGGGCACAGGCGCCGACCGGCCGGGCGAGGAGGAGGUUCACCGCGACCCAUCGCCGGUCAGACCUGUAAGUGUUCGACUUACGUAUUUUGGACUCCUCUUUUUUUUUUAAAACUUUUGUUCCUGCAGUGCGGCAUCGGAUGUCGACCCUGGCCAAACUGCCGGCCAGGUAACGGACGAGCCUGCCCGCGGUUCUGGGGAUGCAGCCCCCCAGACCACAGAGCGGCCAACAGCUGCAGUCGCGCCUGGGAGCACCGAGGGGAUCCCGAGCGCGGCGCCGACAACAAGCAGCCCGACCAGGGCUGGAGAGGCUCCCCCAACUGACUCCUCGGAGAAGGGGAGAUCUCCGACCGCUCCUCCUGCCGGGGGGAGUGAAGUCCCCCCGCUGCCCCGAGCAGGAGCCUCUUCGGCUGCGGGCUCCCCAGGUCUGGUCCAAGGGCCAGUAAUGCCUGGGACCACCACCGGGGGUGACGCAGCACAGGAGGAAGAAACCCGGGCGGCCUCCGACGACGAGGUGGAGGAGAUCGAGGGUCGUCCCCGUGAUGGCCGCCAACACGUGUAUGUGUGGCGCCAACGCGGGGAUCACUUUAUCGGUCAUGAGGAGGUCGCUGAGACCGAAGAGGCCGCCAGGGUGGAGCGCGCGGCCAAGCGCCUUGUUGACGAAGUCAAGGUAAGCGGCUUUUUGUACUGCUGCGCAUUCUUUUGCCUUGUCUUGCUUGAUCGUUAUAUGCUUGCUUUGUAGGACGUAAUGAAAACGGCGAAGUACCGGAAACGGUGCUUUGACCAGAUAGAAAGCGUCAUGGCCGAGAACAAGGCCCUUGCCGCGGAGGUAGACCGGUUGCGGGCGGAGGUCGGGGAGAAGGUGGUCGAGAUGAGCGCUGAAAAGGAGCGUCGUCUCGACCUCGCUCGUCGCCUGGCCGACCAGUACCGGCUGCAGGAAGGUUAGUCACACGCUCCGAGCAGUUUCGCGUACUUGUAUAGUUUGCUUUGCUGACCAGUUUAGGAUUCACGCAGACUUGGAGGAGGAGGUGGCGAGCCUCCAACAAGAGAAGGAGCAGCUCGGCCAACAGCUCGCCAGUGCACAGGAGUCCGGGCGGCGAGCGGAAGAAGAAUUGGGUCGAAAAGACCGGGAGUUAGCUGGUAAUGGGUGCCGCCUUGUUGGUUGCUGCCUGCCCCUUUGCUUGUCUGGUAUACCGGAAGUAACGUUUCGUUUUGUUUGCAGUGCUCAAGGUGAACACCAAAAAGCACCUGGAUGAGCUGAUCAAGGACCGGGACUCCUGGAAGGUCAACUGUUGCAGGAUCUGGAAAGGAGUGUCCCCGGUCCUGGACCUGAUCAGUCCCGAGCUCCCGGAGAGCCAGCCCCGCGCGCCGCAGUUGACCCCGGUCGAGAAGGCGCAACGGGCGUGGGAUUGGCUCCAGCAGUUUGUGAAGGACGCCGGGGAGUUUGCCGGCGCGCACGUCCUCAGCAUGGUACGCGCCCACUACCCCCUGGUCGAUUUGAGCAGGCUGGAGAAGGGGUACCCGAAGGAAGUCGGCCCACAGGAAGCGGACGAACUUCGGGGUAGUCUGCUGGACUUGUCGUCGACAGUGAUCGGCGACAUCAACCUGUGCGGAACGGCCACUCCUCCAGACCAGCCGAGCUCAGAUAGGUUGGCCAGGGAGUUGUCGGGCGCGUCCGUUGCUGGAGAUGGGCGGUCGACGCCUGCGGUCUCGACCAGCCAGGCGCCGGUGGCCCCGACCCCUUCGUCCGGGCAGCAGGGCCAGGCGGGUGAUCAGCCCGAGCAGCUAGGCCAAUAAAGUAGUCUGUAGGAAUAGACUAGUAUCUGCCCGUCAGGGUAUUUAUUGUAAACUUUGUAUGUAAAGUUUGUAAUAAAGUUUUCUUCUUGUCAUGACUGUUGUUUUGAGCGCUGUAAAAAUAUCUGAGUGACGUGUCACCGUAUUUGUCUUGGUUGUCGCCAAGAGCAUCCAUUGCAGGAGUUUUGCCGAGUGCUGUGUAUGACAAGGUAUAGGCGAAAAAUAGAGAAUUUUAUUAUCAAAAAUUAUAAGAUACUUACAAAAGAAAGUCGUUAAAACUUUAUGGAUAGAAACGUCGCAGUUUGUCGAUGUGCCAAGAGUUAGGCACUCGUGUUCCGUCUGGGUAUGCCAAUCUGUAGGACGUAGGUCGUGUGACCUCGGUCACCACGAAGGGUCCUUCCCAGGGAGUAGAUAACUUGUGCAUUCCCUCCUGGCUUGUUUUCCAUCGAAGCACCAGAUCGCCGACCACGAAGGAACGGUCCUUGACGUUCCUGUUGUAGUAUCGCCUGACUGCCGCGAGAUAUUUUGCUGUUCGGAGACAUGAAACUAAACGCUUUUCCUCCAUGCAAUUGAUUUCGAGUUCUCUGGCGUUGUCGGCGGUCGCCUGGUCGAAGUGCUCGAUUCUAGGAGAUCCGAAGUGUAUGUCAGAUGGCAAGUCCGCCUCUGCGCCGUACACCAUGAAAUAGGGAGACACCCCUGUGUUUCGACUGGUCUGAGUUCGGAGGCCCCAGACCACUGCCGGCAAUUCUUUCAUCCAUCGACCGGGUGCUUUGUCGUUCUCGGUGUACAAUCUUUUCUUUAGGGCGUCGACGAUCAUUCCGUUAGCACGUUCAACUUGACCGUUGGCACGUGGAUGUGCCACUGACACAUAUUUUAUGACUAUGCCUCUGUCAUCGCAGAAAUCCCAAAAAGUGGUGCCAGUAAACUGAGUGCCCAGGUCGGUGAUUAUGCUGUUUGGGAUGCCGAAUCUGUGUAUGAUUUGAUUGAGGAACUCCACAGCCUUCUCGGAGGUUGCCUUGACCAGGGGCAUGUAUUCAAUCCACUUGGAGAACUUGUCGAUUAACACGAAGACAAACUUGAAGUUGCCCGGGGCUGGUUUAAAUGGUCCGAUCAUGUCAAGCCCCCAGCAAGCAAAGGGCCAAGACGACGGGAUGGUUUGAAUUUCAUGGGCAGGUACGUGGGUCCUCUUAGCGAAAAACUGACAUCCUUCGCAAUGCCGAACCAGUUUUUCUGCGUCGCUGACCGCGGUUGGCCAAUAAAAACCUGCUCGGAAAGCCUUUCCGACCAGCGUUCUAGAUGCGGCGUGGUUGCCGCAGGAUCCGGCGUGUAUGUCCUCCAAGAGCUUGAUACCAUCGUCUUGGGGUAUGCACUUGAGCAGUACCUCGGAGCUUGCGUUUUUCCGCAUGAGUUUUCCGUCGACCAGGAUGUAGUUCUUUGAUCGUCGGAUGAGACGCUCGUUCUCUGUUUUGUCCUGAAAACCUGUCCCGUCUGAGAUGUAUUUGAUGAACGGGAUACGCCAGUCACGCCCGCCGGUUGUCGGAGUGGCGUCAUCUAUGAGCAUUGCCUCGGUGGGUUGCUUGUCGACCAGGGGGGAGCUUACGCUCGGCUCAUGGAUGUCCUGGACGAAAAUACCCCGCGGGAUUUGGGCCCGAGACGAGCCUAACUUUGACAACGCAUCUGCUGCUUGGUUCUUAUCCCGGACCACGUGGAUGUACUCUAUGCCAUAGAAGUUAGUUUCCCAUUUGCGAAUUUCUUUGCAGUAGAGAUGCAUCUUCUCGUGGGUUGCGUCCCACUCCUUGUUGAGCUGGUUGAUGACCAGAGCGGAGUCGCCGUAGACAUAGAGGCGCUUGAUCCCCAGUUCGACGGCUAGUCGUACGCCAUGUAAACAAGCUUCGUAUUCGGCAACAUUGUUUGACGCCGGAAAAAGGAUCCGAAGGACGUAGCGGAGUUUGUCCUUGUUUGGUGAUACGAACAAUAUCCCAGCGCCUGCACCGUUGAUGUUCAAGGACCCAUCAAAGAACAUUGACCAGUGGUCUGAGACAUCUGGAACGGAAGGCUCGUUGAGAUCCGUCCAUUCAGCAAUGAAAUCGACCAGGGCCUGAGACUUGACAGUGGUGCGACUCUGGAACUCCAGGGAAAAUGGACAUAAUUCCAUUGCCCAUUUCACGAUUCUGCCAUUGGCGUCUUUAUUGCGCAGGAUGUCCCCAAGAGGAAAGCUGGUUGUCACCAGGACUCGAUGGCCGUCGAAGUAGUGCUUCAACUUUCUUGACGUUAUCAGGAUGGCGUAUAUAAGCUUCUGUAUUUGUGGGUACCUGGCCUUGGAUUCGUUUAAAACUUCACUUAUGAAGUAAACGGGUCUCUGGACCUUGAAGACGUGACCUGGUUCAUCUCGCUCGACCACUAUUGCCGUGGAAACAACCCUGUCGGUUGCAGCAAUGUAAAGGAGCAGGUCUUCAUUGGGCUGAGGCGCUGUGAGGACAGGCGGUGAAGUGAGGAAGGUCUUAAGCUGAGUGAACGCAGCGUCGGCUUCUUCUGUCCAGGAGAAUUUUUCUGACGCUUUCAAUAGUUUGAAGAAAGGGAGGCCUUUUUCUCCCAGCCUUGAGAUGAAACGACUGAGGGCGGCCAUGCAUCCGGUUAGCUUCUGAAUAUCCUUGACGUUCUUCGGUGGUCGCAUGUCGAGUACGGCUUUGACUUUUGAAGGGUUUGGUCGUAUGCCGUCGCAACUGACGACGUUGCCGAGCAGUAGACCGGAAGGAACGCCGAAAAUGCAUUUCUUGGGGUUGAGCUUCCACUUGUACCUAUUGAGUGCCUUGAAGGUUCGGUCUAAGUUGUCGAUUAGGGUGCUCGCGUCCCUUGUUUUUACGACCACGUCGUCCACAUAGGCCUCGACGAGGUCAUCGUGAAUCUCGUCGUGGAGGCAUUGCUGGAUGGCCCUUUGAUAAGUGGCCCCGGCGUUUUUAAGUCCGAAAGACAUGGUAGUGUAACAGUAUGCGCCGAAGGGUGUGAUGAAGGAUGUUUUGAUCUGAUCUUCUUCUUUUAACGAGAUCUGGUGAUAACCAGAGUAGCAAUCUAGAAAGGAGAGGAGUUCGCAUCCGGCCGUUGAGUCGACCACCUCGUCGAUGCGAGGAAGACCAAAAGGAUCUUUAGGACAGUGUUUGUUGAGAUCGGUGUAAUCAACGCACAUUCUCCAUUCAUUAUUCUUUUUGCGUACAAGAACCGGAUUGGCGAGCCAAUCGGGAUGAUACACCUCUUUUAUGAAUCCGGCUGCUAGAAGCCGUGUUAUUUCUGUCCUAAUAGCCUCCUUUUUGUCACGAGCGAACCGUCGCAGUUUUUGCUUGAUUGGUCUUGCGGUCUUCGAGACGUUUAAGGAGUGCUCGAUCAGGUUUCGUGGGACACCGGGCAUGUCUGCGGGUUUCCAUGUGAAAACGCUCACGUUGCCCCUUAGAAACCUGACGAGCGCGUCUUCCUAUUUUGGAUCCAGGUUAGCCCCGAUGAGGGCUGUCUUCUCGGGGUUGCCUUCGACCAGCUGCACUUCUUUGUACUCCUUGGAUUUCGAAUUCUUUCUGGCUGUCUCCUGCUCAGGUAAUCGGAGCUGGUCGGGGGGCAGCUGUGCGGCUUGGUUUGCUGUUUCCGCCAUGCGGAUUGAGAGGUCAAUUGCCUCGGUGAUCUUGAAACUUUCUUCUUCGCAGGUGUACGCAGUGUAGACGUUGCCUCUGACGGUCAGGACACCCUUCUCCGUGGGCAUCUUAAGCACUAGGUAUGAGUAGUGCGGGACUGCCAUGAACUUUGUCAGCGAUGGGCGGCCCAGUAUGGCGUGGUAGGUCCCGUCGAAGUCCGCGACUACGAAGUUGAUGAACUCCGUCCGGAAGUGAUCGGGUGUGCCGAAUUGGACAGGCAAUGUUAUCUGUCCGAGGGGCACCGAACUUUGACCUGGCAAAACCCCCCAGAAUUGGGCGUCGUAAGGUUUUAGUUGCGCCGGUGAUAUCUUGAGGGCGGGCAGGCUGUUGCGGAAGAGGAUGUCGAUGGAGCUUCCCCCGUCCACGAGCACGCGCUCGAAUCUGAUGCUAUUGAUGCAGGGAUCAAGAAUCAGUGGGAAACGACCCGGCUCUGGGAUAGCGGCCCACUGGUCCUUCCUGCUGAACGCGAUCUCCCUGUGGGACCAGGCGGGAAAUUUCGGAUCUGCGAUCAGCCCGUCCGUGCUGUCUAUGUUGAGGCAGGCUCUCUUUAACAGCUUUCUUUCUCGCUUGGACUCAGUGGAGACCUUGCCCCCGAAAAUGGAGUGGACCACGUCGGUGGGGCUGACGUAUUGGUGUCAGGGGUCCCUGUCUUGGUCCUCGUCCUCAUCUUCGUGGUCGUGCCCGUCGCGUUUGUUAGUUUUCUUGGCGGUGUCUUCUUGGGCGGCCCGCCGUGUAUAGAUACUUUUGAGGACGCGGCACUCUUCCAUGGUAUGAUUAGACUUUGGGUGUAGCUGGCACGGUCCCUUCAACGUUUUGUUGUAGUCGUCUUGGUAGUCCCAUCGUCCAUUGGGACGUUUGACCGUGUUUACUUCGUGGUCGUAUUCGCGAGGGCGCUUUCCUCUGAAGUCGUCGCGGCUGUCGCGCCGCCGAUCCCAACCCUCUCGGUGAUCACGGUUGUCGGAGCGGCGGUGAUUUCUGUUGUCGUAGCGACCACGACCGUCAUCUCGCCGGGAGGGCUGGUCGGUGCCUCUCGCAUCGUCUCGGAUUAGUUUUUCUGCGUCAUCAGCGUCGGCAUAAUUUUUAGCCGUGGCGAGGAGCUCUGCUACCGUUGAUGGGCGCUUACGCAACAGCUUGUUCCUCAGCGCUUCAUGGAAACGCAAGCCCUUGAUAAAGGAUGAUAUGGCCUCGUCAUGAGAAAUCUUCGGGAUUUUGAGGCGCAUAUCCGAGAAUCGUCGGAUAUAAUCGCGCAGAGGUUCAUUCUUCCUGUCUCUUAUCCUUUCAAGGUCAUACUUGUUUCCGGGCUGCUCACAUGUGGCGAUGAAGUUGUCGAUGAAAGCCUGUCGUAGCUCUUCCCAAGAGUCGAAGGAGUCCUCGGGUAAGCCGAGAAGCCACUGAUGACCAGCCUGGUCGAGGACUACGGGGAAGUAGUUAGCCAUGACGUGCUCAUCUCCUGCCGCUGAUCGGACGGCGAUUUCGUAGAGGGUGAUCCAGUUCUCUGGAUUUUCCUUGCCGUCGUAUUUUUUAAGUUUUUCGAGCUUGAAAUUGCGGGGCCACACGACCUGGCGGAGGUGUGAGGAGAACUGCCUUAGGCCCGGAGGACCAUGGGUCGCAUCGUACUCGAUGCGGCGCAGGUUUUCGUGGACUACUCUCUCUGCGGCGCGCCUGUUGAUGCGGUCCCGGGCAUCUUUGGGAGGGAUGUUGUGGCGGAGAUCCCUGUGUUGAUCUUCUUCUUCUUGGCCGCGUACGCGGUUCUGCUGGCGGCGGCCAUCGGCGUCCCGACCACCAUCGUCGCGCCGUGAGUCCCCUCGACGGUUGUCGGGGGAGCGGCUGCAGCGACGCCUACUGGGUGAGGCCCGGCUACGAUGAGUCUGGUCGGAGGCGGCUUCCGUAUAAGAGACGUCCUGGACUCUCUUGAGCAGAGUGGCUGUCUGUCCCAUCGCGGCGAUCAGGUGUGCUCGGAUACUGGUCCGGACUCCCUGGCAUUCGGGGGUGUCAGGAAGCCGAUCCAGGUUGGCCAUGGCGACAGCCACGUUGGCGCUUGGUGUUUUGUAGACCGGCUGGUCCCCGACCAUAUCAAAGGCAUCGUUGAGGUUGCCUGGUGGCGUCUGUUGUUGCUCGUCCGCACGCCGUCGGGCGCGAUCGGCGUUACGCUGUUCGCGGAGUUGCCUCUGGUCGUCUGUUUCUCCGUCAACAGCCGGUUCGUCGGCGCUGACAUUGAAUACAAUAUCCCCUCGCCGGGGGGGGGAAUAUCGGGAAUCGGUCGAAACCCGGAGGGUGUGAAGGAAAAUCCAGGUCGUAGUCCUCGUCUUCGGUGUUCACAACCUCGGUGGGGACGGAGCCGGUGCUUGAGUUGGUGCUAGAAACCUGGCCGUCCCGUAGCUCUCGGAUGGUCACCAUGUUGACAUGGUGACGAUUGUUCCUUGUCGGCGACCAGCCCGCUUUGCUAAAAACGGAUUGGACAUGCUGUGAGUAAACAGAGGCUGAGUUGUUCAGGCCGCAAGGAUAGUCUUCCUUUUUGAGCUCGACGGAUCGUCCUGAGGGGGUCGAGGUUAUCAUCAGGGACGUUCCCAGCCGUUCGUGUGUGGCGACACGAGUUGGCCGGCGGAAUUUCGAAAAAUCCGCUCGAGCAGCUUGGUCGGGCCGGCGCAGAACUCCAUCUAUUAGUUGGGAGACUUCGAGUAGCUUGGAGUCAGCGCGAUCGAGCGCUUGGAGGAGGUCCGAGCAGUCGAUCUCCUUUCCCCUGUAGAGCGGGAACGGUGGUCGGGAGCUUGGUGCCGUCAUGCGUGUGGUCGGAGACGGCGUGAUCUCAGAUUGGAUCUGGAUCUCUUUCGGAACCGUGGCCGCAAAACCGCCGCUGCACGUCGUCCACGUGAUCUGGCCGACGGUGAACGUGAGGCCUUCGGGCACGGUCGCGGAAGCUGGGAUCGUGACCAUCUUGUUCGCCGGAAAAGUUGCACGCACACCCCCUACCUGGCGCGCCACUGUCGACGAAAGCUAGUCGGCAGUCUACCUUGGGGUAUACCCACGGUAGUAGUUUAUCGGUAGACGGUGCGCAAACUACGAACUCGAUGGUGACGCAAGACACGGACAAGCUUUUUAUCCAGGUUCGGCCGCCAAGUUGGCGUAAUACCUACGUCCUGCGUCUGGUUGUAUUGGAUUGUGUUGAGAGAUAAUCUGUCCUAGGGGGUCCCUUGCCCCUCCUUAUAUAGUCUGGAGGGCAGGGUUACAGAUCUAGAAACUAAUCCUAGUCGGUUACAAUUGCCAUGGAUAAUUCGAUAUCAAUUCCUAUUCUAACCGACUAGAAUCCUGCUUGAUCUCCACGUCUUGUUUCCUUGCGCGAAACUCGGGCUGUCGGAUCAAGCCUUGAACUCGUCUCGUAGUGGGCCAAGCUUCCUGGCGGAAGUCUAGCCGUAAGGGUAUAGGGGUUUAUACCCCCACAUGCACCCAAUCCUGCGGAUUGUUGUGGUAGCCCUAGGGUAGUGACAGCCCUAACGGUCGACGUAUUCCACCUCGUUCGGACUGGUGUUUGUAGGACCGUAGUCAGAGCUUCCUAGCUCCCUUCUCAUCUCUUUCCGUGGUUAGUGUUGUGAUGUCCCGAAAUAAAUAAUCUUUGAAGUAAUUCUUGAUUCUUAGAUCAACUAGAGAACUCUUAGGAAACUUCCUCUCUUCCCACCAAAAAAUAAUUAUAUAGUUAUCCUUGGGCAAUCUUGAAUCUUAAUAAGUACACUCACGUUCCCUGUGGAUAAUCGAUACUCUCGAAUACUCCCGGGUGAAAGCUACAUCGGUAUCCGUACGCUUGCGGAUUUUUCUAUUUGCGUUUAAAAUACCCAACACACGCGGGCGCGGAAGCCGGGGCGGCGGCGGACUCCCCAUCCGUUUCGGACGGGAGGUUAGGGGUGGACCUGACGGGUGGGGCCCACCCGUCGGCGAGUGGCGGCGGGAGCGGGGCGAUCCGUGCGCUUGCGGAUUUUUCUGUUUGCAUUUAAAAUACCCAACACGCGCGGGCGCGGAAGCCGGGGCGUUGGCGGACUCCCCAUCCGUUUCGGACAGGAGGUUAGGGGUGGCCCUGACGGGUGGGGCCCACCCGUCGGCGAGUGGCGGCGGGAGCGGGGCGCGCGCUGCUGGGUGCGGCUGGGCUUGCGCGCGGGCGAGCUGGGCCGCGCGGCCCAGGUGGCGGAGCGGGAGAGGGAAGAGAGGGGAAGGGGAUUGGGGCGCUGGGCCGAGGGGAAGCCGGCCCAGGAAGAGGGUGUUGCUCAUUUUUUAUUUCAGAAAGAAAUUGAUUCUCCUAUUUUUGUUCUUGUCUCAAAACUAAAACAAGCACAAGCAAAUAAAAUCAAACAAAAUUAAUGCAGCGGCAUGAAUGCAUUCAACCAUGUUUCUACCUUAUAUUUUAUUUUAUUUACUUUUGUAAAUUAUUUAAUAAUUGCCUAAAAUUCAAACUAAGGCAAAAAUAAAUCAAAUUUAAACUAAAAUUUGAAAUUCAAAUUUUUGGAGUGUUAUACCAUCAAACGUUAAUCAUGACAAUAUUAUUGACCUUACAACCAAUGUGAAAUCUCACAUGACAUAGGUAGGUCUUGCAUCAACAAGAAUCAUGUGCAAGACAAAAUUAAGCAAGCAAAGAUGUUAGCAAGAUUUGUAGGUAACAAGUAGAAGGUUAAAGGAUAAGAAAAUGGCACAAGACAUAAAUGGAUACGCGCUAUGCCCAUCAAGGUCAUUACCCAACAAUUAAUUUAUGAGAUGCAGUCAUGUUGGGUAGGAACAUGAGAUCAAAGCCAAUAAGCAUCCCAAGAUUUGGGGAGGAUGGAGAUGAAUUAAGCAAACUCCAAUGGUAAAACCACUACACCGAUUAGAGAUUUAGAUGAUAGGGAGUUACAUGAUUUGUAAAGCAAAAGAUUCCAAGAUUAGGCAGCAAAAGAUUGCCUUACACAAGCUAAGUUUUGGGAGAUGCAAUCGGGAGGUCCAACAUGGAUUUGGUAUGGUCUCCGUAACUACCAAAGAACAACUAUAGUCAAAAGCUUUCUGUAGCGAGAACUUAUCCUAGCUAGUUGGCUAGACAAGGAUAUUUGCAACAGGUGUAGGGCAACCAUGGUAUAUGCAAGCAUUUAAGGGUCUGGACAUGGGUGUACAUAUCAAGCAUAGGCAUGGAUGCUCAAACAUUCAAAAACUAACAACCAAGUCAAUAAGCUUGGCUCCUAAGAGGGAGAACCUAAUUUGAUACAACCAAUACACAAUUAACAUAACUUGAGUGCCAUUCUAAGAUAAAGCUAUUUGACACUCGUGCUCGUCGAGGACAAAACAAAAAACAACUAAGGCACGAUCUAGAUAACCAACACCCACACAACAUAACAGUUUUAAGCAAGUACUUGAGAAAACUCAAACAAUCAUGCUUAAAAAACCAUUACUAAGCACAAGGCUUACAUACAACAAGCAUUUAUCUAUGGCAAUACAACACAAUUGUUCCACAUACAAAGAUUAUGAUACAAGAUGUGCUACAAAGCUAGUGGACAUGGCGUAGUCUUCUAGGGAGAAGAUGAUUUUGAGAUGGGUAGUUAAAAGGGCUCCAAAAGAUUUUGGCAUGGUUGUACUAUCAUGCAAAUGGACAUACCACAAGCAAGAGUCUAGCAUUUAGGAAAACUCAGUGGUGAAAGGUUAUCAUACCCAUAGAGCUAAUUCAAAAAACUUAAAAAGGUUGAAAAAGAAUACUAAUCAGCUCUGCCUAAACAAGGAUAGAGAACUUGACAUUAACUUUAGAAAAUGAUAACUAAAGUUCCAGUGAUUGAACAACCAUGAUCUUUAAUCUUAUGGAAACUUAUCAAGUUAUCUAUAAUUUUCUUAUUAUCAUCUUAAGAAGCUUCUACAGCUAACAAGGACAAACAAUACAAAGAAGACAUAUCUAUUCAGAUUUUUGACAGAUUCUGUCAUUCUACUUCACAAGCUCAUAACAGAAGAUUUAGACAACCAAAAGUAGUGAUCUUAACAAAAGUACUACACUUCUUCUAUUAACUCCAGGACAUGAUUCUGUAUGCACACUAGUCAAACAAACUAAACAUUCAGAUCUGUUCAGAAUAUGAUCAGGAUCUGACAACAAACUUCAAAAGUUCAUAACUCCUAAACCAUCAGGCCUAUGGUCAUGAAAGUUUAGGAUAAACUAGAUAUAGAGGUUGGCUACAACUUUGGUAUUCACUAUAAUUACAGAAAACACCAUUAUUGUCAUGAAAACACCACUAGAAUACAAACUGCUCUAGUAGCCAAAAUUCAACACCCUAUCAAGCAAUGUUUUCCCUUGUUCUAUUAACAAGAUAGCACACACAUGUAUAACUCCAGUAGCUACAAACAUUAUUACCUAGAUAAACAAUAAUUUAGUUUGGUGACAAGGAGGGAUUAACAUAAGAAUCACAAUUGCUUAAGUGAGGUUAAAGUAUUUGCAAACUCUUGUCUGAGCAACAUAUUCAUCACUUGGCUAAAUAAGCUGACACCUACAAGUUCAAGCAUAUAGCCUCAGCUAUUUCCAUUAUAGGUAGGCCACAUUUUUACUUAGUUAAUUAAAAUUAGAGGCAUCACAGAAAACAUCCACAUACAUGUUCACCGACAAGCUUUAGUUUUCAAAGGAUUGUAGUUUCUACUACUACUAACUUAGCAUUCCUAUAGAAGCAGUUAUUUCAAGGCUAGACACAUCACACACCACUUUCAAACAAAACUAUUCAAGUAGCAUGGAAUAUGGCAAUUUUUGUAUAGCUACACACAGUGAAAAGAGUAGCAUCACAUCACUCACAAGUUACAAAUUACUGGAACAAAGGUGGGAGAAGCAUUGUCAUACAUAAUGCAACAAUCAUAAGGAUGCAUGCUUCGUCUUAUUCGUCCUCAGAAAAUUGCCAGCCUAAGGUGGCAAUCACGUUCUAUGUCGGUGGCAUAACACGUACUCUCUCGACAUAUAGCUAGUCGUUAACUACGUUCAAUCUAUGCAUUCGUGGUUAGCGUACCUGCAGAAGAAUUUCAUUUCAGCCCAACCCAAUAAUAAUACAAGUACAGAAAUGAAAGUCUGUUCUCUAUGUUGAAAGCUAAAUACUCCAAUAUAUAUUCCCGAAUAUAUAUUGCAGCAUACUACCCAUGUGAAGCACGCCCAUGUAUACACAGAGUCAUGUAUACACGGUCAACCAACUAACCCACAAUUAAUUAAGUACCUUCAUAUAUACAUGUGUGUAACAUGCCAGUAACCAUAUCUAACUCUCCCCUAGACCGACGGUUGGACAAUCAUGCUCUCACAACUCACAUUCUUACCUUAGUGUCGAGGUAUAUAGAUCCAUACAUUACCACUCAAGCAUGUGGCAUCCAUACAAUUUCACGCCGUAUGGACGACGAAAGGAAAAUAUUGCUUACUGUGGCAUAGAGGUAUAUGAUCUAUGCAUUACCACUUAAGUAAGUGGCAUCUAUACUAUUGCAUGCCGUAUGGACGAUGAAAGUAAAAGUUGCAAUAAAUUAAACCCCCCAUAGUUAGUAUCAGUUUACAUAAAGCCACCUAGUAGUCCUUAGUUGGGCAUAACUGGAGGUUGUCGCUAGCGUAGUUUUUGUAAAUUAGCUUUGACAAGUUUUAGUCCAAAUAGGAUUUUUAAAACCAAAACUUUGUUUUAAAAUAGUGUACCUGAUAGUAUUAUACUUAAUCUUGCUCCGAUGCCAGCUGUGACAGAACCGCCCAAUUUAUACAAGUUUAAGUACGACUGUCCCUAUUUAACACAUUGACACGAGCAUACUCUCACUUAUAUAAACCCGGUAGUCUGCCGAGUGUCACGAAGGACCUUGGUAAAUCAACCUUACACCAAGAUCGCAUGAUUAAGCAAAUACACAUCACAUACACGGAGAUUUGCAAGUGGAAAUAAUAUUACAAAAGAGUCCACAAAUAAUAGUACAAGUUUGGAUUUUCCAAAUUGAUUAGAAAACAACAUAGCUUUCAAAUGAUUACAAUAACAUAAGUUCCAAAUACAUUGUUAGUAUAAGUGUCAUCCUCCGACAAAAGCAUGUAGAUGAGAACACUAUAUAGAAUCACCAAGCCCACCGGCGGUUAGCCACCAUCCUUAGCAGACUGAAAACUUCACCUACAACAUGGUGGGAUAAACCCUGAGUACUCAAAUGUACUCAGCUAGACCUACCCGACAGGAGAGAAAUAAAAGACUCUCAAGGAUAUGCAAGGCUUAUUUGGUGGUGUUGGUUGGAUAGCAUAACUUUGCCAAAAAGAGCAUUACUAUCAUGAGUCCUUACUUUCAACCUUUUAGUCAAUAUUUUAGCAUCAAGUUCAGUUAAGCCACCAUAGCUAGAUUUUGCACCUAUUAUAUAGCAAUCACUUGAUUAAUAAGCAUCACAUUAAUAACCAUAUCUGGUUUAUCAUGUAGCCAUCAUCAUUCUCAUCAUAACCAUUAAGUUUAUUUAGUGAGUUCUACGUUGCUGCUACUCAAGUCAAGUUCUCACUAUCUGGGAGAGAUGACGAUUCGAAUCGAUUCCUAACCAGCUGGAGGGGUAUUCCUAGCACUCACCUAGGCGUACUUUGCAGGAGCAGUCUUGGGUCACCUUUAGCACAACUCAGGACAAAUUCACGGGUCCGUACAACGCCGCACCCUAGAGACCGCCAACCUGCUAGGUUCAGGACUCUAACAUGACACCUCGGUCUUACGACAUUGACUCCCUGCACAUCCUUACUACCAACCGGGGUGCGCACUUAAACCGAACGGGGUAUCUGGCCUGAGUUGUACUCAUAGACUUCACGGUCGGAACGACUUAUCUGGCCAACUAAAUGUUAGGCAUGCGUUCAACAUGACGAGAGGACGUACAGCGUAUCGGUCCUUAAACGACACAGACGGGGAUAGAUUCACAUCCAAGACCUCCAUGCCUUGUUGCUUCACUAUCAUCAUCCCGCCCGGUCUCCAUUUAUUUUUAACACAUGGUUAUUUCCACGAUAGCAAAUAUAGCCAACCUUGAUCAGGUAUCCACCUAUCUCUCGUAGGUGACACGAAAUCACCUGGCUUCUACCGAGCUAAGUAUAGCUAAGCAUAGAACGUCUUCCUUAUCUCUACUAUAAUUGAAAUCUUCUCUAGGGAAAUCCCACCUGCAAGAUCAACGACUCACAGCACAUGUCCUACAGAUUUGACGGCCCAGAUUAGAAGUAUGAUCACGACCUUACACACGCACAGCUCCAUCAAUCGGAAAAACGCCGCAACACACGCACGUCCGUCAUCCUGCCGGCCUCCUCUAGGAUCCGGCGUCUCCUCCCCUGGCCACGAUCGACCUGGUCGGUGUUGAGAUAGGAUCCCUGGAGCUCAACGCUAUGCACACACCAGCGCGCCAGGAUCUACGCCCUUGACCUCACGUCGUCUGCGGCGCGAUCAUGGCAUGCUAGCCCAGCUAAGGAGAUCGCGGUGACCGUCGGGCAGCCGGCACCUCCGCGUGCUACCGAUCCACGUAGGCCUCCUCUGCCACGGGUGGUGGUCGACGCGGUUUUGCACCUGGCCGUGGUCACGGCGCUCGGCUUCCUCUUGAUCCGGUACAUCAGGCUGCUCGUCCUUGAGGCGGGCGUGCUGCUCCACCACCCGGCUGCAUGUAGAUCCUAGCUGGACUAGCACGCCGUGAUCGCACCACAGACGGAGGUCAAGGGCAGAGGCAUGUUGCCGCAAACGCGUGGUCAGGUUCGUCCUCAACAUCCACCCCAAACGCGUGGGGGUUCAGCGGCGGCUGGAACGAGUAGACUGAUAUGAAGGUUGGAGCUGUUGUCGGCGUCGGCGAGCAACUGCCGCGGAUCAAAGUGGAAGAACAUCCACCACGCCGGCGCGCGGUCUUCGGGAACCCUAAUGGUUGCACUCCCGGUCGCGAUCCAUUUUCGUACAUGCCCUGCACAAGGCUUGCCAGGACGGAUCGCGGAGGAUGAGGGAGUUCCUGGCCAGAGCAAAGCCAAAAAUACAGGUGAGCAAUUCAUUCAGGAAACGAAUUUAAUCUGAUGCUGCACUGCUGCUCGCUAUGGUACUUGAUUUCCUUUUCACUAUGACACUAUCCUAGCUGAAUGAGACGAAUUACAAGAAGACUGAGUUUAAACAUAAGGUAUCUGAUUGUCAUUCUACUAAUGAAGAGAGUGAAUUAAAAAAAACUAAGGAACAUCAUCGAUUAACUUGCUUCCUCUAGCUCUGAUGUUGUACUGCGGAUUAUGAGAAGGAGGCAAAUAAAAAAGCUGGUGAAAGGAAGUAGUAGCUCAACAGGUGAUCCAUGUGUGUGUUCUGCAUUUUUUUCUUUCAUUCUUCUAUUCGCUGCUCCUAAACAAAAUAGAACGUUUCUGCAUGAAUCAAUUUAAGCCCCCAACGCAGCAUCAUCUAAUUUCUCAUUACAGUUUUAACAACAUGAGAUUGCCCUGGAACUUCAAAGAGGACCUUUUGUGACGUCAUUUUUGUUUCUUGUGCUGAUCAUAUAGGUAGACUAUAGAGAGGAUCAGACACAACCAUGGCAUGAAAUAAAAGCCGCUAAACCCAAGGUAACCUUCAGAGAUCUAAAUUAUAUUUGUCAGAAAUUUUCUAAAUAAAUAUACUGAAUUCUCACUUUGAUCCUAUUUGCAGUGUCUAUUUGUAGCUUUUCCGUUUAAUUGAUGCAAUAUUUUUUUUCCUUUGAUUAAGAGUGAUCCACGGCUGAAGAAUGUUCGUGGCUAAAAAAAAUCUUGAUUUAUAGCUGCUUAUAUGCAGCCAAACUCACAUUAAAUUUUAGAUUCAGUAAAAAUUGUUUAUGCUUACCAUAGGUUAGCAUUUUUAACCAAAUGAACCCAAGAAAUGUCAGUACAAUAUUGCUACGGUUUUCUAGACUGUUUAUGCUUACCAUAGGUUAGCAUUUUUAACUAAAGGAACCAGUAAAAACUCAAAGAUCUAGUCUGAGCACCUACUCAAUGUCUACGCCAAGAGAUACGCCUAAUGUAUUGAGUGACGUCACUAACGUCGCAGGUAUGAUUUCAAUCUGGAUUUAUAUAGUAUGGAGUACUUUGGGGGUGUAUUUUUCAUUUUCUCUACAGAUGACGUCUCACAGACGAUGGACGAACGAAACUUACGGCAACAGGUGCAGCGAGCAGAGAUGUCCAAAAAAUAAAGGGAAGAAAUGAGAAGGAAACAACCGUGAGUACCAUUGUCAGUACCGAGAACGGAAGAAGUUAGAAUCGCAUAACAUUGGCGCUACCUAUUAUUUGACUGCACCUGGUACAAUUUAUUUUUUUAUAUUAGAGAUUGACAUAGUCAAACCAUCGUUGCUGGAACUAAUCACAAAUUUUGCAGGUACUAACCACAGUGCUAUGGACCAAAACUCCCUAUUUUUUGUAAACAAGGAAAAUAUCCAACCAGCUGCAGAUGGGGAUCAUAGCCAUGGUGGCAGUACCAUGACAACCAUGAUAGGAAGUAGAAUAUCUAUGGCUAGCGGUAAAUAUCAGCUACAUAAUCUGCUUUUUAUUUUUGUGAAGGAGCCAAAUUAUCUUCAUCUUUACUGUAACAAAAAAGAUAAUGCUGAUGGAUCAAAAAUCACAAAUUAUAUUGAACGAUGAUAAUACCAAAGCAAUUGCAACUGCGGAGAUCAUAGCCAUGGUGGCCUUGUCAUAGAAACCAUGAUAGAAAGUAGACUACCUUUAUGCAGCAAUAAAUGUCAAAUAUAGAACUUCAUGCUUCUUAUGUCACCAAGUUUCCUUUUUUGUUAAUAUCUCUACUACUAUGACUGACCUCAUAAAAAAAGGUACUCUACACAGAUAUUCUAACACUCACUGGAGAAAAUGAACAUGCAAGAACGAAGAGAAGAGCUGAGAUGACCAUAGAAUAGUUAGAAACAAACAUUCUUGAUUGGAAUUGAUCGUGUUUAAUAACAUUCCCCAGAGAUAGCCGUAGCGUUAGCACGGGCAUUAUACUAGUACUAGUAAGGGUUCAGGUAGUUUCAUAUAGUGGACAAGGUAGGAAUAUAUGCACCAACAGUUUCAUUCAACUCCUAUCACCUAAUGCAUCAUAUAAAGUUAUACUCUUGUUCUUUUAUAAAAAGAGAGGGUAGGAGACUUAGAAUGCUCUAGGGCUUGCCUCGAAUCUGACACAAGUCAGUUAAGUUAGCUUGCGCCAUCUUGACUACAUCCAAGUUCACAACACUUGUGUAGUCCUUCCAUCAUCCAGAUAGGUCCACCAUCAAGUCCUUCACGUGGUUCAUCUAGCGUACCUAAAUGAGAUGCAAGAUGCAAGUGUAUGAACACAUGGAAGUGCAAUAGAUAAUGCAGCACAUACAGUAAGCAAGACAAGCAUCAUGCUACUCUACACAUACAUAUGUAUUUCAUGUUGCUUAAAUAACAUAACCAACAUACUAAGAUAGAAAACAAUGCAACACCAAGCAUAUCAAGCAUGGCACACAUGUUUCACAAGAUUUCCAUCAUCAAAGGCAUGAGUCACUUAGAAACACACACAAAGUAAAGUAAUCAAGCAUUCAUGCAUUUUCAGCAAUUCUAGACAUACAAGCAGCAGCUCAGUAAAUAAAUCAUAACUAGAGUUAUACAGAUCCAAAAUCAAUGCAACAAGACAUUAUGGAAAUCUCAUAAAACUGUGUACAAUUCAUAUUUAAUCAUCUCAGCAUGAUUAGUAAGCUAACUAAGUCAAACAUGCAUAUUUACAGAAUCUGGUCUAGGAAUUCCAGAGAACAAGCAUUUUGAUAGAUAAUCUUUAUACCUUUAUAACUCACAACCAUUUAGCCAAAAGAUAUGAAACUUUAACACAAGCUAUAUAAAAGAGUUACCUACAACUUUUAUAUAGAUAAGUUUUACAGCAAACAUCAUUUCUACCAAGGAAUUAGUUGCACAAUCAAAACUGCUCAUGUUGUCCCCAAACAGUAGGGUACAAAUAAAGACAGAAAACUGAUAGGCACUUCAAGCAAGCAUAAAUGGAGUUACUGUUGGGUAUUUUAAACGCAAACAGAAAAAUCCGCAAGCGCACGGAUACCAAUGUAGCUUUCACCUGGGAGUAUUCCAGAGUAUCGAUUUUCCACAGGGAACGUGAGUGUACUAAUUAAGAUUCAAGAUCGCCCAAGGAUAACUAUAUAAUUAUUUUUAGUGAGAAGAGAGGAAGUUUCCUGAGAGUUCUCUAGUUGAUCUAAGAAUCACGAAUUACUUCAAGAUUAUCUAUGUCGGCACAUCAGAACACUAACCACAGAAAGAGAUGAGAAGGGGGCUAGGAAGCUCUGACUACGGUCCUACAAACACCGAUCCGAACGAGGUGGAAUACGUCGACCGUUAGGGCUGUCACUACCCUAGGGCUACCACAACAAUUCGCAGGAUUGGGUGCAAUUCCAGGUAACUGCAAGACUAAACACCACGUCUAAUCUAUUAAUUACUACUCUAGCGUUAUAAAGACUAGAGCACUUGAUGCAAGCGGGAAUCCAAUAAAUAACUUGAAUGUAAAUAAAAGUAAUUAAAGAACUCAGGAAUUAUGAAUUGAAAAACUUGGAGAACGAUGAAGAACGAACCAGUUUCCGCAAAAGUAUAAUGUUGAAGAAGAUCCGACAGAUCCGGUGUUGACGGUGCUUAAGUACCAAAUAUAAUCAUCAAAUAAAUAAAGAAAAGGAUCCAAAUGCAACCAACACCCAGACUUAGGGUUUUAUCUGACAGAAUUCCACGAGUUUUGGUGUUUGUCUAUUUCUGCAGCGGGUUAUCAGGAAAUACGGAAGAAAGGCCCACACGUCGGGUUUACAUAGAGAUAUUAACGUGCCGCGCAAUUUUCUACCAUCUAGAAGACUCCAGAAGCCACGGGAAGGAAGCGGAGGCCGAACGGGGCCAGAGGCAGGGCGCCCGCCCUCCUUCCUUGGGCGCCCGCCCUGACUUGGAGUCCAAACAGGACUCUCUUCGGGGAUUACUCUCCACCGACCUAAAGGAUCAAGGAUAAUGUAGUACCACAUCGCCUACCGACCCAAAAACGCAUAGAGGAGGAGGACUAUAUAAGGAGACCCCCCUGGCCCUUGGAGAAGACAAGAAGUUAUCAUAGAGAUUGAGGGGUGCCCUCGAAGGAAAACCUCUUCUCUAAAUAAUAUUUCUUUUUAGGCUUAGCAACCAAUAUAAGUAGAAAUAGAUCUUCUAGUUUCUACUAGAUUGAGAGAGAUAGAGUGGAGGUGUAGAUCAGAGGAAGGCCGGCCUGUCGGUGUCUACUCCGAGGUUGUACCUGUGGGAUCAAGUCUUCUAACCCGAGGCUUGCUUCUAAGAUUCUUCAGUAAUUCGACUUCUAAUUCUAGUAAGUUCUUGUUUUAUUGUUCUAUGGUUUAUGAGUUUACUUUAAUCCUCUUCCGAUUGAGUAUUAGAGUAAUCAUUGCUAGCGUAAACGUGGUGUUUAGGCUAGGGUACUCAUAGAUAUCCCCUAACUAGCUGGACCGUGGUAGUAGCGAGGAACGUGACAUUUCCGAGUUACCUUUGCAUCCCAUAUCUUGUUAGCAGGACGGGUAGGUUUAUAGGUGCGGGUCGAACAUCCUUUGUGGUGUCUAGAUUCCGUAUGCUUCCCCAAUAGAAUAGUAGAUCAUCCUUACCAAGGUUAGAACGAGACUACGUCCUUACCAAGGUUAGAACGAGACUACGGUUGCAGUCUUCUCUAUACAUCACUCACAUCGAGAAACAUUCUUUGUAGCCUAAAGGGAUAGUAGCAAUAGAUUUGGUUAGUCAGUUGCACCCUUUCUCCCAGUGGUAAAAAUAUAAAUACGAUAACUCUGGAUAACCUCCCGGGUGAAAUGCUCACCGAUAUCCGUGCGCUUGCGGAUCAUUUUCUGAUUGCGUUACCAAAUAUCAACAAGCAUUUCUGGCGCCGUUGCCGGGGAGAAAGACGGUUUGUGAGAUAACUUUGAGUCUUGCUAUUGUCUUGUAUUAUACUUUGAUACUUUUAUUCUUUUAUCUUUUUAUUUUUAUUUUUAUGGAUAACUCAAAUUCCAUACCUAUUAUUGAAUUCUUUGCACCUUCGGAGACCAGCCAUAGACCAUGGGAGUCAACAUGUCCUGCCCCUAAUUAUGAUCUGUGUCCAGAGUUGAUUGCAAUAGGUCAAAACCAACCCUUUUCUAUAGCCGAGGUCCUAUCUUUUAAUCAAGAAGAUAAUGCACUUUUAGCUACACCUAGGGAAUCUGUUAAUCUUUCUAUAAAUUCUGAUUUAGACCUAGCCCUACAAGAACAUGUUUUUUCUCGAUAUUUUCACAUUGGUCUUAAUCAUAUAACCUUUGGUAGAGUCUUUCUUUCUUUAUCUAUUAGUAAAGGACGGUGUUGACACUUCUUAACGCAACCACCGGAUAUCGGCGACGGCGCCAGAAGUGCCCUCGUAGGGUAACUCUAUUUACUAUUGGAUAAUUCCGCAAGCGCACAGAAUGUACCGCUGUAGCACUUCACCAAGGAGUAUUCCAAGGUAUCGUAAUUUAUAUUUUCCCAAGGGAAAGCGGCUAAGUGUGUUUAACAAAAAGGGGAAUGAGAUUCCUUGAGUUGUCUAGUAUCAACUAGUGAAUAAGGGUGGUAAAUAACGAAUAGGAAGGGUAGUGGUGAAUCCAAGGUCCUAUGCUAAAGGUAAAUGGUAGAGUUAGCUAGGUGGGAGGACAACGAGUGAGUAAAGGACUCCUAUGUAUCUAACUUGACUUCUGUGACUUACUUUAAUAGAUAAUUGCCUUAACUACGCUAGAGCCUUACUAACUGUGUGCGAGGGAUAGCCGAGCUGGUAAGACGCUUAGAAGGUUUUUCACCUAACCCCUUACCGAAAGCGACUAUUGGGCUUAUGGACGCCUUACCUUUUAAGAACUAGCCUGUACGUGAGGAGAACCUAAUGCCGCCCACGAUCUGUCACCUACUAGGGAGUGCGCUCCUACUUUCCGUUCAAGCCAGCGGUAAUCAAAGGUAAUCUUAAGUAUGAGCACCACGCUCACACUUAAUCCUACAACUCUAACUAGUUGCAGCUAGCGAGAGCUCCUAUACAAGAUAGGACGAUGAUGCACACACAGGAGUGGUUACAGGUCACUAACUUCACUAAGACAACUAUAUUACUAAAGUAAAUGCACAACAAGACUAAAAGACUUGCACUAAGUAAGAACUCAGUAAAGUAAAGUAAGAAUAAUAUAUUAAUAAAAGGAAAGUCUUACAAAAGUAGAAAGGUACAAGAGCUAUACCAGACUCUCCAGAAGACGACUCCGGAGACCCCGAGCUUCGCUCGACUCGACUCUAACUCCCACUCUAGACUAACUACUACUCUACUUGUAUGCUUGGAACUUGUAAUGCACUUGGCCUUGGAAUUGCACACUUGAAAUGAAGGGUGGAGGCUGCCUUUUAUAGAGGGAGAUGGAGUAGGGGUUACUCCAUCGCCACGUCAUCGAUCCGCGUGACAUCUUCUCUCCACCCUUGGAUCAAACCGACCUCACAACCGCCAUUUGAUCAACGGCAGGGGCAAAUCAACAUGUGGGACAUGUGGGGAAGGUCGGUGGGAGGCCACCGACCCUGGAACCGCCUUUGAUGUGGGGUCGGGCGACCCCACUUCUGGGCCUCUGGACCCACCAGCAGUGUCCACAGGAGUCCCUUAUGUCGGUGGACUAGGUGGCACACCUGGGUCCCACCAAAGAGGGGUCGGGCGACCCCCUCCCUGUGGGCCCAGGGUGUCACCUGUUGUCCCCUUGAUCUCCUCUUGAUGAUUCUGAUGUUGGCUUUGUCAAAUAAUGUCUUGAAUUUGUUGUUCCUGCAUAAACAAGCUAAGAGUACAAGUGGAACUAGUUAUGGAUAAAAUAUGUUCAUGUCAUGUCAUUUCCCCUUGCAACCGAGGCAUGUUGACGGUGUUUUGUAUGUGAAUUUCUAUGGUAUAUCCACCGUCAACAGAAGGUAUGUCUUCAUUCGUGGACAUCCUUCUUGUACUAGUCUUCAUAGAAAAAUCUUAGAGAUAGAGAAGGAUUCAUCUCCCAGACAAGGAAAGGAAGUUUCAAUAGCCAAUUUCCAAACAUUUCAAUCCCAUGAUUCGGCUAUCCAACCCAUCCUUGAGCUUAAUAAUUUCUACUAUGCUCUUUCUCUUGAACCUCCCGAUAAUCCUAUGAAUCUCUCUAGACGUCCCAUGCAUAAGAAGGAGGAUCGAGAAGAGCAACAUCAAUGGCUAGAGGGCAUUAAAAAUCCAUGUGCUAUCACCACAUUAGAGAUCUCCAAACCCCUCUUCCUUUCUAUUUAUAAAAAUUUAAAAGGGCGGUUGUCGAUGCAUAUGUAUAUAAUAAAUAUUACAGAUCUCGUUGAGUUGAUUGAUGGUUUCCCAAGGACAAGCUUAGUGUCCUAAAACAAGCACUUAUCAGAUCGUAACAUGAACUUCUAAUUAUUUGCAACACUGCCUUGUGUAUUGAGCAUAUAAAGAUAAUUGUAGAAAUAUUCCUUCGGGUAUUCGUAUCACUAACCUUUCUAGGAUUGGAGCAAGAAGAUCCGAGGAAUGACAAGCACAAGGUAUGUCCAACCAAUCAUCAUGCAACAUUGAAUUAAAUUCAUCCAAUCUUGAAUUUUGCAUAAUUCAAGCUUGGGGGAGUACUUUACAUAAAAACACCUUUUUCCAUGUUGCUAUGUUGGUUGUCCUUACCUUUGAGACAUGCUCAAUUUGUUAAAUACUAAUCACACUACUUCAUCUCCACUUAAGUAGAUCUCUAUAAAAGCCAUCAUGUUACCUAUGUUUAUCCUAGUAAGUGUUAGUUUGGAAGUACUGUACAUACUUCUAUUGGCUUUUAAAUUAAGCGUGGUGCUUAGGUUAAAUAGCCUUCCUUAAUCUGAUUAGACAUGGAGUCUAGUUUGGUUACUGAACUAAAAACUGCUUGAGUAGGCAUUGGUAUAUUUUGUCAGACUAACCCCUACAGGAAAACUUUAAAUAUCAACCUGGGAAGUCCUGAGAUACAAACUAAUUGGAGAUAAAGGAGACACACGAAGUUUAACAAUUUGCACAAGAAAGACAUAGCUCAUUCAUGAUCUAUGGAGGGUGCCACAAACACGAUGUACAACCGCUAAGAAAGGAAAGCUUCCACAAGGUGAUACUAUACCAUCACUCUUCAAGUAAGGUAACAUCUUAAGGUACUUGACUAUCGCUUUUAUAAGCUUCUCCUUGGUUCUAGCAUUCACAUAAAUAAAGAGACAAACAUGUACGAUUUAUAACUCCAGAUUAACCAACUCAAUUAAUUCAACAUGUUUAGUCCUUUAAUCUUUGUUCUUAGUACUACGUUCGUGAUCCCACACUCCUAAUCACAUAAGCUAAAAUGUUGCACAUUCAAUCUUUGGAAGAUAUAAACAAAACAUAAAUAUAGAUAGAUUAUCUUUCCAUUAGGUUGAGCCACCUGAUCUGACAAAUGCUACACUCAUGAUCCAUCAACUUUGUCUUGCUCAUUAUGCUUAAGGUUAGAGAAGAACAAAUACACUUUUGGUUCUGUUGGUGUUUUCCACCAAUAGGGCCCAUGCACUUGAUCUCUGCCUUGUCUCUAUGAAUAGGUACACUUCAAACAAAACAUGGAGGAGUUUUACAACUCUCAGACUCCACCAAGUGAAGGACUUGGAUCUAUGAGCACAAACACACUGAGCAGGAUAUUGCCAACACCGCACUUCAAACUGCUGGGCAAACAAAGAACAUAGGUGACUCCGUAUCAAGAGGUGCAGACGUCAAGGUCCACACCCAAUCAAAUGAUGCACCUAAAGGAUGAAGACAGUGAGAAGUCUUGUCUAGAAGACUUAAAACAUUGGAUCCUUGUCGGAGGAGGUCAAGAUCGUCGACUCAAGUCGCCUUUACUGAUCAAGAAGGACGACCCUAGUGUUCCAAACAUCGAGUGCACAAUCAAUGGAUACUCUUUUCAGAAGACACUCUACGACACCGGAUCUAACGACAACAUAAUGGCCGCAGUCACUUAUCAGCUCCUGCAUGGAACCAUGCCCCUACAACCAAUAUAUAUUCAGCUCCAGAUGAUUUUUAGGUCAUUGACAUGGGAGAAGACGAGUGCGAUCCACCCAUCAUCCUUGGAAGACCGUUCCUCAACACUAUCAAAGUUAUCAUCUAUAUUGGAACCGAAGAAGUCCACAUGCACUUCCCCUCUGAGAAGGUACGCCACUACUUUAAUGAUUCUAACUAUAUAGUUGAAGAUUCUAAGCAGAUCAGGAUGAGAAGAAGGCGACAAAACCGAAACCAGAGGAGGCAAAUCAUCAAGGACGGAUGGGCAGACUACGAAGGAGAAGUAGUAAGGUCUGAAGACAUACAGCUUGAACAAAACUGUCCUGAGGAGACCGUAGCAUCGAGUCAGGUGUGGAGAGAGAAGAUAGUUAUACACGAAGAGGAGGCACCGCCGGAACCACCGACUACGCCAUCCAGCGAAUCCCAGGACGACUGAGAAAACGGAGAGUCCCGUUCGGAGGACUUAAAAACACCGAACACCUUGCCAAGAGGUAAACUUGAUAGUUAUCCUUUUCCUUUCAAUUAUUCAAUUAUAGUUUGCUUAGUUAAUCAGGUUCAUGCUAUCUUGAAAAGAAAUAAAAAUGUUAAAAAUAAGCCCCAUGUGAGUAGACUUAUGGUUUAAAAACCCAUAGGUAUAUUGACCGUGGUGGCAUAAAAUAAAUAUGUUUUCAUCUUACAAUAAAACUAUAAAUAAUAAGUGCAUGAUCCUGCUAAAUAAAAUUUAUUAGGAGUAAGCUCAAUAUGAUAAAGGCAAAGAGAUUUUAUGCUAACACUUAACCAGUUCCACAAAGCUUUGUUGUCUAUUUGAGCUCCACAGAAUUCAAGGAUCAAAGAAGACUAGCAGACGAAGGACAUCCUAAUCACUGUCAGGGUACUACCGACAUUCAAAUAUACCUCCGUCACCUGCUAGCUACAUCAGAAGAAAUUACGUCAAAAUCCAGCUUGGGGGAGAGCACCCCCAUUUAUCCAACUAAGUGUUUCUACUCGCGUUUAUACUUUACUCACAUAAUAAAAGAUGCAUAAUCAUAAAAACCUAAAUAAAUAUUUUGUGCUUAUAUAUAUCUUUGCUUAGUUUGCUAAAUAAAUAAAUAAAGUUUGCUAUGAACCCUCAUGAUAAACUCUCACAUGGAAAUGAUGAAUAGUUGCUCUGCCAUGACUGGUUCUUAAAAUUGAAAUCUCUCUCAAGUUUAGGCGUAACUGUUAUAAUUUAAACCUGCUCUAAACCUGAACUUGUGGGAAGAGUAGUUGACCUAAAGUCUAAGUUGUUAACGGAUAUGAUAUGGGAAGGUUGAGCUGCUGUUUAUCUGUUCCUAGAGAUGCUAGAAUUCUGGGGAAUUUUAUCUUUGAAAAAUCUUUAAAAUAUCACAUGAUGAGUUCCUUUAUGAUGAGAGUUUAAAAUCCUACCACACUCAUAUAUACAUGCUUAUUAGACUUUGAGCCAAACAUUUACUUUUACUGCUUAUGAGCAUUGAGUGUGGACAAGCUGUGUAGACCCUUAGGAGCUUGUCAUGUGGUUAAAAUCAAGAUUCACUUGCAUGUUCACUCGUAUAUGCUGCUUCUACUCCGGAAGUACGCAUCCACAUACAUCCACUCAUUUCCAUCUCCAGAUUCACCCAAAAUUAUUCUACUCCUAAUCCGGGAGAGAAUAGCCAAAAACAUUUUCCUAUCCCUGUUAUUCCCUUUGAAAUAAAUGCUCCAGUUAUUUUGGUUACUACCACUUGCUACAAUAUUUCAGGAGAUGAGUGCUCAAAAAAAAGAGAGAGAGAAAGGUUACGAGGAAAUAAAAAGGGGCAAGUGCCCGGAACCUCGAAAGAAAAGAAAAAGUGAGACGAGAGGUAAAAAUGGACAAGUGUCCGACACUAGAAUUAGGGGUACAAGAUGCCCACCUAAGAGAAAAAGAAAAAGAAAAUAUAGAGCAUCUCAUUCUCUCCAAAAAGCUUCAAAGUGCAAGAAAGGUAUCUAUCCCCUUAAAAGAGCAAAAAUAGAAUUAGACUUUCACCAUUGUUAUCAUCAUCAUCACCAUACACCAUUCAUUCGCCACACAUGCACAUCUUGAUUUGACUUAUUGACUUGUUUCUCUGGAUCCAUGGUUUGACUAUGCAAUAAAUGUCUUGUAAGUAUGUAUUAGCUGUCUCCCACCUAUGAGCUCCAGAUAUCAAAACCUUAUUAGAGUAGGGUGAGAGAGAAGGUAAUAUCACUAUGCAUUAUACCAAAAAUACCACAUACUUUGAGAGAAGGCAUAUACCAUUACUGCCUUGGUAAGGAUCCAGAAAUACCACAAAAGAGAGAUUUGAGAGAAUCAUAUAAGGAAUCUCUGAGUUUUAUUUGAAAAUCUGCAAAAACUCCAGAGCUAUAGUUGAUCAAGAAUAAGAGACAUGGCGCUUGACUUGACCGUUCUAUCUUUUAACUGCUCAAGACGCAAGUGACGGUUACAAGCCCCAUAGUGAAAGGUAAAAUGAGUAAGUUUUAAGUCUUAACAGUUCACUCUAACUUAGAGAUGAGAUCUUACUUUUAAAGCAUGAAACCACUGCAGAAACUCUUGAGUUCAUCCUUGCUCAGGGACGAGCAAGAGGUAAGCUUGGGGGAGUUGUUGACGGUCCUUAAGUACCAAAUAUAAUCAUCAAAUAAAUAAAGAAAAGGAUCCAAAUGCAACCAACACCCAGACUUAGGGUUUUAUCGGACAGAAUUCCACGAGUUUUGGUGUUUGUCUAUUUCUGCAGGGGGUUAUCAGGAAAUACGGAAGAAAGGCCCACACAUCGGGUUUACAUAGAGAUAUUAACGUGCCGCACAAUUUUCUACCAUCUAGAAGUCUCCAGAAGCCACGGGAAGGAAGCGGAGGCCGAACGGGGCCAGAGGCAGGGCGCCCGCCCUCCUUCCUUGGGCGCCCGCCCUGACUUGGAGUCCAAACAGGACUCUCUUCGAGGAUUACUCUCCACCGACCUAAAGGAUCAAGGAUAAUGUAGUACCACAUCGCCUACCGACCCAAAAACGCAUAGAGGAGGAGGACUAUAUAAGGAGACCCCCCUGGCCCCUAGAGAAGACAAGAAGAUAUCAUAGAGAUUGAGGGGUGCCCUCGAAGGAAAACCUCUUCUCUAAAUAAUAUUUCUUUUUAGGCUUAGCAACCAAUGUAAGUAGAAAUAGAUCUUCUAGUUUCUACUAGAUUGAGAGAGAUAGAGUGGAGGUGUAGAUCGGAGGAAGGCCGGCCUGUCGGUGUCUACUCCGAGGUUGUACCUGCGGGAUCAAGUCUUCUAACCCGAGGCUUGCUCCUAAGAUUCUUCAGUAAUUCAACUUCUAAUUCUAGUAAGUUCUUGUUUUAUUGUUCUUUGGUUUAUGAGUUUACUUUAAUCCUCUUCCGGUUGAGUAUUAGAGUAAUCAUUGCUAGCGUAAACGUGGUGUUUAGGCUAGGGUACUCAUAGAUAUCCCCUGACUAGCUGGACCGUGGUAGUAGCGAGGAACGUGACAUUUACGAGUUACCUUUGCAUCCCAUAUCUUGUUAGCAGGGCAGGUAGGUUUAUAGGUGCGGGUCGAACAUCCUCUGUGGUGUCUAGAUUCCGUAAGCUUCCCCAAUAGAACAGUAGAUCAUCGUUACCAAGGUUAGAACGAGACUACGGUUGCAGUCUUCUCUAUACAUCAGUCACAUCGAGAAACAUUCUUUGUAGCCUAAAGGGAUAGUAGCAAUAGAUUUGGUUAGUCAGAUGCACCCUUUCUCCCAGUGGUAAAAAUAUAAAUACGAUAACUCUGGAUAACCUCCCGGGUGAAAUGCUCACUGAUAUCUGUGCGCUUGCGGAUCAUUUUCUGAUUGCGUUACCAAAUAUCAACAUCCGGCUCCUCCUCCGCUCUCCUCUUCUCUCUCCCUAUUUUCUAGAUUACAACUAGAACUAACUAGAACUAGAACUAGAUGAACUAGAACUAGAACUAGAACUAGAUGAACUAGAGGGAUCCUCUCUACUUGGAUGAAGAAUUAAAACCCCAACUUUGAUUCUGUAGAAGAGGUAUGAUCUCCAGGGGCCAGGGGGGCUUGCUUAUAUAGUCUUUUCAGAUGAAUCUGGGCCGUCGGAUCAAACCGACAUUAAUCGCACGGUUUUCCUUGAUCCCUUAGGUCGGUGGAGCGUGAUACGCGAAACGGGUCCGAAUUGGACACUGUAGCUGGGCGGGCGCCCUGUCCCUGAGCAUUUUUGGCUUCCCGUUCGUUCCCGUGGCUUCUAGAGUCUUCUAGAUGAUAGAAAAUUGCGCGGCACGUUAAUAUCUCUAUGUAAACCCGACGUGUGGGCCUUUCCUCCGUAUUUCUUGAUAACCCCCUACAGAAAUAGACAAACACCAAAACUCGUGGAAUUCUGUCAGAUAAAACCUAAGUCUGGGUGUUGGUUGCAUUUGGAUCCUUUUCCAUGAUUAGUUGACGGUUAAAUGCGAGCAUUAAGGACCGUCAACAAGCUCCCCCAAGCUUAACCUUUACUCGUCCCUGAGCAAAGAUGGACUCAAGAGUUUCUGCAGUGGUUUCAUGCCUUAAAGAUACACAUGCGUUCAAACAAUAUCUCAUCUCUGGGUUAGGGUAAACUGUUAAGAUUUAAACUUACUCAUUUUACCUUCCACCAUGGGGCUUGUAACCGUCACUUGUGUCUUGAGCAGUUAAAAGAUAGAACGGUCUAGUCAAGCGCCAUGUCUCUUGUUCUUUGAUUAACUAUAGCUCUAGAGUUUUUGCAGAUUUUCAAAUAAAACUCAAAGAUUCCUUGUAUGACUCUCUCUAGUCUCUCUUUUGUGGUAUUUCUAGAUCCUUACCAAGGCAGUAAUGGUGUAUGCCUUCUCUCAAAGUAUGUGGUAUUUUUGGUAUGAGGCAUAGUGGCAUUGCCUUCUCUCUCACCCUACUCUAAUAAGGUUUUGAUAUCUAGAGCUCAUAGGUGGGAGACAGCUAAUACAUACUUACAAGACAUUUAUUGCAUAGUCAAACCACGGAUCCAAAAGAACAAGUCAAUAAGUCAAAUCAAGAUGUGCAUGUGUGGUGAAUGAAUGGUGUAUGGUGAUGAUGGUGAUAACAAUGGUGAAAGUCUAAUUCUACUUAUGCUCUUUUGAGGGGAUACAUACCUUUCUUGCUCUUUUGAAACUUUUUGAGGAGAAUGAGAUGCUCUAUAUUUUCUUUUUCCUUUCACUUAUGUGGGUAUCUUGUAACCCUAAUUCUACUAUCGGACACUUGUCCAUUUUUACCUCUCGUCUCACUCUUUCUUUUCUUUCGAGGUUUCGGGACUUGCCCCUUUUUAUUUCCUCGUAUUUUUCCUUUUUCUUUUUUUCUCUUCUCUUUUUUACAGCACACAUCUCCUGAAAUAAUAUAGCAAGUGGUAGUAACCAAGAUAACUCGAGCAUUUAUUUCAUAGGGAAAAAUAGGAAUAUUUUUAGCUAUUCUCUCCUGGAUUAGGAGUAGAAUAUUUUUAGGUGAUUCUGGAGAUGGAAAUGGGUGGAUAUAUGUGGAUGCGUACUUCCGGAGUAGAAGCAGCAUGUGUGAGUGAACGUGCAAGUGAAUCUUGAUUUAACCACAUGACAAGCUCCUAAGGGUCUACACAGCUUGACCACACUCAAUGCUCAUAAGUAGUAAAAAGUAAAUGUAUGGUUCAUAGUCUAGUAAGCAUGUAUAUAUGGCUGUGGUAGGAUUUUGAACUCUCAUCAUACAGGAACUCAUCAUGCAACAUUUUAAAGAUUUUCAAAGAUAAAAUUCUCCAGAAUUCUAGCAUCUCUAGGAACAGAUAAACAGUAGCUCAACCUUCCCAUAUCAUAUCUGUUAACGACUUAGACUUUAGAUCAAGUACUCUUGUCACAAGUUCAGGUUUAGAGCAAAUCUUAAUUAAUAACAGUCAUGCCUGAACUUGAGAGAGAUUUCAAUUUUGAGAAUUAGUCAUGGCAGAGCAACUAUUCAUCAUUUCCAUGUGAGAGCUUAUCAUGAGGGUUCAUAGCAAACUUUAUUUAUUUAUUUAUUUAUUUAGCAAACUAAGCAAAGAUAUAUAAGCACAAAAUCUUUAUUUGGGUUUUUAUGAUUUUGCAUCUUUUUAUUAUUUGAGUAAAAUAUAAACGUGAGUAGAACACUUAGCUAGAUAAAUGGGGGUGCUCUCCCCCAAGCUGGAUUUUGACGUAAUUUCUUCUGAUGUAACUAGCAGGUGGCGGAGGUGUAUUUGAAUGUCGACAGCACCCUGACAGCGAUUAGGAUGUCCUCCAUCUGCUAGUCUUCUUUGAUCCUUGAAUUCUGUGGAGCUCAAAUAGACAGCAAAGCUUUGUGGAACUAGUUAAGUGUUAGCAUAAAAUCUCUUAGCCGUUAUCAUGUUAAGCUUCCUCUAAUAAUUAUUACUCUCUUUGGUAGGAUCAUAAAUUUAUUUUUAUAUUUUCAUUUUUAUAGGUAAAGAAUAUAUUUAUAUUCUUUUUACGCCACCACAAUGAAUGUACUUAUGGGUUUUAUGCCAUGAGCAUACUUACAUGGGGCUUACUAUUUUUAACAUUUUUAUUUUCUUUUCAAGAUGAUAUGAACCUGAUUAAUUAAGCAAACUAUUUUAAAAUAAUUGAAAUGAAAAGGAUAACAACCAAGUUUACCUCUUGGCCAGGCGUUCGGUGUUUUUAUGUCCUCCGAACGGGACUCUCCGUUUUCUCAGUCGUCCUGGGAUUCGCUGGAUGGUGUAGUCGGUGGUUCCGGCGGCGCCUCCUCUUCGUGUAUAACUAUCUUCUCUCUCCAUACCUGACUCGGUGCUACGGUCUCCUCAGGACAGUUAUGUUCAAGUUGUAUGUCUUUAGACCUUACCACUUCUCCUUCGUAGUCUGUCCAUCCGUCCUUGAUGAUUUGCCUCCUCUGGUUUAGGUUGCGUCGCCUUCUUUAGAGGGGAAGUGCAUGUGGACUUCUCCGGUUCCAAUAUAGAUGAUGGCUUUGAUAGUGUUGAGGAAUGGUCUUCCAAGGAUGGUGGGUGGAUCGUAGUCAUCUUCUCCUAUGUCAGUAACCUGAAAAUCUUUCGGAAUGUCUGAUCUGCCAUCUGGAGCUGAACGUAUGUCGGUUUUAGGGGCAUGGUUCCCAACAGGAGCUGAUAGGUGACUGCGGCCAUGACGCUCGUCCCGGUGUCGCAAAGCGUCUUCUGGAAGUUGUAUCCAUUAAUGGAGCACUGGAUGCUUGGCAUGCCUGGGUCAUCCGUUUUGAUCAGGAACGGUGACUUAAGUCAACGGUCUUGACCUCCUUGAACUGCAGUGACCAUCUUAGCUGACUUGGUCCACAUUUGCUUGUUCCUGUUCCUCCUGUUGGUCCUUUACUUGGUUCAUGUCGGGAUUGCUCUGAGAUUUGUGUAGUCCUGUUCUUGAAGGAAAAUGUCUCCUUCCUUCCCUUGAUGUAAAAACUGAUCUUGGCAGUACUAGCGUAGAUGACACCUCCUGAGGUGUUCAGGAAUGGCCUCCCUAGGAUGAUGGGUGCCCUAUCAUCAGUACCAGUCUCGAUCACCACGAAGUCUGCUGAGGCGUACAAGGUACCAAAUCGGACGCUGAGGUUCUUCAAUAUUCCCUUUGGGAAACUUAGUGUCCGAUCUGCAAGCUUCAAACACAUGGUUGUUUCUAGUAAAGGAUGUGUAAAGAAUUUUUCAUAGAGUACCCUGGGCAUAAUGAUGACACUGGAGCCAAAGUCGCAGAGUGCUUCUAGGAUGUCCACCAUGCCGAUGGAGAUCGGGAUGACGGGGCGUCCUGGAUCGCCUCUCUUGACCGACAGAAGGUCAGUAAUUACUUCCACAACAGGGUUACUCUAGUAGUUACCUGCAUCAAACAUGUCUACAAGAUUUGCAUAUUCUAAUCCUUCUGGUUGUGAUGGUAUACCGGGGUUAGUAGCAGGAACAGCAACAACUAUCUGAUUUAACUAAGAUUCAAUCAUUUCAUUUAAGCUAAUUUGAUUCUUGAUGGCAGUAGAGAAAUUAUCCAUUCUAUUAUUUAUAUUUUCUAACAUUUUAUCAUUAGAUGCCAAUUUCUUAGAUAGGUUAUCCAUUAGCUUUCCUUGAUUAGACACUAACUUUCUCAGAGGUAGAAAAUUAUUAUUAUUACUGUAAGAAUUAUUACCUUGAUAAUUACCUGAGUAGUUAGGCCUGUGUUGAUUCCAACUUUGAUUUUGUUGAGGACGGUUGUAGUAGUAGUAGUUGUUGUUGUUGAUGUAGUUUACGUCCUCAAGCAUCUCAGGGCAGUGAUUGCGUGAGUGUCCAGUGUCUCCUGUGUGUUUGUGCUCGUAGAUCAGGUUUUUCACUUGGUGGAGUUUGGGAGUUGUAAAACUCCUUCAUAUUUUUCUCGAAGUGUACCUACUCAUAGAGACAAGGCAGAGAUCAAGUGCAUGGGCCCUGUUGGUGGAAAACACCAACAGAACCAAAAGUGUAUUUGUUCUCUCUAACCUUAAGCAUACUGAGCAAGACAAAGUUGAUGGAUAAUAAAAUCAUGAGUGUAGCAUUUAAAACAUUUGUCAGAUCAGAUCACUCAACCUAAUAGAAAGAUAAUCUAUCUAUACUUAUGUUUUUUUAUAUAUAUAUCUUUCAAAGAUUGAGUGUGCAACAUUUUAGUUCAUAUGAUUAGGAGUGUGGGAUCACAAAGGUGGAAGGACUAAACAUAUUGAAUCGACUGGGUUGGUUAAUCUAGAGUUGUAAAUCAUACAUGUUUGUCUCUUUUAUUCAUGUGAACGCGAGAACCAAGGAGAAACUUAUAAAAGUGAUAGUCAAGUACCUUAAGAUGUUACCUUACUUGAAGAUUUAUGGUACAGUAUCACCUUGUGGAAGCUUUCCUUUCUUAGCGGUUGUGCAUCGUGUUUGUGGCACCCUCCAUGGAUCAUCUCUUGUGGGCUAUGCCUUCCUUGUGUAAAUUGUUAAACUUCAUGUGUCUCUCUCUUUGUCUCCAAUGUGAUUUUAUCUUAGGACUUCCCAGGUCGAUAUUGAAAGUUUUCCUACAGGGGUUAGUCCAACAAAAUAUCCAAUAUCUACUAUAGCAUACUAUCGGCUCAAAGAUCAACCUAGACACUAUUCACGGUCCUUAAGUAUCAAAUUUAAUUAUCAAAUAAAUAAAAAAAAGGAUCCAAAUGAAAUCAACAUCUAGACUUAGGGUUUUAUCUGAUAGAAUUCCACGAGUUUUGGUGUUUGUCUAUUUCUACAGGGGGUUAUCAGGAAAUACGGAAGAAAGGCCCACACGUGGGAUUACAUACAGAUAUUAACGUGCCGUGCAAUUAUCUUACAUCUAGAAGAUUCCAGAAGCCACAGGAAGGAAACGGAGGCCGAACGAGGCUAGGCACUGGGCGCCCGCCUAGUUGACCUGGGCGCCCGCGCCCUCACAGAGUUGGAUCAGGACUCUCUUUCUGGAAAGAUCUCCACCGACCUAAAGGAUCAAGGAUAACCAUUCAAUCAAUGUCGGUUUGAUCCAACGACCCAUAUUCACUUGGAGGGACUAUAAAACCAGACCCCCUGGCCCCUGGAGGAGAGAGCCUCUCAACCCUAAUUCAUUAUUCUCAAGGGAAAAGAAGCCUCUGAUCAAGCCUAGAGCCACCACAUCAAUUAGACAUCUAGAUUAGCAUAGCUACAUAGGAUUAGAACUAGAAGGAGUCAAUCUUCGAUUGGUUUCCGGAUCUUUCAAGAGGAUUCUUGGUAAUUCUCUAAUUGUUCUUCUAAUCAUCUUUGUUCUUCAAUAUUAUGAAUAUGAGUUUAUUCUACUUCAAUAUAUUGCUUAUGACUUUGCUCUACUUGUUUAUAUUCAAGAUUAUAUUGUUCUUAGUUUAUCAUAGUUACGUACUUGGCUUAGUUAGAUUUGAUCUAUAUACAUGUUUAGGAUCGUAUAGAGAUUAUCCAUCAGAUCCAUGGGUAAAUGAUAGAUAUUGUGUAGGUGGUGCUUAUACUAUAUUUAUUUGCGAUUGUACCCAAUAUGCCAGAUCGUGAGGUAGUUCGUGAUAGUGACAACUUCAUUGAUUCUUAUAUAGUCCCCCUCUCGUGUAUUGGGCUGGCAGAGCAACAUUAUUACAGGGAAGUGAUUGCUAUGUUUCUCAUAUUCCUUGCUAAUAUCACUAUGCAUGGGCGUAUUCUUGUCUCACAAUGAUUGCUAAGUAUGCUUGCACUAACUAUGAUAAUGCUAGACUGUAUAGUUGAGAAUAACUUAGAAAAUAUUCUAGUAGUUCGUUCUAAUACCAGGCUAAUGACUUUCUAGAGUAUCUAAUUGAGGUGCUUAUCAUAUUUAUUAUGUGGCUAAGUUAUGCUGAUCAGAUUAAUUAUCUUUGUCACUAUUGAUUACUUCAUAUAUCUUUUAUGUGACAGUUACCCCUGUAUGAAAGAGUUAGAUAAAUAAUCUCAAUUAUACAUGCAAUGAUAGAUGCUCAAUCUCAUAUUCUAUUCUAUAAUCAACAUUGAUGGUUACUAAUCCCUUCCCAGUGGUAAAAAUAUAAAUAACGAUACCUGGAAUACUUCCCGGUUAAAAUGCUACAUCGGUAUUAAUCUGUGCGCUUGCAGAUCCCAUUCAUUAUUUAUUUAGAAGAGCAAUUGCAUAUUUCAAUACUGCGUCUCUCAUGUCAUGCUGGGGAUGACAACUUGGCUUAAGUGGUAUGAGGGAUAGGUUUGGCAUUUUUGGCACCGUUACUAGAAUUAGAAAACUUUCUACUUUUGGUAAUGAAGUUAAGAAUACCCAACAAGCAUUUUUGGCGCCGUUGCCGGGGAAGGUUGAUUACUAAUCAGGAAUGAAUAUAGGAUUUUGAGUUAUCAUUCGCAUCACUAAUAUGAUUGAGCUUAUCUAUUCUCUCAUACAGUUUUACCCCGAUAUUUUUCUGUUUUAUCUUAUGCAGGGGAAUGUAUGAAUAGAAGACAUCUUCCAGGAAAUUUUGUUGACAAUCCCGAAGCAUUAUUUAGAAAAACAAGAGCCAAGCUCAAGAAGAGAUCAUCAACACUUCAGCAAGAAGCUUCAUCCAAUCAAGAAGAUCACCGGAACUUGUCUUCAGAGUUCGAAGCCACGGCGAACAAAUCAAUCCGCGAGUUCUCAGCUCUCACUACGGACAACAUCCGCACUGGACCUGCUGCAGAGAUCGAUGGCAACUUUGAGCUCAAUCCUGGACAUAUCAACAUGGUGCAAUCCAACCAGUUCUGUGGGAAGGCACAUGAAGAUGCUAGUGCUCAUCUCCAACACUUCCUGGAGAUUUGCAGCACAUUGACCAUAUCAGGAGUCCCCAAAGAUGCUAUAUUACUUCACCCCUUUCCAUUCUCACUGUUAGGAAGAGCGAAGCAGUGGUUCUACGCUACAAAGGAGAAGAAUACUACGUGGGCACUCUGCUCCAUGAACUUUCUAGCUAAGUUCUUUCCCAUGGGCAAGACCAAUGCUCUCCGUGGGAAGAUUACAAGUUUUCAACAACAACAUGAUGAAUCUGUUCCAGAAGCAUGGGAGGGUUUCCAAGACUACAUCCUAGAAUGUCCCCAUCAUGGAAUAGAGAGCUGGCUACUGAUGUAGACGUUUUAUCAUGGGCUCGGCAAUAGUGCCCGAGAAACCAUGGAUGCUGCAGUCGAAGGAGCAUCCCUAUCACUCAGCAUAUCACAAGCCACAGCUCUUGUGGAGAAGAUGGCGUCCAACCAAAGCUGGAAUGAAGAGAGGACCCAGACACGCAAGAGAGGUGGAGGUAUGCAUCAGCUCAAGGGGGUAGACAUGUUGUCUACAAAGCUAGACCUACUCAUGAAGAAGCUCGAUGAUAGAGCUAGAGACAAGAAAGAAGUUAUGCACAUCAACGACUCUCACAUGACUUGUGAGGAGUGUGGAGACACUGUACACUCAGGCAAUCACUGCCCUGAGAUGCUUGAGGAUGUGAACUAUAUCAACAACAACUACUACUACUACAACCGUCGUCAACAAAAUCAAGGUUGGAAUCAAUAGAGGCCUAACUACUCAGGUAAUUAUCAAGGUAACAAUUCUUAAAACAAUAAUAAUAAUUUUCCACCUCUGAGAGAGUUAGUGUCUAAUCAAGGAAAGCUAAUGGAUAACCUAUCUAAGAAAUUGACAUCUAAUGAUAAAAUGCUAGAAAAUAUAAAUAAUAGAAUGGAUAAUUUCUCUACUGCCAUCAAGAAUCAAAUUAGCUUUAAUAAAAUGAUUGAAUCUCAGUUAAAUCAAAUAGCUGCUGCUGUUCCUGCUACUAACCCCGGUAUACCAUCACAACCGGAAGGAUUAGAAUCUACAAAUCUUGUAGACAUGUUUGAUGCAGGUAAUUAGUGGAGUAACCCCGUCACUGAAGUUACUACUGACGUUCUGCCGGUCAAGAGAGGCGAUCCGGGACGCCCCGUCAUCCUAAUCUCCAUCGGCAUGGUGGACUUCCCAGAAGCACUCUGCGACUUUGGCUCUAGUGUCAACAUUAUACCUAGGGUACUCUAUGAAAAAUUAUUUACAUAUCCUUUAUUAGAAACAACCAUGUGUUUGUAGUUUGCAGAUCAGGCAUUAAGUUUCCCAAAAGGAAUGUUGAAGAACCUUUGUGUCCAAGUUGGUACCUUGUAUGCCCCAGCAGACUUCGUGGUGAUAGAGACCGGUAAUGAUGAGAGGGCACCUAUCAUCUUAGGGAGGCCAUUCUUAAACACCUCGGGAGCUAUCAUCUACGCUAGUGCUGCCAAGAUCAGUUUCUACAUCAAAGGGAAGAAGGAGACGUUUUCCUUCAAGAACAAGACUACACAAAUCCCAGAUCAAUCCAGAUGUGAACCAAGGAAGAGGACCAACAGGAGGAACAUGAACAAGCAAGUGUGGACCGAGUCAGCUAAGAUGGUCACUAUAGUUCAUGGAGGCCAAGAUCAUCAACUUAAGUCACCAUUUUUGACCAAGAAGGAUGACCCAGGAAUGCUAAGCAUCUAUUGCUCCAUAAAUGGAUACAACUUCUACAAGACGACUUACGACACAGGAUCGGGCCUCAACAUAAUGGCCGCAGUCACCUAUCGGCUCUUGUUCGGAACCAUGCCCCUAAAACCAAUAUACAUUCAGCUCCAGAUGGCGGAUCAGACAUUUCGAUAAGUCAAAGGAAAAGUGACUGAUGUCCCAGUCAAAAUAGACGAUCAUUUUGUCUACACAGACUUUCAGGUUAUUGACAUGGGAGAAGACGAAUACGAUCCACCCAUCAUCCUUGGAAGACCGUUCCUCAGCACCGUUAAAGCAAUCAUCUACAUUGGAACUGGAGAAGUCCAUAUGCACUUCCCCUCAGAGAAGGUACGCCGCUAUUUUACUGACUCUAACUAUAUCGUUGAAGACUCUAAGCAGGUCAGAAAACGACGCAACCACAACCAGAGGAGGCAAAUCAUCAAGGAUGGAUGGGCAGACUAUGAAGGAGAAGUGGUAAGGUCUAAAGACAUACAGUUUAAACAGAAUUAUCCAGAGGAGACCGUAGCACCAAGUCAGGAAUGGAAAGAGAAGAUAACUAUACAUGAAGAGGAGGCGCCGCCGGAAGUACCGACUCCGCCACCCAACGAAUCCCACGACAACUAGAAAACGGAGAGUCCCGUUCGGAAGACUUAAAAACAUCGAACGCCUUGCCAAGAGGUAAACUUGGUAGUUAUCCUUUCCCUUUCAAUCAUUUAAACAGUUUGCUUAGUUAAUCGUGUUUAUACCAUCUUAAAAAAGAAAAUAAAAAUGUUAAAAAACAAUAAGCCCCAUGUGAGUAUACGAGUGGCAUAAAACCAAUAAGUACAUUCACUGUGGUGGCAUAAAAAUAAAAUAAAUAUUUCUUUUUCUGCUUUAUAAAAUGAAAAUAAAAAAAUAGGGAGUAAUAUUUAUUAAGGAGUCUCAACAUGAUGAAGGCUAGAUAUUUAUGCUAACACUUAAUCAGUUCCACAAAGCUUUGUUGUCUAUUUGAGCUCCACAGAAUUAAAGAAUCAAGAAGACUAGCAGACAGAGGACAUUCUAAUCGCUGUCAGGAUACUGCCGACUUUCAAAUACACCUCUGCCACCUGCUAGCUAUAUCAAGGGAAAUUACGUCAAAAUUCAGGUUGGGGGAGAGCACCCCCAUUUAUCCAGCUAAGUAUUUCUAUCUAUCUUUAUACUUUUACUAUAUUAAAUAUACAUAACUAUGGAAAACCAAAUAAAGAUUUUAUGCUUAUAUAUAUAUACAUAUAUCUUUUGCUUAGUUUAAUAAAUAAAUAAAGUAGCUAUGCUAAUCUGAAUCUUAAUAAUAAAACUCUAGCAUGGAUAUGAUGAAUAGUUGCUCUGCCUAGUGUAGAUGGCAAUUAUUGUGUCAUCCUAAACGAUCACUUGGUGUGCCUUGUGUAGAUGGCUCGCAAUACUCGGUCCGGCCAUAAUGAGGUGCCGCCACCUCCACCUCCUCCCUCGCCAACGCCUGCUGAGCUCAUAGCAACUCUUGUUGAGGGCCAGCGGAUGCUAAAUGAAGUUAUGCAAACCAUGGCAUAUAUAGCAGAACCGGGGUGGUCGCCAUGCCCGCCAAGGCGGAGAAGCGAAUCAGUACAGUAAUUUCAAGGAUUUCCAGGACACCAAGCCGCCAGUUUUCAAGGAGGCUUCUGAACCUCUGGAAGCCGAUGAAUGGCUCAACACUCUCGAGUAGAAAUUCCGUUUGUUGAGGGUGACUGAGAAACUGAAGACGGAAUUUGCAACACAUCAAUUGGAGGGCCAAGCAAGUGUCUGGUGGAGCCAUUAUAGGACCAGCUUGCCUACCAAUGCUGUUGUAACCUGGGACCAGUUCAAAACUGCUUUCAGGGACAUUUAUAUUCCACAGGGCUAAAUGACCAUCAAGCAUACCGAGUUCAUGGACCUGACUCAGGGCACUAAAAGUUUGACUGAGUAUCUUCAUGCUUUCAGUAACUUGUCUCGCUAUGCUACUGAGUUUGUUGACACCGAUGCUAAGAAGCUUGCUAGUUUCAAGAGAGGACUUCGGCCCAAGCUGUCCAAGAAUAUGGCUGGUAACAAGAGUACCAUGUUUAAUGAGUUUGUAAGUGAUGCUUUGACCCAGGAGAACUCCAAUGCUAUUUAUGCUGCAUCCAAGAACCACAAGAGGGCCUAUGAAACAGGUGCUUCGCAGUCCAAGGCCCUGGUGACAAGUAAGCCGACCUAUCGCCCACCCAAUGCUGUGACAAGGUACAGGUCGCCACAGAAGAAGUCAAAUGUGAAGACAGGAGUUCGCAAGUCCUUCACGGUUGCUCUUCCUCGAGGUGCUACCGGUCAAGGGAGCCCCAAAACUCCCCCUGAUAACCGUCCCCGCUUCAAUUGCAAACAAGUCGGUCACUGGGCAAGGGAUUGCCCUUAUCCUAAGAGGACUUCUGCAGCUGGGGUUAAUACUUGUACCGGCCGUGUGCACUAUACCACCAUUGAACAAAACCCCGGAGGUGAAGUGGUUAUGGCUGGUAUGUUUCUUGUCAAUCAACACCCUGCAGUUGUCUUGUUUGAUUCUGGCGCUUCGCAUUCAUUUAUGAGUCAAGCAUUCGCAUCUAAGCAUGGAUAGCAUGUAGUUGAUCUUGACAAAGGCAAAUUUUGCAUUAGUGCUGCUAGUAAUCAAAUCUCUACAAAUCAAAUAGUGAGAGGGAUGUACAUAUUGCCAUUCAAGGGCGUAAUUAUUCAGUAAAUCUGGUGAUUUUGCCAGGCUUGGGAAUAGAUGUUAUUCUAGGAAUGAAGUGGAUGAGUGACCAUGGAGUGCUAAUAGAUACCUCAACAAGGGUAAUCAUGUUGAGGGAGCCUGAAAGUAAAGAAGCUUUCUUAGUUCAACUUCCUAGAAGCGACGACAUCCGUCAUGCUGCAAAUGCUAUCAGACCACUCACUAUUUCAGAGAUUCCUGUAGUUUGUGAGUUCCCAGAUGUCUUUCUAGAGGAUCUGCCCAGGUUGCCUCCGGACAGAGACAUAGAGUUUAAAAUUGAUCUAAUUCCGGGUACCGCACCUAUCUCUAGAAGGCCAUAUCGAAUGCCACCCAACGAAUUGGCAGAAUUGAAGAAGCAGUUGCAAGAACUCCUGGAGAAAGGUCUUAUUUGGCCUAGUUCUUCUCCAUGGGGUUGUCCGGCCCUCUUUGUCAAGAAGAAGGACAAGUCUCUACGUAUGUGUGUAGACUAUCGUCCGCUACAUGCCGUGACUAUCAAGAACAAUUAUCCCCUGCCCCGUAUUGAUAUUCUAUUCGACUAAUUAGCCAAGGCUAAGGUAUUCUCGAAGAUUGAUUUGAGAUCUGGAUAUCAUCAAAUCAAGAUCCGACCUGAAGACAAUCCUAAAACAGCUUUCUCUACUAGGUAUGGGUUAUAUGAGUAUCUAGUCAUGUCCUUUGGUCUGACUAGUGCCCCUGCUCAUUUUAUGUACCUGAUGAAUUUGGUGUUCAUGCCUGAACUGGAUAAGUUUGUGGUGGUGUUCAUCGAUGACAUAUUGGUAUAUUCUGAAAAUGCCCAAGACCAUGAGAAGCACCUUCGGAUUGUACUCACUAGAUUGCGAGAACACCAGCUCUAUGCCAAGUUGAGCAAGUGUGAGUUCUAGCUAAAGAAAGUGCCUUUUCUAGGCCAUAUUUUAUCCGAAGAUGGUAUUUCUGUUGACCCGUCAAAGGUACAAGAGGUUCUAGACUGGAACGCCCCGACUUCAGUGCAUGAGGUUUGGUGUUUUCUCGGUCUAGCGAGAUAUUAUCGUCGCUUUAUUCCAGACUUCUCUAAAAUAGCUAAGCCUGUGACCAAGCUACUGCAAAAAGAUGUGAAGUUUGUGUGGUCUCAAGAGUGUGAGGUCGCUUUCACUACUUUAUGCCAUUUGCUGACCACUACUCCUGUUUUGGCACAGCAUGACAUUGAAAAGCCAUUUGAUGUCUUUUGUGAUGCAUCCGGCACUGGCUUAGGUUGUGUACUUAUGCAAGAAGGCCGAGUCAUUGCCUAUGCCUCUCGGCAGCUAAGGAAGCAUGAAGUUAACUACCCAACUCAUGAUCUAGAGUUAGCGGCCGUGUGCAUGCAUUGAAACUCUAGAGGCAUUAUCUAUUGGGUAAUCUGUGUCACAUUUAUACUAACCACAAGAGCCUCAAAUGUAUCUUCACUCAGCCCGAGCUAAACAGGAGACAACGAAGGUGGUUAGAGUUGAUCAAGGAUUAUAAUCUUGAAGUGCACUAUCAUCCAGGCAAGGCCAAUGUUGUAGCAGAUGCCCUUAGCCGAAAGCAACAUGUUGAACCUCUCCUAGAGGAAGGUUUCAAUCUAUUGCAUCCUGUGGUCCUGCACAACAUCGUAGUCAGUUAUUCUUUAGAAAGUCAAAUUGUAGAACUCCAAAAGACUGACCCGGGUAUCUUCCACAUCAAGAGAAAGAUGCAAGAACAAGACACCAAGCAUUUCAGGGUAGAUGAGAAAGGUGUACUGUGGUUUGAUGAUCGACUUGUAGUACCCAAAGACCGUGACCUACGCAACAAAAUCUUAGAUGACGCUCACUCCUCCAAGCUAUCCAUUCAUCCUGGUAGUAGCAAAAUGUAUCAAGACUUGAAACCUCGUUUUUGGUGGACCAAGAUGAAGAAGGAGAUAGCAGCUUAUGUUGCUAGGUGCGAUACCUGCUGCAGGGUAAAGGCAAUUCUCCUUAAGCCUACAGGAUUGUUGCAACCUUUGUCGAUUCCGGGUUGGAAGUGGGAAGAAAUCAGCAUGGAUUUCAUUGUUGGGCUUCCCCUAAUCAAAAAGGUUACAAUUCCAUAUGGGUGAUUGUUGAUCGCUUGACCAAGUCAGCUCAUUUCAUUCCAGUACAAUCUACAUACCGACCAUCCGACUAUGCUGAGUGUUGACGGUCCUUAAGUACCAAAUAUAAUCAUCAAAUAAAUAACGAAAAGGAUUCAAAUACAACCAACACCCAGACUUAGGGGUUUAUCUGACAGAAUUCUACGAGUUUUGGUGUUUGUCUAUUUCUGCAGGGGGUUAUCCGGAAAUAUGAAGGAAAGGCCCACAUGUCAGGUUUACAUAGUAAUGUGUGCGCCAAUUUUCUAUCAUCUAGAAGACUCCAGAAGCCACAGGAACGAACGGGAAGCCGAGCGGGCCCGGGGGCAGGGCGCCCGCCCUCCCCCUUGGGCGCCUGCCCUAUCAUCUGCACCAAUCAGGCUCUGCCUCGCGGAUUAUGCUCCACCGACCUAAUGGAUCAAGGAAAACCGUGUGAUUAAGGUCGGUUUGAUCCGACGGCCCACAUUCAUUUGGAAGGGCUAUAUAAGCAGGCCCCCUGGCCCCUGCAGGAGGCACCUCUUCGAUCCCAAUUCAUUAUUCACAGACAGAGCAAAAGCUAGGGUUUGGAGAUGAGAGCUCUCCUCUCUUCUCUAAACUAGAGUAAAUCUAGAUAGUAGCGAGAUAGAGAGCAAGGGAGGAUUGGAGGAGAGGCCGGCCUAUCGGUUCUUCCUCCGGUUGUACUUUGCCAUGAUCAAGCUCUAAUCAAGCUUGCUCAUGAGGUGACUCUGGUAAUCUACUUCUAUUUCAUUAUGCAAUUACUAUCCAUGUAUGUUCUGGUUCAUAACUCUUUUUGAGUACUUUAAUCUAUAGGACGCUAUAGGUGAGAAUUGUAGUAUAGGUGUAAGCGUGGUGCUUAGACCUAGAUUACUUGUGGAUAUCCCCUGUCUAGCCGGAUCGUGUGGUAGGCUACGUAUGUGACAGCUAUGUUGGUCCUCUGUAGUCCACCUCCCGUUAGCAGGACUGGUAGGGUUAAUCGGCCUAUGGAUAAGCAUCCUUUGUGGUGUAUUGUUAUCACGUGGUUCGUCCCAAAUAUAGACAUACCCCUUUGAAGUAGAGAAACCAUAGUUAUCCUCUCUAUUCUCCUACCAUCGCACAUAUAUUAGAUUGCUCUACUCUAUAUUCCCCCAUUAUCCUUUUACCUUUAAUAUUGUUCUUAUUCAAUUCUAACACAUUUCCUAUUUACACCCACCUGUCUGUCUUGGUUAUGUUGGAGCGUAGUUGGUUCUCCCGUUUCCCUAUGGAUACGAUAAAACCUUUAACCGGGUAAAAGCUACAACGGUAUCCGUGCGCUUGCAGAUUUAUCUGUGUGCGUAUAAAUACAAUAGUACACUCUAGUGCCAUGCUGAGGAUGACAACCUAGUAUUCAAGUGGUAUUAGCAAGUGUCAACAAGCAUUUUUGGCGUCGUUGCCGGCGAAGCGGUUGCUGAGUUGACUACGAACUAGCUUAAUCAUUUUCUAAAAAACAAAAUAAAAAAUAUAUAUUUUUUCCUUUUAUCCUUUGCCUCAUCUCUGCUAUUCUUUCUUCUUAUCUAAUCCUUGAUCUCUGGUCUAUCAUGAAGGAAAACAUGUCUAUCUAUCGGUUUAAUAGACCUACGGGCACACAUCUCGAACCACCAAUAUCUUCAAAGCCUAUCAUGACAUCUAGUUUUGAGAUAAGCCCGGAAUACAUAGAAUUUCUUCAAAAACAACCUGUCUUAGGAGAAGGUGAGGAAAACCCAUACACACACCUAAGAGAGUUUUAUCGAGUCUGUGACCUCCUUUGCAUUGAAGGCAUGUCCGAUGAGACCCUUAAAUGGAAGCUCUUUCUGUUCUCUUUAACGGGGAAAGCUAGACAUUGGUAUAAACUCAACAUAGGAAGUGCUCAUGGAGAUUGGAAGGAGCUAUACAAUAGUUUUCUCUCUAAAUAUUUUCUGAUCUCCAAAGUGGCGGAUCUUCAGCUUGAGAUUCUUUCUUUUAGACAAUUAGAAGAAGAAUCUCUUGGCGAAUCAUGGGACCGCUUUAUUGACCUUACUCUCACAGGCCCAAAUUUUUCUAUUCCAAGAGAAGUUCUUCUAAUUCACUUUUUUAAGGGCCUUAGUAGGGAAAAUAAACAAACACUUCAUGCGGCCUCUGGAGGAUCUUUCCACCACCUGUCCGCUAGUGAAGCUUGGAAUUUGAUUGAUUUAAUGAGCGGAAAGUCUCCUAGCAUUUAUAUCCCUGAGAAAGAGAAAGAAUCAGUUCCUAGACAAGAAGAAGAAGUUUCGAUAGCCAGAUCACAACCACUUCAAUCCCAAACUUUAGCUAUCGAUCCUAACCCAUCAAUACCCCAAAAUUUUCUAAGGGAUGAAGGAAUUCCAACCUUAAAUCUUUCAGAUGCUGAUGGUUUAGACUUCUGGUUCCAUAAGAGACCUUCAAGCAGGGAUAAUUCAAAUCCUUGCAAUAAUGGUUCUCUUAGAGAAUGUCCUGGUUCCUGUUAUGAAGAAGUCGCGGAUGACAUAUCAAGUGAAGGAGAGCUAAACCAUAUAGAAAAUUCUAUCUUCUCCCCUUCCAUGUUCACAAAUUCUAAAUCCAUCCUUGACCUUAGAGACCCCUCUUAUCCCUCUCCUUUUCAGUCUCAUGAUGAUCCUAGCAAUCCAUCAAAAUGAUCAUACCAUAGGAGUCAUAAAGACCGUGAGGAUGACAUGUUAAGUAAUGCCACAGAAGGAGAGCUAAGCCAUAUAGAAGAUUCUAUCAGCUCCCUUGUCUUGAUCACAAAUUCUAAAUGGCUGGAAUGUCUAGAAUGGAAGGACAAGGAAGAAGCCUUAAUGGAUUCUGACCUUGGCUCAAUUUCAGAUAUUGAGUCUUUAACUCCCCUUGAAUAUGAGAUUCAUCCGUCUAUAGAAGAGGACAUAGACGGGACCAAUCCAAGGGAAACUCUGAACAUCCAGAUUAGAGACGAAGAUAACAUUAAUGAGCAUAGAAUUUAUUUCAUAGCCACUUCGUUUACUCCAUGCUCAUAUGAAACAUCUUCCCAAUCUAUUGGACUCUGCAACAUCACCACAUUUGAGAUCUCCAACACCCUCUUCCUUCCUAUUUACAAAAAACUUUAAAAGGGCGGUUGUCGAUGCAUAUGUCUAUAAUAAAUAUUGCAGAUCUCGUUGAGCUAAUCUUGAUAUACAAAGGUUGGCGUCGGAGGGGAAACCACUUUGCCAACAUAAACUGAUGGUUUCCCAAGGACAAGCUUAGUGUCCUAAAAUAAGCACUAAUCAGAUCGUAACAUGAGCUUUUAAUUAUUUGCAACAUUGCCUUGUGCAUUGAGCAUAUAAGGAUAAUUGUAAAAAUAUUCCUUCGGGUAUUCUGGUCACUAACCUUUCCAGGAUUCAAGCAAGAAGAUCGGAUGAAUGACAAGCACAAGGUAUGUCCAACCAAUCAUCAUGCAACACUGAAUUAAAUUCAUCCAAACUUGAAUUUUGCAAAAUUCAAGCUUAGGGAGUACCUUACAUAAAAACAUCCUUUGCCAUGUUGCUAUGUUGGUUGUCCCUACCUUUGAGACAUGCUCAAUUUGUUAAAUACUAAUCACACUACUUCAUCUCCACUUUAGUAGAUCUCUAUAAAAGCCAUUGUUGAUAUUUGGGAACGCAAUAAGGAAUUGAUCCGCAAGCGCACGGAUAUCAGUGAGCACUUCACCCGGAAGGUUAUCCAGAGUAUUGUAUUUAUUUUUUUACCACUAGGAGAAAGAGUGCAUCUGACUAACCCUUUAGGCUACAAAGAAUGUUUCUCGAUGUGAGUGAUAAAUAGAGAAGACUACAACCGUAAUCUCUUUCUAACCUUGGUAAGGAUGAUCUACUGUUCUAUUGGGGAGGCUAACGGAAUCUAGACACCACAAAGGAUGUUCAACCCGCACCUAUAAACCCUAUCCUUCCUGCUAACGAGAUAUGGUUUGCAAAGAUAACUCAGAAAUGUCACGUUCCUCGCUACUACCACGGUCUAGCUAGUCAGGGAAUAUCUAUGAGUAUCCUAGACCAAACACCACGUCUACGCUAGAGAUGAUUACUCUAAACUCUACGUGAAGAGACUAAAGUAAACUCAUAAACCAAAGAACAAUAAAACAAGAACUUACUAGAAUUUAGAAGUCAAAAUACUGAAGAAUCCUAGGAGCAAGCUUCGGGUUAGGAGAACUUGAUCCCGCAGGUACAAACUCGGAGUAGACACCGACAGGCCGGGCUUCCUCUGAUAUACACCUCCACUCUAUCUCUCUCAAUCUAGUAGAAACUAGAAGAUCUAUUUCUACUCACAUUGGAUGCUAAACCUAAAAAUAAAUUUUAUUUAGAGGAGAGGUAUUCCUUCAAGGGCUCCUCUCAACUCUAUGAUGAACUUGUCUCCUCCAGGGGCCAGGCGGUCUGGUUUUAUAGUCCCCUCAAGUGAAUGUGAGCCAUUGGAUCAAACCGACAUUGAUUGGAUGGUUAUCCUUGAUCCUUUAGGUCAGUGGAGCGUCGUCCACGAAAAGAUUUCUGAUUGGCAUCCAGGAGAGAGCGGGCGCCCUGGUCCUCAGGGCGAGCGCCCUGGGCCAGGCCCCUUUCGGCCUCCGAUUUGUUCCUGUGGCUUCUGGAGUCUUCUAGAUGGUAGAAAAUUGCGCGGUGCGUUGAUAUCUCUAUGUAAUCCCGACAUGUGGGCCUUUCUUUCUUAUUUCCUGAUAACCCCCUGUAGAAAUAGAUAGACAUCAAAACUCAUGGAAUUUUGUUAGAUCAAACCCUAAUUCUAGGUGUUGUUUGCAUAUUGGUCCUUUCUCUUGUUUAUUUGAUAAUUAAAAUUGAUACUUAAGAACCGUCAACAAAUACCCCCAAACUUAGGCUUUUACUCGUCCUCGAGAAAAGGAUGGUUAAUAACAAUAUCUGGGGUAAAACAUUUUAAAACAUUAUCUUCAUAUCUGCAGGGUAUUAAAAUCCGCUAUAUAUCAUAGUUAGGGAAGUAUAUGGUUAAGAGUAGAAAUCCUUUCUUCUCAAUCCUGUCACUUGGAGUUUUCGUGUAUUUUUGAAAAGAAAGUUAGCAUACCUUUAUCCUCAUAGGUUCUCAGAUCACUCAUUAUCUUUUUAUAUAUCUCACUGAGGCUGUCUUAAUUUGCAAAAAUUCUUAAGCAUACUUACCUUAGAUUUAUUGCCUGAUCAAAAUGGGAUCCGAGGAGGGGAAUGCCAUACUCUUAGAUCAAAGACUUUGGAAAUUAAAAUCUUUGUCAACUCUUGCUGGCAUAUUGCUUAUUAGAGGGACCAUGGGCUAUCAUUUUCUUUCUUUUUCUCUCUCUCUCUUUUUUAAGUGGAUACCGAGGUACCCCUAAUUCUACUGCUGGACACUUGUCCAUUGUUUCUGCGAGGUUAUCGAGCACUUGCUCCUUUUUAUUUCCUCGAAAUAUCUUUAUUUUUGCAUAGCCCAUGCCUCUAAUGCAAUAAUACUUUGGAAGAGUGAAUCUUUCUGAAUAAAUGUCUUGAUCUUAGGAGCAUGAUAAAUCUCUCAACAAGGGUCUAACUCAUUUUGAACAAACUCAAUACAGAGUAGAUAGCCUUUAUAAUCAUAAUUAAUAUUUUCAGUUUUAUCAGGCAUAUAAAACACUGAGGAUGGUAGCUAGAAUUUUGAAGAUAACUUCUCCAAGCAACAAUGAUAUCAAGAAUAAGAAAUUCAUACUCUACCAUCUCACAUUCCACAAUAACUUAAGUAACAUAGGGUUUUAAAAUGAUUUUCAAUAAUUGCAAGUUUCAGGAAAUAUCAUAGAGUGAGAUUAAUCAUGAUUAGAAACAUUUUAAUCUUUUUUAAUUUAUCAUGUUGGAAAUAGUAUUCUACAUAAUCCAAGAUAUGUGUAUGUGUAAAGUGUGCAGAGUGUGUACCUGAAUCAUGGAGUGGUGUAGUCGAAGUGUGUUUGGCAUGUCGAGGGAUCUCCCCCAUACUUGUUUUCUGCUUUCUUGUACAAAAAUAAAGUAGAGACACACAAGACAUAAUAAUAAUAAUAAUACUCUUUAUUAAUCUUGAGGCAUUUAUUACAAAUGACUAGUAGCAAACUGACGAUAAUAGUAACAAACCGAUGACAAUAGUAAACCUAAACCGAAUUUAAAGAUAGAUAACUAAGAUGCAUUGCCUCAAGGUCUAAUCUAGAUAACUUAGCGGCGCUCUAAUUCAUUGAUCUUCUUAUUGGCACUGGCAAGAUCAUGCCUAAGGCCUAGUAUAACGGUGUUGUGGUUAGAGAGCUGCCUAGUGAGAGAAUUAACCGAGGACUGGAGGUCUAUGAUAACUCUGUCCAGCCUGCGAACGUCCUCGUCAAUAUCUACUAUAGUCUUGCGACGCUUGGGAGGUGUCUCAAAAGCAUUGAGAGCGUGCUUCGGGGCUGCAUUUGGAGGGAUGAAACGGACUUUGGCUGCUCUAAUCCCUUCGAAGUAAGGUCUCUCCUCCUCCAUAGUGUAGCGUAUGCUGCUGAUCUCGCCGCUUCGGUUGGUCUUCACUCCAACGACCCUCUCAUUGGGUCUAGGUGGAAGGAUCCUCGUGCCGGUUGGCACCUUGGUCUUCGUCUUGGAUGAUGAUCCGCCCUUGAGGAGUAGGGGUUGUGGCGGUGCGGUGAGAACUGGUUGAGCAUGAUAGGAUUGGGCGGAGCUACGCUGGCGUAAUGGCAUGGCUUCUAGCUGUCGCUCUGUGUUGGCCGGGACGAGAGCACGGGCGUCGGGGUCUUCCUUAGGCUCCAUGUUGAGGUUGAAGGGGACGACUUCCCAAUCAUCGUGGAACUUCUCGGCCAUUGGAGCAGCGAGGGACUAAUUAAGCUCUAAUUGAAGAAGAAGAGAAGGCUUGGGUGGAUUGGUGUUUGAAAACUGAUGUCAGGGGUCUGUUUAUAUAGGGGUCAAAAAGUGACUCUAGGGGUUGUUCGGAUUGCUCCCGUCGAGAAACUUUCCAUCUGAGGGAUUAUUCGGAUUACCAUAAGUGUGUUUUCCAUAUCGGAGGAAAUCGGGACCGAGAGGGGGCAGGAGCUGGGCGCCCGCCCACCUGAUCAGGGCGCCCGCCCUCUCUCUGGCUCCUCUGCUGGCCCGAUUCCUCAAGUGUGUUUCUAGAUGCAAAACUUUUUAGGAAAAUAUAUGUAUGACCCAAAAACGUCAGAUUAAAAAGGUUGGGCUCUAAUUCUCCAUGGGAAGGUAAAAAUGGAUUACAUCUAUUUCUUCUAAUUCUUUAUUGGGCUCUAAAAAUAAUUUAAGAUGUUGACCAUUUACCUUGAAUAACGUACCUUCAUCAUUUUGAAGCGUGAUAGCUCCGUGGGAUGAUGAAUAGAUUACCUUGAAUGGUCCUUCCCAUUUACUCCAGAGUUUUCCAUGCCUGAAAAGCUUCACCCUGGAAUUAAAAAGUAAUACCUUAUCUUCGGGUGUGAACUCCUUCUUGAUUCUCUUGUCAUGCCAACUUUUGACUCUUUCUUUGUAGAUCUUCGAAUUGUGAUAUGCUUUUUCUCGCCAUUCUUCCAAUUCUGAUAGUUGCAUUCUUCUAUGUUUUCUAGCGACAUCUAGGUCCAUAUUUCAUCUCUUUAUGGCCCAGUGUGCUUUGAACUCUAGUUCAACAGGUAGGUGGCAAGUCUUCCCGUACACCAAUUGGUAUGGGGACAUUCCAAUUGGAGUCUUGUACGCUGUCUGGUAUGCCCAGAGUGCAUCGGGUAACUUGUCUUUCCAUGCCGUUCCCAUUUCAUUCACUGUCUUCUGAAGAAUAUUCUUGAUUUGCUUUUUGGAAGUCUCUGCUUGGCCACUUGUCUGAGGAUGAUAGGGGGUAGCGACGUUGUGACGGAUUCCAUGUUUUGAUAGAUAUUGCUUGAAGCGUUUAUCGAUGAAGUGUGCUCCUCCAUCACUUAUCACUACUCUGGGGACUCCAAAUCUUGGAAAUAUAAUUUCUUCAAACAUCCUCAUUGAACUGAUGUUGUCGGCAUGCUUGCAAGGUAGUGCCUCUACCCACUUGGAGACAUAAUCAACUGCCACCAAGUUGUACUCACACUUCUUUGAUGGGGAAAAUGGACCCAUGUAGUCUAUUCCCUAGACAUCAAAGAGCUCAAUCUGAAGGUUGUUGGUGAGUGGCAUGGCAUCCCUUGUGUUAAUGUUUCCGUGCCUUUGACAUGGCCCACAUCUUCUCAUAUAUUGCUUCGUGUCUUCAUACAUUGUAGGCCAUUAGAAUCCACACUACCAGAUCUUUGAAUGUGUACGGAAUGCUCCAUAAUGACCUCCAUAUGGUGAUGAAUGACAUAUGUCGAUGAUCUUCCAUCCUUCCUCAGUGGUCACACAUCUCCUGAGUAAGCCAUCAGAGCAUGCCCGGAAGAGGUAUGGCUCAUCCCAUAUAUGUGAACAACUUUCUUGAAUAAGCUUCUUCUUGUUUGCUCCUGAUGGUACAUACCCUAAAACCAUAAAAUUAACAAUAUCUGCAUACCAGGGGUCAGACCUGUUAAUCCCGUAGAGCAUGUCGUCCCGGAGUGAAUCAUUGAUGGGGGUUUCCUGUGGACUCUUAAAAUACAUUCUAGACAAGUGAUCGGCAACAGAAUUUUCUACUCCCUUUUUAUCUUUUAUUUCUAAGUCAAAUUCUUGGAGUAAUAAGAUCCAUCUAAUCAGGCGAGGUUUAGCAUCUUUCUUAGUGAGCAAAUAUUUUAGUGUAGCAUGAUCAGUGUAAACAAUUAUUUUAGCUCCAACUAAAUAAGAUCUAAAUUUAUCAAUGGCAAAGACAACAGCCUGAAGCUCUUUUUCAGUGGUUGCAUAAUUAAGUUCAGCUCCUGUCAAAGUUUUACUGGCAUAAGCAAUUGCAUGAUGCUUCUUAUUUUUAGUUUGUCCCAAAACUGCCCCCACAGCAUAAUCACUAGAAUCACUCAUAAUUUCGAAAGGCAACGACCAAUCAGGGGGUUGAAUGAUUGGUGCAGAGAUGAGUGCUUUCUUUAAUAAAUUGAAAGAUGUUAGACAUGCAUCAUCAAAUUUGAAAGGAGCAUCCUUGGCUAGCAAAAGAGUAAGUGGUCUUGCAAUGAAUGAAAAAUCUUUUAUGAAUCUACGAUAAAACCAGCAUGGCCAAGAAAGCUUCGAAUUCCUUUUAUAUUCACAGGUGGAGGUAGUUGUUCAACUACUUCAAUUUUAGCUUUGUCUACCUCAAUACCUCUUUCAGACACUAGGUGUCCCAGCACUAUUCCUUCCCUAACCAUAAAAUGACAUUUUUCCCAAUUAAGGACUAAGUGCUUUUCUUCACAUCUUUGCGAAACCUUGUCUAAGUUUUCAAGACAACUAUCAAAAGUUUUUCCAUAAACAGAGAAAUCAUCCAUGAAAACUUCCAUAAUCUCUUCAAUCAUAUCAGAAAAUAUAGACAUCAUGUAUCUUUGAAAAGAAGCUGGUGCAUUACAUAACCCUAAAGACAUUCUGCGGUAAGCAUAAGUUCCAUAUGGGCAUGUAAAAGUGGUUUUGCUUUGAUCAUCAGGAUGGAUUGGGAUCUGGUGAUACCCUGAAUAUCCAUCUAAGAAAUAGAAGAACGAAUGGUUUGCUAAUCGCUCUAGCAUCUCAUCUAUGAAAGGUAAAGGAAAAUGAUCUUUCUUGUGGCUUUGUUUAGUUUUCUAUAGUCUAUGCACAUCCGCCAUCCUGUGACGGUGCGUUGCGGAAUUAGCUCAUUCUUUUCAUUCAUAAUAAGAGUCAUGCCUCCCUUUUUAGGCACAAUUUGAACUGGGCUCACCCACUCACUGUGCGGCACAGGAUAUAUAAUCCCUGCAUGCGGCAACUUUAUAACUUCCUUUUUAACUACCUCUCUCCUAGUGUUGUUAAGUCUACGUUGGGGCUCUCGAGAAGGUGAAACAGAAAGAUCUGUUGGAAUACGAUGGGUACAAAUCAUAGGACUGAUUCCUGUAAGAUCUUGGAGUGAGUAGCCGAAAACUGAGUGAUGUUUCUCAAGAAUGGUCAUUAAUUCCAGAGUUUGCUCCUGAGUGAGUUUAUCACUAAUGAUCACAGGAAACUCUGUAUUAUUGUUUAGGAAAGCAUAGAUAAGACCGGGUGGUAAAGUUUUAAGCUCUAUUGGAGGUCUAGGCAUUUCUGCAAACUCGUCUAAGGGUUUAGGUUCAGAAGGUUCUGCCUCUUCUUCUGUGAAGAAAGGAGUUUCGUCUUCUAAGUCUGGUUCGUCUAAAAUCUCUAGAGAUGCAGCCUUUACCUCCUCCAUAGGAUCAGGCAAAAGAUAUGACUCAGCCUUAUUGUUUAAGGAGUGUGAAAUUGAUAUGGGAAUUUUAAAAGUUUUUCCAAAAGAAAUGUGUAGCUUCCCAGUAUGACCUUCAUAAAGGAGUCCUCUAAAAGGUUGUCCUAUCAACAGGUCGAAGUCUCAUGUAUCAAAGAUAUAGAAGUUCAAAUGAACCAUGGAGCCUUCUACCGUAAGAGGUAGGACAUUUAUAAUUCCAAGACUGGGGACUAAUCGUCCUGAAGAUUCCCUUAUGACCUUUGUUGUGGGGGUUAAGACAAGAUUUUUAAAUAAUUUAAGUGCAAAAGAUUCAGACAUGAUGUUGAUCCCCACAACAGGAUUAUAGAGAGCAUCAAAUCGAUCAGAGUCAUAAGCAUAGCGUAUAGUUAUAGAGGGUGUGUCCAAACGGAUCACAUCAGAGGAAAGCUCUGAUUCCUCCAACCAUUCGCUACUCAUGACUGCGAUAAGCUCUCUUAAUUGAUAUUCACUUGGUAAACAAAAACUGGCUGUUUUGGGGUUUGUUGGUAGAAUGGUAGUUUGAAAUGUUUCCAAAAUUGGCAAAAAGAUCAGAUUCUAUAUCCAGCAUGAAGUCCGGUGGUGGAAUUUCUUCCUUUUGUGGCUCAGAACUUGGGAUAGCUAAAGUAGAUGAAGAAUUUGGUAGAGCGUCUACUUCGGCUUCGUGGGUUUUAUCAUGAAGGGUAUUAUCCAUCUCAGCUUAUAGGAUUCUAUCUAGGAUCACUCUAGCUUCAUCAGUAGGGAUGCGAAAGAAAGAACCUCUAGACAUUGUAUGUAGCAUUUGUUUAUGAUCUUUCUGAAGACCUCGAAAAAAGUGAAAUAAAAGAACAGGGUCUUCAAAAUUAAGGUUUGGACCAGAUUCUAAAAGAUUAGAAAAAUGUUUCCAGGAUUUUCCCAAAGUUUCAUUAUCUUUUUGUUUAAAAGAUAGGACUUCGAGUCUAAGGUCGCCGAUACGAUCGAGGGAAUAAAAAUCUAGACAAAAGUUGACUCGUAAAACUCCCCAUUCACCUCGUUGUUGACUUACCUUCUGAUUAUACCAUUGUCUAGCUUCUCCCCAUAAAGAAAAAGGAAAAAGCUUCCAACGUAAAGUUUUAUCAGAAAUGCCUUCAAUGCGAAGACAAUCACAUGUUUGCUCAAAAUCUCUAAUAUGAAGGUAAGUGUUUUCGUCUUCCUUUCAAGAAAAAGAUAGGUUUUGAAUCAUGGCAAUCAACCUAGAACUUAACUUAUACUGGUAUGUUUGGAUAGGCUGUGGUGACUCCCAUGGUAAAAGGUCAGUUACUGAAGGGAUUGCAGAUUCAUGGAUCGAUUUAGAAUUUUGGUUUUCCAUAAGAUAAGAGUAAACAAAAUAAAUACAGAAAACCGUAUUUCUCCCCGGCAACGGCGCCAGAAAUGCUUGUUGAUAUUUGGGAAUGCAAUAAGGAAUUGAUCCGCAAGCGCACGGAUAUCGGUGAGCACUUCACCUGGGAGGUUAUCCAGAGUAUAGUAUUUAUUUUUCUACCACUAGGAGAAAGAGUGCAUCUGACUAACCCGGUCUAUUACUACUAACCCUUUAGGCUACAAAGAAUGUUUCUCAAUGUGAGUGAUAAAUAGAGAAGACUACAACCGUAAUCUCUUUCUAACCUUGGUAAGGAUGAUCUACUGUUCUAUUGGGGAGGCUAACGGAAUCUAGACACCACAAAGGAUGUUCAACCCGCACCUAUAAACCCUAUCCUUCCUGCUAACGAGAUAUGGUUUGCAAAGGUAACUCAAAAAUGUCACGUUCCUCGCUACUACCACGGUCUAGCUAGUCAGGGAAUAUCUAUGAGUAUCCUAGCCCAAACACCACGUCUACGCUAGAGAUGAUUACUCUAAACUCUACGCGAAGAGAUUAAAGUAAACUCAUAAACCAAAGAACAAUAAAACAAGAACUUACUAGAAUUUAGAAGUCAAAAUACUGAAGAAUCCUAGGAGCAAGCUUCGGGUUAGGAGAACUUGAUCCCACAGGUACAAACUCGGAGUAGACACCAACAGGCCGGGCUUCCUCCGAUCUACACCUCCACUCUAUCUCUCUCAAUCUAGUAGAAACUAGAAGAUCUAUUUCUACUCAUAUUGGAUGCUAAGCCUAAAAAGAAAUUUUAUUUAGAGGAGAGGUAUUCCUUCGAGGGCUCCUCUCAACUCUUUGAUGAACUUGUCUCCUCCAGGGGCCAGGGGGUCUGGUUUUAUAGUCCCCUCAAGUGAACGUGAGCCAUUAGAUCAAACCGACAUUGAUUGGACGGUUAUCCUUGAUCCUUUAGGUCGGUGGAGCGUCGUCCACGAAAAGAGUUCUGAUUGGCAUCCAGGAGAGGGCGGGCGCCCUGGGCCAGGCCCCUUUCGGCCUCCGCUUUGUUCCCGUGGCUUCUGGAGUCUUCUAGAUGGUAGAAAAUUGCGCGGUGCGUUGAUAUCUCUAUGUAAUCCCGACAUGUGGGCCUUUCUUCCUUAUUUCCUGAUAACCCCCUGUAGAAAUAGAUAAACAGCAAAACUCAUGGAAUUCUGUUAGAUCAAACCCUAAUUCUUGGUGUUGUUUGCAUAUUGGUCCUUUCUCUUCUUUAUUUGAUAAUUAAAAUUGAUACUUAAGAACCGUCAACAGCCAUCACGCUACCUUUGUUUGUCCUAGUAAGUGUUAGUUUGGAAGUACUGCACAUACUUCUAUUGGCUUUUAAAUUAAGCAUGGUGCUUAGGUUAAACAACCUUCCUUAAUCUGAUUAGACAUGGAGUCUAGUUCGGUUAUUGAACUAAAAAUUGUUUGUGUAGACAUUGGUAUAUUUUGUCGGACUAACUCCUGCAGAAAAACAUUCAAUAUCAAUUUGGGAAGUCCUGAGAUAAACUCACAUCAGAUAUAAAGAGAGAGACACAUGAAGUUUAACAAUUUGCACAAGAAGGACAUAGCUCAUUCAUCAUAGAGAGAUGAUCCAUGGAAGGAGACAAAGUACAUAAACAAGAUACACAACCAUUAUGAAUGGGAAGCUUCCACAAGGUGAGACGGUACCAUCACUCUUCAAUUAAGGUAACAUCUUAAGAUAUGUGACUAUCACUUUUAUAAGCUUCCGGCGUUCACAUAAAUAAAGAGACAAACAUGUAUGAUUUAUAACUCCAAAUUAACCAACCCAACUGAUUCAGCAUGUUUAGUCCUUUAAUCUUUGUUCCUAGUACUACCUCCGUGAUCCUAUACUCCUAAUCAUAUGGGCUAAAAUGUUGCACAUUCAAUCUUUGGGAAGAUAUAAAGAAAAAGACAUAUACAUAGAUAGAUUAUCUUUCCAUAAGGUUGAGCGAUCUGAUCUGACAAUUGUUUUAAAUGCUACACUCAUGAACUUAUCACCCAUCAACUUUAUCUUGCUCCCUAUGCUUAAGGAUAAAGAAGAACAAAUACACUUUUGGUUCUGUUGGUGUCUUCCACCAACAGGACCCAUGCACUUGAUCUCUACCUUGUCUCAUGAGUAGGACACAUUUUGAGAAACAUGGAGGAGUUUUACAACUCCCAGACUCUACCAAGUGAAGGACCUAGAUCUACGAGCACAAACACACUGAGCAAGAUACUGCCAACGCCGCACUUCGAACUGCUGGGCAAACGAGGAACAUGGGUGACACCGUAUCAAGAGGUGCAAACAUCAAGGUCCACACCUGAAUCAAAUGACGCACCUAAAGAAUGAACACGGUGAGAAGUCUUGUUCAGAAGACUUAAAACAUUGAACCCUUGCCAAAAGGUAAAAUCGGUAGUUAUCCAUAUUUAUCCUUUCUGCAUUCCCUUUUUCCUUAAAUUAUUUACUUUCCUUAAAUAGCUUGUUAGUUAAUCAUGCUAUCUUGAAAAGAAAUUAAAAAUGUUAAAAAUAGUAAGCCCCAUGUGAGUAUGCUCAUGGCGUAAAACCCAUAAGUACAUUCACUGUGGUGGCGUAAAAAUAAAUAUAUUUCUGUCCUAUAAAAAUGAAAAUAUAAAAAUAAAUUUAUGAUCCUACCAAAGAGAGUAAUAUUUAUUAGAGGAAGCUCAACAUGAUAACGGUUAAGAGAUUUUAUGCUAACACUUAACCAGUUCCACAAAGCUUUGUAAUCUAUUUGAGCUCCACAGAAUUCAAGGAUCAAAGAAGACUAGCAGACGGAGGACAUCCUAAUCGCUGUCAGGGUGCUGCCGACAUUCAAAUACACCCCCGCCACCUGCUAGCUACAUCACAAGAAAUUACGUCAAAAUUCAGCUCGGGGGAGAGCACCCCCAUUUAUCCAGCUAAGUGUUUCUACUCAUGAUUAUACUUUGCUCAAAUAAUAAAAAUAUGCAUAAUCAUAAAAACCCAAAUAAAUAUUUUAUGCUUAUAUAUAUAUCUUUGCUUAGUUUGCUAAAUAAAUAAAUAAAAGUUUGCUAUGAACCCUCAUGAUAAGCUCUCACAUGGAAAUGAUGAAUAGUUGCUCUGCCAUGACUAGUUCUCAAAAUUAAAUUCUCUCUCAAGUUUAGGCAUGACUGUUAUGAAUUAAGAUUUGCUCUAAACCUGAACUUGUGGGAAGAGUACCAGAUCAAAAGUCUAAGUCGUUAACGGAUAUGAUAUGGGAAGUUUGAGCUGCUGUUUAUCUGUUCCUAGAGAUGCUAGACUUCUGGAGAGUUUUAUCUAUGGAAAUCUUUAAAAUGUUGCAUGAUGAGUUCCUGUAUGAUGAGAGUUUAAAAUCCUACCACAGCCACAUAUACAUGCUUAUUAGACUAUGAAUCAUACAUUUACUUUUUACUGCUUAUGAGCAUUGAGUGUGGUCAAGCUGUGUAGACCCUUAGGAGCUUGUCAUGCGGUUAAAAUCAAGAUUCACUUGCAUGUUUACUCAUACAUGCUGCUUCUACUCUGGAAGUACGCAUCCACAUACAUCCACUCAUUUCCAUCUCCACAUUCACCCAAAAUUAUUCUACUCCUAUCCGGGAGAGAAUAGCCAAAAACAUUAUCCCAUUCCUGCUUUUCCCAGUGAAAUAAAUGCUCGAGAUAUUUUGGUUACUACCACUUGCUACAUUAUUCCAGGAGGGUGAGUGCUCUAAAAAAAGAGAGAGUGAAGAAAAAAGUAAAAAAUUACGAGGAAAUAAAAAGGGGCAAGUGCCCGGAACCUCGAAGAAAAGAAAAAGUGAGACGAGAGGUAAAAAUGGACAAGUGUCCGAUAGUAGAAUUAGGGGUACAAGAUACCCACCUGAGAGAAAAGAAAAAAGAAAAUAUAGAGCAUCUCAUUCCCCUCAAAAAGCUUCAAAGUGCAAGAAAGGUAUGUAUCCCCUCAAAAGAGCAAAAUUAGAAUUAGACUUUCACCAUUGUUUUCACCCUCAUCACCAUACACCAUUCAUUCGCCACACAUACACAUCUUGAUUUGACUUAUUGACUUAUUUCUCUGGAUCCAUGGUUUGACUAUGUAAUAAAUGUCUUGUAAGUAUGUAUUAGCUGUCUCCCACCUAUGAGCUCCAGAUAUCAAAGCCUCAUUAGAGUAGUUUGAGAGAGAAGGCAAUAUCACUAUCCCUCAUACCACAAAUACUACAUACUUUGAGAGAAGGCAUAUAUCAUCACUGCCUUGGUGAGGAUCCAGAAAUACCACAAAAGAAAGACUAGAGAGAGUCAUACAGGAAUCUCUGAGUUUUAUUUGAAAAUCUGCAAAAACUCCAGAGCUAUAGUUGAUCAAGAAUAAGAGGCAUGGUGCUUGACUUAACCGUUCUAUCUUUUAACUGCUCAAGACACAAGUGAUGGUUGCAAGCCCCAUGGUGGAAGGUAAUAUGAGUAAGUUUAAAUCUUAACAGUUUACCCUAACCCAGAGAUGAGAUCUUGUUUGAACGCAUGUGUACCUUUAAGGCAUGAAACCACUGCAGAAACUCUUGAGUCCAUCCUUGAUUAGGGACGAGCAAGAGGUAAGCUUGGGGGAGUUGUUGCCAGUCCUUAAGUACCAAAUAUAAUCAUCAAAUAAAUAAAGAAAAGGAUUCAAAUGCAACCAACACCCAGACUUAGGGUUUUAUCUGACAGAAUUCCACGAGUUUUGGUGUUUGUCUAUUUGUACAGGGGGUUAUCAGGAAAUUUGGAGGAAAGGCCCACAUGUCGGGUUUACAUAGAGAUAUUAACGUGUGCGCCAAUUUUCUAUCAUCUAGAAGACUCCAGAAGCCACGAGAACGAACGGGAAGCCAAGCGGGCCUGGGGGUAGGGCGCCCGCCCUGUCAUUUGGACCAAUCAGGCUCCGCCUCGCGGAUUAUGCUCCACCGACCUAAUGGAUCAUGGAAAACCAUGCGAUUAAGGUCGGUUUGAUCCGAGGGCCCACAUUCAUUUGGAAGGGCUAUAUAAGCAGGCCCCCUGGCC
This 173686-nucleotide long non-coding RNA is filed under the name Sorghum bicolor (sorghum). Its description in RNAcentral is "long non-coding RNA (SBIC_LNC003135)". The stretch from base 83327 to 83433 matches the Rfam family "Plant small nucleolar RNA R71". Lineage: Eukaryota; Viridiplantae; Streptophyta; Magnoliopsida; Poales; Poaceae. The record is from RNAcentral.